ACAUACGGACUCUAAAAAUAGCCUAUACUUAUGUAUUUCGAAAUUACAUGGGCCUGGCCCAAUAAUAAGGUGACGCAGCACCUAUAAUAACCUCGGGACGAAAUUUAUGAAGUGGCAUCUUGUAUAUUUCGUCCAAGGCUUCAUGCGCCCAUUAUGGUGGCUUCAAAGUCCUGAAAUCAUCACUUGUAACUCCGUUCUUGUUCCCCUUGUGCAUGCCAUCAUCUCCAUGCUUGUUCUUGCUCCAAUGUUCAUCCUUCUCCAAGCUAGGCCCUUUAUUUGUAAGCAAAACAAAUGUAUCCAAUUUAGGCAGCAUCAUAUUCUCAUGAACAUUAGAAUCAUUACCAAGAAACGAAAGUACCUGGUAAUUUAGUUGGCGUGCGCGAGCUCUAGUAAUUGGUCCAGUAUGUAUAGCAGCAGGGCCUGUGGGUGUAACAAUUGUAUUGAUGUCCUCAUCAAACGGAGAGGAAACACAACAAGAAACACGAGAGGAAACACUAAACCGACAUGAAUAAGUCAUACAUGGGCUAGAUACUCGAGUACACAGGGGGAGAUACAUGAAUCCACGGACAACUAAGGACGAUACACGGUAACCGGUUCUUCUCCAUGAGGAGGUCUUGAAUCCACAAGGGGAUCUUCCCGUAAGGGGGCUUGAAUCCGCUUGGGGGAUCUUCUCCGGUGGAGGCUCGAAUCUCCGAGGAGAAGGUAACCAAGUGGAUGAGCAAAGCUCUCUCACAAAUAUGAGCUAAACAUUUGCUAACCCUAGUACGGGGCUAAGGAACAAGUAUAUAUAGUCUAAAUCCACGAAAGGGUAAGUGACGAGGGGAUGCAUGGGCCCUAGGCCCGUUCUCUGCGCACAGGCAGGGCUGUAGUACUGGGCAACGGGCAGUAGUACCUCUCAAAGCGGUAGUGCCGCUGGUACAGGCGGUAGUACCGGACCCGGGUCGUGCGAACACAUGGAUUUGUCGGGUUGAGCGGUAGUGGAGCGGAUGCCCGGCGGCAGUACCGCUUGAAGGGCUUCAGCGGUAGUACCGCUCGCCAGUGGUAGUACCGCUCGUCCUGGCGUGUGCGGCUCCUCUUCAGGCUCUUGACGUCCAUCUCGUUCCGUAGCUCCUUCUAGGCUAGUUCCUUGGUACCUAAUGACACAAAACAUCUUCGUUUGAGGUAGUAACCAUGUCUCAAGUGGAUCGGAGUGGAAUUAUGAGAGGAGAGAUGUCACCUCGGUUUCAAGAGCUCUUGCACGUGCUCGUGUCAUGGGUCCAAGAGGUGUCGUAGUAGAUGUAGUUGGGUCCAUGGGGAUGGCCUUGGGAUGCUCCGCAUCAUCUCCCCUCCCUUGGGGAAGAUCCGUCCUCGGAUCAUAUUCUUCAUCACCAUGGAAGGGAGAGAGAUCUUUGACGUUGAAGAUGUCGCUCACGUUGUACUUGUCACGCGGGAGGUCGAUCUUGUAAGCGUUGUCGUUGUAGUGUGCAAGCACCUUGAAGGGUCCAUCCGCUCCUGGUCGAAGCUUGGACUUGCGUUCUUGUGGAAAGCAGUCCUUGCGAAGGUGUAGCCACACGAGAUCACCAAUGUUGAAGACCAUAGGUUGCUUGUUAAAGUUGAGCUUGGUCGCAAGGCAUUGAACUUGGCGCUCGAUGGUGUUUCUUGUAUCGUCAUGCACCUUCUUGAGAUGUGUCACACGCGCACUUGCGUCCAAAUUGAUGCACUCUUGGAGUGGUAGAGGAAGAAUGUCCAAUGGUGACAAUGGGUUGAAUCCGUAAACGACCUCGAAAGGAGACUUGCCGGUUGUUGAGUCUCUUGCUCGGUUGUAGGCGAACUCGGCGAUAGGUAGGCACUCCUCCCACUCCUUGAUAUUAUUCUUGAUAAGUACUCGAAGUAGAGCGGAGAGUGUGCGGUUUGUCACCUCCGUUUGGCCGCCGAUUUGAGGAUGGUACGCCGUGGAGAAGAGUAGCUACUACUUGAUUCCGAGCUUGGUGCAUAGGGUCUUCCAAAAGUAGCUAAGGAACUUGACGUCGUGGUCUGAGACAAUUGUCUUUGGCACACCAUGGAGACGCAAUAUUUCCCUACAAAAGAGAUUAGCAACAUGUGAAGCAUCGUCUAUCUUGUGACAAGGAAUAAAAUGUGCCAUUUUGGGGAAACGGUCCACAACGGCAAAUAUGGAGUCUUUUCCAUUUCGAGUUCUAGGCAAACCAAGUACAAAGUCCAUGCUAAUGUCUUCCCAAGGUUGGUAUGGAAUUGGUAAAGACAUAUAGAGACCAUGAGAUUGAGCUUUGGACUUAGCUUUGCGACAUGUAGAACACCGGUUGGUGAAACGAUUAACGUCUCGAAACAUCUUUGGCGAAAAGUAGCUCUUCGAGAGUGUGGCGAACGUCUUGUCACGUCCGAAGUGUCCCAUUAAGCCUCCUCCAUGCGAUUCCUGCAAAAGCAACAAACGAAGGGACGACUCGGGGAUGCAAAGUUUGUUAGCUCUCAUAAGAUAGCCGUCUUUGAUGUAAUAGCGUUCCCAAGAUGUAUUCGACAAACACUUGGCAUAAGGAGUAGAAAAAGUUGCAUCAUGCUCAUACAAGUCUUUGAUAUGCUCGAAGCCAAUGACAUCUAACUCAAGUUGCAUGACAAGCAUGCAUAUGCGGGAAAGAGCAUCCGCUACUAUGUUUUCUUUACCCUUGAUGUACUUGAUGACAUAGGGAACAGAGUCAAUAAAUUCACUCCAUUUAGCAUGACGCUUGUUCAACUUAGUUUGUCCCUUAAGAUACUUGAGAGUCUCAUGAUCGAUAUGAAUGAUAAACUCAUGGGGACGACGGUAAUGUUCCCAUUCAUGCAAAACGCGGACUAAAGCAUAUAGCUCUUUGUCAUAGAUGGGAUAAUUGAGUUGCGCUCCGGAAAGUUUCUCACUAAAGUAAGCUAUGGGGCGCUUCUCUUGCGUUAACACACCUCCUAUGCCAUUACCACUAGCAUCACAAUGAAUUUCAAAAGGCUUGUCGAAGUUUGGUAAAGCAAGCACGGGAGCAUGAGUAAGCAUAUUCUUAAGCUCAUUGAAUGCAGUAUCUCGGGAAGGUCCCCAAACAAAAGGCGCAUUCUUCUUGCUCAAAGCAUGCAAAGGUGAAGCAAUGGUGCUAAAAUCCUUCACAAAGCGAUGAUAGAAACCCGCAAGGCCAAGAAAACUACGCACUUGAUGCAAGUUGGUUGGUUGCGGCCAAGUCUUAAUAGCAUUGAUCUUGGACUGAUCAACAUGAACACCCUUAGAAGAAACAACAAAACCCAAGAAAACGAGCUUAUCAACACCAAAAAGGCAUUUCUCCAUAUUAGCAUAGAGGCGCUCUUUUCUAAGAGUUUGCAAAACGGUGCGGACAUGGGUGACAUGCUCUUUGAUAGAUUUGCUAAACACAAGAAUGUCAUCGAAGUAAACCACAACAAAUAUACCAAUGUAAGGGCGAAAUACAUGAUUCAUAAGGCGCAUAAAAGUGCCCGGUGCUUCCGAAAGACCCAUAGGCAUGACUAACCACUGAUACAAACUAAACUUGGUUUUGAAGGCAGUUUUCCAUUCAUCACCUUCUUGUAUGCAGAUUUGAUAGUAACCACUUUUAAGAUCAAUUUUGGAAAAUAUAGUGGCACCGCUAAGCUCAUCUAGCAUAUCAUCUAGGCGUGGGAUGGGAUACCUAUAGCGAACGGUGAUAGCAUUGAUGAUGUAGGGUAGAGACCCUAAUCGCCCAAUCUUUCACGAAAGGAGCGGAUCCCGGGGAAAUCACGAAGAACACGAGGAAGAACGGAAGGAAAACACAAGAGGAAAUCACUAAACCGACAUGAAUAAGUCACACAUGGGCUAGAUCCUCGAGUACAUAGGAUGAUACACGAAUCCACGGACAACUAGGGACGAUACAUGGUAACCGGUUCUUCUCCGUGAGGAGGUCUUGAUGGGGCCGCCCAAGAGGGGGUCUUGAUGAUCUUCUCCGCAAGGAGGUCUUGAAUCCGCUUGGGGGAUCUUCUCCGGUGGAGGCUCUAAUCUCCGAGGAGAAGGUAACCAAGUGGAUGAGCAAAGCUCUCUCACAAAUCUGAGCUAAACAUUUGCUAACCCUAGCUAGGAUGAAUGGGGGGUCUAUUAUAGUCUAAGUGCAAAUGGGGGCGAAGUGAAGGUAUACAUGGGCCUCGGGCCCGAACAGUGUGCGCAGAAAGGUACCGGACGUCCGCUGGGGACCGGUCGUCCGGUGGCUCAGGAGCUGCCGGACGUCCGGUGUCCUUCGGUCAUCCGCUGGUUCCGUUCUGUGAUGGGGGUACCGGACGUUCGGUAGCUCCGGACUUUCGCUGAUGUUGGCUCGGGUGCUGGUGCGCCGGUUGUCCAGUCCGGACCGGACGUCCGCUCGUUUGCUUCGGGUGCAGGGGCACCGGUCAUCCGGUCUGGGCCGGACGUCCGCUCACUGGGGCUCGGCUGAUACUUCAGGUGCCAGACGUCCGGUCCCGGCCGGUCGUCCCAUGGCUGGGACUUUUCCUUCACCCCUCCUUCUCCGUCUUCUCGUCCAUUUUCCUCUUCUUCUUGUCCUUGAUCCUUAGCUUCUCCAUGGUGCCUGAGUAUGCACAAAGUGUCCAUAUGAGGUAGUAGCCAUGCUUCACGUUCAUCGAAGUGGAAUUGUGAGAGGAGAGAUGUCACCUCGGUUUCAAGAGCUCUUGCACGUGAUCGAGUCGUGGGUCCACUAGGCACUUGAUGAGACGAUGGUAGGUCCAUGGGGAUGACCUUGGGAUGCUCCGCAUCAUCUCCCCUCCCUUGGGGAAGAUCCGUCCUCGGAUCAAAUUCUUCAUCACCAUGGAAGGGAGAGAGAUCUUUGAUGUUGAAGAUGUCGCUCACGUUGGACUUGUCGCGCGGGAGGUCGAUCUUGUAAGCGUUGUCGUUGUAGCGUGCAAGUAGCUUGAAGGUCCAUCCGCUCGUGGUCGAAGCUUGGAUUCGCGUGCUUGUGGGAAGCGGUUCUUGCGAAGGUGUAGCCACACUCGAUCACCAAUGCUGAAGACCAUAGGUUGCUUGUUGAAGUUGAGCUUGGUCGCAAGGCGUUGAACUUGGUGCUCGAUGGUGUUUCUUGUAUCUUCAUGCACCGUCUUGAGAUGUGGCACACGCGCACUUGCAUCCAAAUUGAUGCGCUCUUGUAGAGGUAGAGGAAGAAUGUCCAAUGGUGACAAUGGGUUGAAUCCGUAAACGACGUCGAAAGGAGACUUGUCGGUCAUUGAGUGUCUUGCGCGGUUGUAGGCGUACUCGGCGAUGGGUAAGCACUCCUCCCACUCCUUGAUGUUCUUCUUGAUUAAGACUCAUAGUAGAGUGGAGAGUGUAUGGUUCUUCACCUUAGUUUGUCCGUCGGUUUGAGGGUGGUACGCCGUGGAGAAGAGUAACUUGAUUCCGAGCUUGGCGCAUAAGGUCUUCCAAAAGUAACUCAAGAACUUGACGCGGUAGGGAGCGUUAUUCGGAAGCGGUGCUCCGGGGAUGAUGUCGAUGCGUUGCUUAAUGCAUCGUAGUGGAGGUAGUCCCGGAGGUAGCUCGUUGGGUAAAACAUCUUGUAAUUCCUGCAACAGAGAAGACAACACUAGAGGAAGAGUGUAAGAAGUGUUAGUUUGUGGUGCAUUGUCCUUGCACACGAGGACGUAGUGUAGGACACUAGAUGGGUUCUCACACACUUCUCUCAUCUCACGUUUGGUGGCAAAUAGAACUAGGUUCUUGUUUUCGCUCAUCAUGGAGGCACUCGAUUUUGGCCUGUGGCGCUCACUCUCUUUUUGGUGGCUCGCUCUCUCACUAUGAUCUCCACGAUGGGUGGCGUGCUUGUCGGCGAUCACUUGACUUGGCGACAUUGGACGGAGGACAUACUCCUUGCCCUUCAUCUUGAAGAUGUAGUGGCUCGUUAGGCCGUUGUGUACGACUCCUCUAUCGAAUUGACAUGGCCGUCCAAGGAGAAGAUGACAAACAGUCAUUGGAACGACGUCGAACUCCAAGGUGUCUUCGUAGGCGCCGAUCCUGAUGGAGACUUGUACUCGGUGCUCGACUUGGAUAGUGCCAGAGUCGCUAAGCCAUUGCACUUUGUAUGGAUGUGGAUGCUUCAUCUUUGGCAAUUGGAGCUUGGAGCAAAGUUCUUCACUUGCUAGAUUAUGACAACUUCCUCCAUCGAUGAUCACCUGGAUGAAUCGUCCAUUGAUGCCGGCCUUGGUGUGGAAUAUGUUCCAUCGUUGGUCUUCUUCUUGGUGAUGUUGGAGGGUCAAGACUUUGGAGACAACAAGUGCGGGACUUGAGUCUUCAUCACAAAAGACUUGUUCUUCUUUAUUGUUCACUUGGCGGUGCAUGGCGACUUGCUCGAGGGCUUCCAUUUCGCCUUCGCUCAUGGAGUCAUAAGUGCCAUCGUCAUUGAAGACCAUGGUUCGCUUGUUGGUGCACUUGUAGGACUUGUGGCCUCGGCCUCCGCAAGUGAAACACUCGAAGGAACUCAUCUUGAUGGUCUCAUCGGUCGGGGUAGAUGAUGAAGAAGCUCUCGACUUGAAGUUGCUCGUAGGAGGAUGGCUUGUAGUUGACGAAGCUUUCUUGGAACUUGACUUGUCGCGGUACUUGGUGAUUCUCUAGUUGAGGUAGGUGUUGCCGAAGUCGCGGGAGCUUGAUAAGAGGAGCCGUAGGUCUUGGACGAGAACUUGGCAUACUUUAAAUCAUCUUGCACUUGGCGUUCCGCUUUGAUGGCUUGGUGCACUAGCUCGAUGAGGUUUGAGUAUGGUUGGAAGUCGGCGAUCUUCUUGAUGGGAUGGUUGAGCCAUUCAAGAAGCGUGCCAUUGUUUGUUCAUCGUCUUCCGUGACAUUGGCUCUUAUCAUUGCAAUCUCCAUCUCCUUGUAGUAUUCUUCAACGCUCUUUGUUCCUUGCUUGAGUUGUUGGAGUUUCUUGAAGAGGUCGCGGUUGUAGUAGGUAGGCACGAAGGGUGCUCUCAUGACAUCCUUCAUUUGUGCCCAAGUAGUGAUGGGUGGUUCACCUCUUGCCUCGCGGCGCUCUAUGAUUUGUUCCCACCAAAUGAGGACAUAGUCUUGGAACUCAAGGGAUGCCAUCAUGAUCUUCUUCUCUUCUUCAUAAUUGUGCAAACGGAAGAUCUUGUCAACUUUCAAUGCCCAUGAAAGUUAUUCUUCGGGAACGUUGCUUCCGUUGAACUUGGGCAUGGUGAAGUUGAGCUUGCCGUAGCGUUGUUCUUCAUUGUGUUGGGGUCGGGGAUGAUGACGCCCAUGUUGUAGAUGAUUGUUCUACUCGUGGUGUUCUUGACGCGAAGGGUUGUCAACCUCGUGUUGGUCUUGUCACGGAGGAUUCCCAUUGUCUUCAUGCUCUUGAUGAACUUGAUGGUCUUGGCAAGCUUGUGGAGGAGCGCGUCGAACUCGAGGAGGAACUAGAUGAUGCAUGCGAUCUUGAAAUCGCCGUUCGUGAAUUUCUUCGUGAAGUGCUUCCUCUUCUUCAUGGGCUUGUCGGCCUCGGUCGGCAACGGCUCGACUCGCAUCACGUAGAGCUUGUUGCGCCUCAAGUGCUUGAGCGUCACGGAGUUGUUGUUCUUGACGUUGAGCCUCGGCAUCUUGUGCAUUUUGGUGUAGACGCGCCCGUUCUUCCUCUUCAUGUUGGCGUUAUUGUUGUCGUUCUCGAGCUAGCGCAAAGGCUUCUUCGGCUUGACGUCAUCGGCGCUCUUGAGAGUCGGUGUCUCGAAGUGGAUUGAGGUUUGCUUGACGGUUAGUGCGCGUGGCUCGACGAAGAGUGUUCGAUGUUGGUGUACCUGAGCCGGAGAGGGUAAAGUCGGAAUGGCAACUUGAACGACUCCUUCUUGAAGUGGAAGAAGAGCGGUUGAGCAACAAAGCACGAAUCUCGUCCAUCCUUGCGUCAUUCUCUUGCUUGUGAUCGUCGAGCUUGUGGUCGAAGUAGUCCCUUGUACGUUGCUCGGAAAGUCGCAAGUCGGCGGCAAGGUUGUCGAUGCGUUCACUCAUAGCUUGUUGCUCUUGAUGCAAAGCACGUUGUGCACCAAAGAGGUGACUCUUGGUGACGAAGGAGUUCAUGUCGUCGUCUUGCUCCAUGAAGAGUGGGUUGGUAGAAGUACUUGGCCUAUCCAUCAUUCCAAGACAAAUGUGAGUGGUAGAAAGAGACGAACGAAUACCAAAUGUACCUUGACCGAAGUUGAAAGUGAACCGAUGAUCACUCCAAUGUAGGACAAGGAAAUAGCCCAAAUGGUACGAAUUCUCGUCGGUUUCUCACACCUACACAAGUAAAAGCUUAUGGUGGAGCUUGGUUAGGAUGGUCACAAUUUUUAAUGCGAAUGUAAGCAAGAUUCAAUAAUGUCGGAGAAGAUUCGCAAGAUGCAAUGUAACAAGUAGACCAAGCAUAUACGGUACACGGAAACACACGCGCAAAUAGAUAAGUGGGGUUGUGCAACCAAGGGUGAGCCAAAAUGUGGAAUCCACAAAAAUGCUCUUGUUGCACAACACUAGAGAGACGCUAGCACGAUUGCACGAUAGGCGGAUACAAGAACUUGUGCACAACGUACUUAGCAAAAAUGCAACAACUUCUAUCCCAAAUAUGUUCUAUGCAAGGUGUUGCUAUGAUAUGAUCCAAGAUGAUCGAGUAUGACAAUCUUAAUGUUGUAUGAUGCUAUGGUUCUUGCUUAAAAGCUCUUUGCUUGUCUUUCCUCUUUGCUUAAAAGCUUGGUUGGCUCUUUGAUGUGUGAGCUCUUUUCUCAUGCAAUGCUUGACGAACCAAGAUAGCAAGUGAGUAUGCGAUGACAACUUUGUGACACAAGAGAUGAUACCAAUAUAGGCAACAAUGAUGUAUGUAUGUAUGCUAUGGGAAGUAUGAUCACAAAUGUGCACAAGUCUCGUUGCCGGCAAUACUCAAUGGCUAGUCUCGAUGGGUAAGCAACGCAAAGGAGUAAGGCUCAAGUGGCUAUCAAUGUAAUGGCAAGAGUGAUAUGUCCAAUACCAAGAUGAGGUUACCGGUCUUGCUUCCAGUAUGGUGUCAAAAUGGUGGCACGAAUACCAAGUCGUAGUCGAGGUGGUUGUUGUUGAUGACGCGUCCGUGGCGAAAAAUGAGCGGCGGUGAUGUCAAUGUCGAACCGUACGUAGAUAGCCAAAACACAAAAGGAUAUGGUACCGCAACUCAAAUUCUCAAAACCAAGUGCGAGCAAAAUCAUCGGAGUAGGUAGCGGGUAAGUGGUGGUGUGGGUUGGGAUAUUGGCAAAGUUUGCGGAAAGUCGGUGGUGGUGUAGCGGAUGAUGUGGUGGAAGGAGCGGUCGUCCGGAAGUGGACAGAUGUCCGGUCGCUGGUCGUCCGGUACAGUGAUGGUCGUCCGGUGCUUCCUGGGUCGCCGGACGUCCGGUAAAGUGACGGUCGUCCGGUGGGUCGGGGUCAAUGCGAAAUUUCAGAUCCAGGAGGUGGUUUUGGGCGGAAUAUGGGGAUUUUGGGAGGAAUUUCGAGGUGGAGAUGGUGAGGGGAAAGCUAGAUCCACUUGCAACACAACAAAUUCACGGAUCAAAACCAACAAAACAUCAUCAAACUCACAAAACACAAGAAAUUGUUUUGGGGCUAUUUUUGUGGGGAUUUUCAUAUUAGGACGAAAAACAACAAAAUCAAGCUACAAAAAGAAGGGGGCUCCGAAAUCAUGAUCAACCUUGCUCUAGAUACCAAUAUGACGUAGGGUAGAGACCCUAAUCGCCCGAUCUUUCAUGAAAGGGGUGGAUCCCAGGGAAAUUACGAAGAACACGAGGAAGAACGGAAGGAAAACACAAGAGGAAAUCAAUAAACCGACAUGAAUAAGUCACACAUGGGCUAGAUCCUUGAGUACAUAGGACGAUACACGAAUCCAUGGACAACUAGGGAUGAUACACGGUAACCGGUUCUUCUCCGUGAGGUGGUCUUGAUGGGGCCGCCCAAGAGGGCGUCUUGAUGGUCUUCUCCGCAAGGAGGUCUUGAAUCCGCUUGGGGGAUCUUCUCCGGUGGAGGCUCGAAUCUACGAGGAGAAGGUAACCAAGUGGACGAGNNNNNNNNNNNNNNNNNNNNNNNNNNNNNNNNNNNNNNNNNNNNNNNNNNNNNNNNNNNNNNNNNNNNNNNNNNNNNNNNNNNNNNNNNNNNNNNNNNNNNNNNNNNNNNNNNNNNNNNNNNNNNNNNNNNNNNNNNNNNNNNNNNNNNNNNNNNNNNNNNNNNNNNNNNNNNNNNNNNNNNNNNNNNNNNNNNNNNNNNNNNNNNNNNNNNNNNNNNNNNNNNNNNNNNNNNNNNNNNNNNNNNNNNNNNNNNAUGGGGGUGAAGUGAAGGGAUACAUGGGCCUCGGGCCCGAACACUGUGCGUAGAGAGGUACCGGACGUCCGCUGGGGACCGGUCGUCCGGUGGCUCAGGAGCCGCCAGACGUCCGGUGUCCUCCGGUCGUCCGCUGGUUCCGUUCUAUGAUGGAGGUGCCAGACGUCCGGUAGCUCCGGACUUCCACUGAUGUUGGCUCGGGUGCUGGUGCGCCGGUCGUCCGGUUUGGACCGGACGUCCGCUCAUUUGCUUCGGGUGCAGGGGCACUGGUCGUCCGGUCUGGGCCGGACGUCCGCUCGCUGGGGCUCGGCUGAUGCUUCACGCGCCGGACGUCCGGUGGCUGGGACUUUUCCUUCAGCCCUCCUUCUUCUCCGUCUUCUCGUCCAUUUUCCUCUUCUUCUUGUCCUUGCUCCUUAGCUUCUCCAUGGUGCCUGAGUAUGCACAAAGUGUCCAUAUGAGGUAGUAGCCAUGCUUCAUGUUCAUCGAAGUGGAAUUGUGAGAUGAGAGAUGUCACCUCGGUUUCAAGAGCUCUUGCACGUGAUCGAGUCAUGAGUCCACCGGGCACUUGAUGAGACGAUGGUAGGUCCAUGGGGAUGACCUUGGGAUGCUCCGCAUCAAUUGAUAGGUCUACAAUCGGAGCACAUGCGAAAGCUACCGUCACGUUUUGGCACAAGAAUGACCGGAACGGCAUAAGGGCUCAAACUUUCACGCACAUGUCCAUGGUCUAUGAGAUGCUUUACUUGCCUUUGUAUUUCUUUUGUUUCAUUUGGGUUGACAUGGUAUGGAGCUUUGUUCGGAAGAGGUGCUCGGGGGAUGAGGUCGAUUCGGUGCUCAAUGCCUCGUAGAGGAGGUAGACCCGGAGGUAGCUCAUCGGGAAAAACAUCUUGAAAUUCCUGCAAAAGAGAAACAACACUAGAGGAAGAGUGUGAGAAGUGUUAGUUUGUGGUGCAUUGUCCUUGCACACGAGGACAUAGUGUAGGACACUAGAUGGGUUCUCACACACUUCUCUCAUCUCACGUUUGGUGGCAAAUAGAACUAGGUUCUUGUUUUCGCUCAUCGUGGAGGCACUCAAUUUUGGCUUGUGGCGCUCACUCUCUUUUUGAUGGCUCGCUCUCUCACUAUGAUCUCCACGAUGGGUGGCAUGCUUGUCGGCGAUCACUUGACUUGGCGACAUUGGACGGAGGACGUACUCCUUGCCCUUCAUCUUGAAGAUGUAGUGGUUCGUUCGGCCGUUGUGUACGACUCCUCUAUCGAAUUGCCAUGGCCGCCCAAGGAGAAGAUGACAAACGGUCAUUGGAACGAUGUCGCACUCCAAAGUUUCUUCGUAGGCGUCGAUGUUGAAGGAGACUUGUACUCGGUGCUCGAAUUGGAUAGUGCCGGAGUCACUAAGCCAUUGCACAUUGUAUGGAUGUGGAUGCUUCGUCUUGGGCAAUUGGAGCUUGGAGCAAAGUUCUUCACUUGCGAGAUUAUGACAACUCCCUCCGUCGAUGAUGACCUUGACAGAUCGUCCAUUGACGCCGGCCUUAGUGUGGAAUAUGUGGUAUCGUUGGUCUUCUUCUUGGUGAUGUUGGAGAGUUAAGAAUUUGGAGACAACAAGUGCGGGACUUGAGUCUUCAUCACAAAAUACUUGUUCGUCUUCAUUGUUCCCUUGGCGGUGCAUGGCGACUUGCUCGAGGGCUUCCAUUUUGCCUUCGCUCAUGGAGUCAUAAGUGCCAUCGUCGUUGAAGACCAUGGUUCGCUUGUUGGUGCACUCGUAGGACUUGUGGCCUCGGCCUCCGCAAGUGAAACACUUGAAGGAACUCGUCUUGACGGUCUCAUCGGUUGGGGUUGAUGAUGAUGAAGCUCUCGGCUUGAAGUUGCUCGUAGGAGGAUGGCUUGCAGUUGACGAAGCUUUCUUGGAAGUCGACUUGUCGAUGUUGGAAGUAGAAGGUCUUGUAGUCGGUGUUGGAGUCGUUGAAGCUUGGUUAUUGGAGAAGCCGUAGGACUUGGAUGAGAACUUGGCAUACUUGAAAUCAUCUUGCACUUGGCGUUCCUCUUUGGUAGCUUGGUGCACUAGGUCGAUAAGAUUUGAGUAUGGUUGGAAGUCGGCGAUCUUCUUGAUGGGAUGAUUGAGUCCAUUCAAGAAGCGAGCCAUUGUUUGCUCAUCAACUUCCGUGACAUUGGCUCUUAUCAUUGCAAUCUCCAUCUCCUUGUAGUAUUCUUCAACACUCUUGGUUCCUUGCUUGAGUUGUUGGAGUUUCUUGAAGAGGUCGCGGUUGUAGUAGGUAGGUACGAGGCGUGCUCUCAUGACAUCCUUCAUUUGCACCCAAGUAGUGAUGGGUGGUUCACCUCGUGCCUCUCGGUGCUCGAUAACUUGUUCCCACAAAAUGAGCACAUAGUCUUGGAACUCAAGGGAUGCCAUCGAGAUCUUCUUCACUUCUUCAUAAUUGUGCAAACGGAAGAUCUUGUCAACUUUCAAUGCCCAUGAAAGGUAUUCUUCGGGAUUGUUGCUUCCGUUGAACUUGGGCAUGGUGAACUUGAGCUUGCCAUAACGUUGCUCUUCAUUGUGUUGGGGUCGGGGAUGAUGACGCCCAUGUUGUAGAUGAUUGUUCAACUCGUGGUGCUCUUGGCACGGAUGGUUGUUAUCCUCAUGUUGCUCUUGUCGUGGAGGAUUUCCAUUGUCUUCAUGAUGUUGAUUAACUUGUUGUUGUUGGCGACCUUGUGGAGGAGCUUGUUGAGCUCGAGGAGGAACUUGCCGAUGCACGCGAGCUUGAAAUCUUUGUUCUUGAAUUUCUUCGUGAAAUGCUUCCCCUUGUUCACGGGCUUGUCGGCUUCGGUCGGAAUGGCUCGACUCGACUCGUGUAGAGCUUGUUGCGCCGCAAGUGCUUGAGCGUCACGGAUUUGUUGUUCUUGACGUUGUUCCUCGGCAUCUUGAGCAUUUUGGUGUAGACGCGUGCGUUCUUCCUCUUCCUGUUGGUGUUGUCGUUGCCGUUCUCAUGCUAGUGCAAAGGCUUCUUGGGUUUGACAUCGUCGUUGCUCUUGCGAGUUGGUGUCACGUAGAGGAUUGAGGUUUGCGUGAUGUUCGUUGCGCGCGGCACGUCGAAGAGUGUUCGAAGACGGUGUACUUGAGCUGGAGAGAGUGAAGUCGGAGUGGCGGCUUGAAUGGCUCCGUCUUGAAGUGGAAGACGAGCGGUUGAGCAAAAAAGCACAAAUUUCGUCCAUCCUUGCGUCAUUCUUCUGCUUGUGAUCGUCGAGCUUGUGGUCGAAGUAGUCCCUUGUACAUUGCUCGGAGAGUCGCAAGUCGGCGGCAAGGUUGUCGAUGCGUUCACUCAUAGCUUGUUUCUCUUGAUGCAAAGCAUGUUGUACACCAAAGAGGUGACUCUUGGUGACGAAGGAGUUCAUGUCGUCGUCUUGCUCCAUGAAGAGUGGGUUGGUACAAGUACUUGGCCUAUCCAUCAUUCCAAGACAAAUGUGAGUGGUAGAAAGAGAAGAACGAGUACCAAAUGUACCUUGACCGAAGUUGAAAGUGGAUCAAGGAUCACUCCAAUGUAGGACAAGGAAAUAGCACAAUUGGUACUAGCUAUUGUCGGUUUCUCACACCUACACAAGUAAAACCUUAUGGUGGAGCUUGGUUAGGAUGGUGGCACAAAAAUUUGAUGCAAUUUGUAAGUGAGCUUCAAUUAUGUUGGAAAAGAUUCACAAGAUGCUAUGUAACAAGUAGACGAAGCAUAUAAGGUACACAGAAACACACGCGCAAAAAGAUAAGUGGGGUUGUGCAACCAAGGGUGAGCCAAAAUGUGGAAUCCACAAAAAUGCUCUUGUUGCACAACAGUAGAGAGAUACUAGCACGAUAGGUGGAUACAAGAACUUGUGCACAACCUACUUAGCAAAAAUGCAAUGACUUCUAUCCCAAAUAUUUUGUAUGCAAGGUGUUGCUAUGAUAUGAUCCAAGAUGAUCGAGUAUGACAAUCUUAAUGUUGUAUGAUGCUAUGGUUCUUGCUUAAAAGCUCUUUGCUUAUCUUUCCUCUUUGCUUAAAAGCUUGUUUGGCUCUUUGAUGUUGGAGCUCUUUUCUCAUGCAAUGCUUGACGAACCAAGAUAGCAAGUGAGUAUGCGAUGACAACUUUGUGGCACAAGAGAUGAUACCAAUAUAGGCAACAAUGAUGUAUGUAUGCUAUGGGAAGUAUGAUCACUAAUGUGUACAAGUCUCGUUGCCGGCAAUACUCAAUGGCUAGUCUCGAUGGGUAAGCAACGCAAAGGAGUACGGCUAUGAUGGCUAUCAAUGUAAUGUCAAGAGUGAUAUGUCCAAUAACAAGAUGAGGUUACCGGUCUUGCUUCCAGUAUGGUGUAAAAGUGGUGGCAUGAAUACCACGGUGUAGUCGAGGUGGUCGUUGUUGAUGACGCGUCCGUGGCAAAGAUAAGCGGCGGUGGUGUCGAUGUCGAACCGUACAUAAAUAGCCAAAACACAAAAGGAUACGGUACCGCAACUCAAAUUCUCAAACCUCGAAGUGGCAACACGUGUUGGAGUGCGAAACGGGCACAAUGGGGGUAGUAUGCGGAAGUGGUGAUGGUGUAUAAGUGGUGGAGGCAAAAAUGCCAAUCGGAUGGGCAGAAACUGGGCGGAAUGGUAGUGCCGCUGGAACAGGCGGUAGUACCGCUGGUGAUACUUAAGCGGUAGUGCCGCUGGGUGAGGCGUUAGUACCGCUGGUGUCGGAAAAAUCGCAAGAUCUGGAUCGGGGCGAAUUUUGGGGCGGAAAAGGAUGGUUUCGAGGUCAAAAUUCGAGCGAUUUCGUGGAUGGAAAGAGGAGAAAAUUGGGGAGAUGCUAGAUCCACUUGAAACCAAGCAAAUAUACGGAUCAAAUCCAACAAAACUUCAUCAGACCAGCAAAUCACAAAAAAAUUUGGGGCUAUUUAUUUUGGUGGGGAUUUUCGAAUUUAGGACAAAAAACAACAAAAUAAGGCUAGCAACACAACGGGGAGGCUCCGAAAUCGUGAUCAACGUGGCUCUUGAUACCAAGAUGAUGUAGGGUAGAGAGCCUAAUAACCCGAUCUUUCAUGAAAGGAGCGGAUCCCGGGGAAAUCACGAAGAACAUGAGGAGGAACGGAGAGGAAACACAACAAGAAACACGAGAGGAAACACUAAACCGACAUGAAUAAGUCACACAUGGGCUAGAUCCUCGAGUACAUAGGGGUAGAUACACGAAUCCACGGACAACUAAGGAUGAUAGACAGUAACUGGUUCUUCUCCGUGAGGAGGUCUUGAAUCCACAAGGGGAUCUUCCCGUAAAGGGGGCUUGAAUCCGCUUGGGAGAUCUUCUCCAGUGGAGGCUCGAAUCUCCGAGGAGAAGGUAACCAAGUGGAUGAGCAAAUCUCUCUCACAAAUAUGAGCUAAACAUUUGCUAACCCUAGUACGGGGCUAAGGAACAAGUAUAUAUAGUCUAAAUCCAUGAAAGGGUAAGUGAGGAGGGGAUACAUGGGCCCUAGGCCCGUUCUCUGCGCACAGGCAGGGCGGUAGUACCGGGCAACGGGCGGUAGUAUCGCUCAAAGCGGUAGUGCUGCUGGUACAGGCGGUAGUACCGGACCCGGGUCAUGCGGACACAUGGAUUUGUCGGGUUGAGCGGCAGUGGAGCGGAUGCCCGGUGGCAGUACCGCUUGAAGGGCUUCAGCGGUAGUACCGCUCGCCAGCGGUAGUACCGCUCGUUCUGGUGUGUGCGGCUCCUCUUCAGGCUCUUGACGUCCAUCUCGUUCCGUAGCUCCUUCCAGGCUGGUUCCUUGGUACCUAAUGACACAAAACAUCUCCGUUUGAGGUAGUAACCAUGUCUCAAGUGGAUCGGAGUGGAAUUGUAAGAGGAGAGAUGUCACCUCGGUUUCAAGAGCUCUUGCACGUGCUCGUGUCAUGGGUCCAAGAGGUGUUGUAGUAGAUGUAGUUGGGUCCAUGGGGAUGGCCUUGGGAUGCUCCGCAUCAUCUCUUGACAUGGAGGGUUGUUAUCCUCAUGUUGCUCUUGUCGUGGAGGAUUUCCAUUGUCUUCAUGCUCUCGAUGAACUUGAUGGUGUUGGCGAGCUUGUGGAGGAUCUUCGCGAGCUCGAAGAGAAACUUGACGAUGCACGCGAGCAUGAAAUCUUUAUUCUUGAAUUUCUUCGCGAUGUGCUUCCUCUUGUUCACGGGCUUGUCGGCUUCGGUCGGCAACGGCUCGACUCGAAUCGCGUAGAGCUUGCUGCGCCGCAAGUGCUUGAGCGUCACGGAGUUGUUGUUCUUGACGUUGUGCCUCGGCAUCAAGGGAAUUUUGGUGUAGACACGCUCACUCUUCCUCUUCAUGUUGGCGUUGACGUUGCCGUUCUCGUGCAAGCGCAAAGGCUUCUUGAGUUUGACGUUGUCGGCGCUCUUGAGAGUUGGUGUCUCGUAGGGGAUUGAGGAUUGCUUAACGGUCGGUGCGCGCGGCUCGACGAAGAGUGUUCGAUGUCGGUGUACUUGAGCCGGAGAGGGUGAAGUCGGAGUGGCGGCUUGAACGGCUCCUUCUUGAAGUGGAAGACGAGCGGUUGAGCAACAAGGCACGAAUUUCAUCCAUCCUUGCGUCAUUCUCUUGCUUGUGAUCGUCGAGCUUGUGGUCGAAGUAGUCCUUUGUAUGUUGCUCGGAAAGUCGCAAGUCGGCGGCAAGGUUGUCGAUGCGUUCACUCAUAGCUUGUUGCUCUUGAUGCAAAGCACGUUGUGCACCAAAGAGGUAACUCUUGGUGACGAAGGAGUUCAUGUCGUCGUCUUGCUCCAUGAAGAGUGGGUUGGUAGAAGUACUUGGCCUAUCCAUCAUUCCAAGACAAAUGUGAGUGGUAGAAAGAGAAGAACGAGUACCAAAUAUACCUUGACCGAAGUUGAAAGUGGAUCGAGGAUCUAAUGAGGACAUCAAUACCAUUGUUACACCCACAACCCCUACUGUUACAUAUACUGGACCAAUUACUAGAGCUCGUGCACGCACAUUAAAUUACCAGGUACUUUCCUUUCUUGGUAAUGAUUCUAAUGUUCAUGACAUUAUGAUGCUGCCUGAAUUGGAUACAUUUGUUUUGCUUACAAAUGAAGGGCCUAGCUUGGAGAAGGAUGAACAUUGGAGCAAGAACACGCAUGGAGUUGAUGGUAUGUGCAAGGGGAUCAAGAACGGAGUUACAAGUGAUGAUUUCAGGACUUUGAAGCCUCCAUAAGGAGUGCAUGAAGCCUUGGACGAAAUAUACAAGAUGCCACUUCAUAAUAUUCGUCCAUAGGCUAUUUUAGGUGCUGCGUCACCUUAUUAAUGGGCCAGGCCCAUGUAAUUUCGAAAUACUUAAGUAUAGGCUAUUUUUAGAGUCCGUAUGUGUGGGGAAACAAGAGUUAGGGUUGGUUUCAGACCCCACCCUCAAGGGCCACGAAAUUCCCCCCUCUUCCUCCAUAUAUACAGCCCUUAGGGCGUCGUUUAGACUUUGGGUUUUGUUUAGAUUAAAAGUUCGCCAUAGCUGCAACUUCGCGUACUUCGUUUGUGUCCAACGACCAGACCAAGACGUCACAGAACCCCACCUUGAUCAAUAAAGCUUUCAUCUUAUAUUCGCAAUAUCCCGAUUGCAAUCUCAAUUUCUUACUUGUUCUUCGUUUGCUCGCAGGAAACAGACCCUCGUGGUCAGGUUGAUCGUGCUCCGGCGUGGUCAAUAUACCUCGGAAGUUGGUUUAGCGAUUGCUAAGGCGCGACGUCUCGCACGUUCGUAGUCGGAUCGUCAAGGUCGACUCCCACAGAAAACGAUAGCCACCAUCUCAUCGAAACAUCGGGACACCUUAGCCUCUAUCAAGUGGUAUCAGAUUUCCAGGUUGCUCGGUGAGAUUUUACAGUUUUUCGUAGAUUAGAUCGAGUCUAUUCUUCAUACCUACAGUCCACGAAAAAGCUAGAAAAAAAAUUAGGGUUAGUUCAUCAUAUCCGAACCAAUCUGAGCCUUUGCAUAAUCUUUUUAUGGUUUUUGCUUUGUUGAAUUUGCGGUUGCAUCGUCGUGUCAAGUUGCUGGUCUUAGAGUCUAGUCUUUUAGAGUUUCGAGUUCUAGUCAUAAGUUGUCACACCGCCGCCGCACCAUCAUCAUCGCCCAUCUACCACUUUUGCUUAUCCACCACCGCUCUGAAUCCAUAUCCAUAUACCACCACCAAUCCGUAUCCAUAUACCACCACCAAUCUAUAUCCAUAUACCACCACCGCUACCAUAUACCACCACCGCUGCCAUAUACCACAACCAUAUAUCCACCACCAAUCCGAGUUCUUCUCAUAUUAGGUUUGUUCUUGAGAUCAAUCUAAAUUCUGAUUCGUGUUUCCGUGCCUGCGUAGGUCUCGGAAAAAAAAAGAGUCUGGAGACCCCCGGGCAGUUUUUAGGCCAAAAUUUUCACGGGCAAUUUUUUUUCCCUAUCCUAUUUUUAGGCUUUUUCGAGUCUUUUGAGCCACGUGCCAUCAUAGUAAUUUUUUGUCGCACUUUUUCGUCGUCGCUGCCCUGAUUUCCGAAAAAAAAGUGCAAAAAAAAAUUUCGUGCCCAUCCUAUCAGUUUGACGAGGGAAGAGUUUUGAGACACUCGCCAUUAUAGUGAUUUUUUGCAAAAAAAAGAGGAGCGCCAAAAAAAAGGAGCGCAAAAAAAGAGCGAAAAAAAGAGUUCCAGAGUGUGCUUUUCCCUUAUUUACGUGCAGCGCCGUGAUUUUGUUAGUGUUCUAGGCUCGCGUCUCUAGCACGGUCUAGCCUAGGACCAACACAGUACCGUCGUUGAGCGUUUAUUCAACUUUGCAUCUCUGAAUUGAUUAUUGCUGACCCUUUUUGCUACCAUACUAUAAGCCUUCCCAGCUCCACAUAUAUCUACGUCGUGCGUUUGACUCUCCCUGGCAAUCGCUCUAUCCAAGCUUUUGAGAGUUUUGACUACAACGGUUGCCGAUCACCGCCUGCUGCUUGGUAAGAACUGGUAAGAAUUUGAGAUUUGCUUGACGGAUUUGUGACACCCGCCGCCACCACCACUUGUUAGUAGUCUGUAGGAUCAUAUUCUUGUGUGUUUCUAUUGCUGCUAACCAUGCCAGGUUCACAAGCCGACGAGACUGACUGGGAGAACUUGACGAACAAGGAGCUUCAUGAUACGUUUUAGCAAAUGAUGAGUGGACAGGUGCAAGAUGUGAUAAACAGAUUUGAAGAGGCCAUGGAGAAGAUAGAUGGCAUGGAGAAGACGUUUGAAACAAAGCUCGAUAACAAGUUUGCUGAAUUGCUUUCGCGUUUUCCACCACCACCACCGGCUGCUCCUGCCGCACCUCUGCAACAACAGCAACAACAUCGACUACCUCCACAUCGGGAAACAGCCCUCCGCCGAGCGAGCCGUGUCCCUCUUCAGUCGGGCCAAACUGCUGGUGCUGCUGUUGAUACUUCUGUGGCUCCUACUGCUGAUGUGGAGGAGGAUGAUUAUGUGGGAGAUUAUGAGGAUGAGGUUGAUCAAAAUCAGAACUACGUGCCACCACCAGCACAGCAACCACCAGGUCGUCCACAUGCAAAUAAUGGCAAUGGUAGGGCUCACCCUCAUGUACGAGAUCAUGACCAUCUCCCUAAACUAAAAUUGAAUAUUCCACCAUUUGAGGGUAGAUAUGUUCCUGAUAUAUAUCUUACUUGGGAGUUAGAAACUGAACAAUGAUUUACAUGUUUACAACAUCCCGAGGAGAGACGUGUUCCUGCUGCUGUUUGUGCAUUCAAUAGUUUUGCAUGUGUUUGGUGGUCUGAGCAUUGUAGAUUAUAUCCUAUUCCGGCUACUUGGGCUGCUUUGAAAACUGCUAUGCGUACUCGUUGGGUUCCACCAUAUUAUCAACGUGAAUUACUUCAAAAAUUGCAGCGCUUAAGACAGGGGAAAAAUUCUGUAGAAGAAUAUUAUCACGAAUUACAAACUGGCAUGAUUAGAUGUGGUAUUGUUGAGGAGAAUGAAGCUAUGCUUGCACGUUUUAUGGGUGGAUUAAAUAGAGAGAUUCAGACGAUUCUAGAGUAUAAGGAGUAUACUAAUAUCACUCGUUUAUUCCAUCUUGCUUGUAAAGCUGAACGUGAAGUGCAGGAUCGACAGGCAUUGGCGCGGACUGACUUUUCUGCAGGUCGACCUUCAUCAUGGACACCAUGUGCAUCAUCUACUUCCACACGUUCUGCUACACCGGCGCCUCCGUCGGCUGCCACCUCCAACCGUGAUACAAUAAAGCAGGCACAAUCACCACUAUCUGCCAAGAGCACACCUUCUGGGCUUGCAAAGAGCUCUUCUUCAUCCAUGGCAUCAACAGGGCAAACACAUGAUAUUAUUUGUCGAUGUUGCAAGGGUGGAGGUCAUUAUGCGAGAGAAUGCCCAUCUAAGCGUGUGAUGAUUGUUACUGAGGAUGGUGGGUAUGAGUCCGCUAGUGACUAUGAUGAGGAGACUUUAGCUCUUAUUACACGUGAAGGACACGGUGGAGACGAUUCUGAUCAUGAGACGCAAUGCAUGGCUCCUGAAGAUGCUGACAGGUAUGAAUGUUUAGUUGCUCAACGUGUUUUGAGUGUGCAGGUUACACAUCUGAGCAAAAUCAGAGGCAUAAUUUGUUCCAUAAGGGAGUUGUGAAGGAUCGUUAUGUUCGCGUGAUCAUAGAUGGAGGGAGCUGCAAUAACUUGGCUAGCAUGGAGAUGGUGGAGAAGCUAUCUCUCACCACAAGACCACAUCCACAUCCUUACUACAUCCAAUGGUUCAACAACAGCGGCAAGGUUAAGGUAACACGUACUGUUCGUGUGCAUUUUAGUAUCUCUACAUAUGCUGAUUAUGUUGAUUGUGAUGUGGUACCUAUGCAAGCAUGUUCCUUAUUACUUGGUAGACCAUGGCAAUUUGAUAAAAAUUCUGUACACCAUGGUAGAAACAAUCAGUAUACUCUUGUUCAUAACGAUAAAAAUAUUACUUUGCUUCCUAUGACUCCUGAUUCCAUUUUGAAAGAUGAUAUUAAUAGAGCUAAUAAAGCAAAACAGGAGACAAAUAAGAGUGAAAAUCAGAUUGUGGCAAAAGAAUUUGAGCACCAAAUGAAGCCUAAUAAUAAACCAUCUACUGUUGUUUCUGAAAUUAAAUUGAAAAGUGCAUGUUUACUUGCCACCAAAUCUGAUAUUGAUGAGCUAGAUUUUAGCAAAUCUGUUUGCUAUGCUUUUGUGUGCAAAGAGGCAUUAUUUUCAUUCGAGGACGUGCCUUCCUCUUUGCCCCCUGCUGUCACUAACAUUUUGCAGGAGUUCGCUGACGUCUUUCCACAAGACGUGCCACCGGGAUUACCACCUAUUCGAGGGAUUGAGCAUCAAAUUGACUUAAUUCCCGGUGCUUCGCUACCGAACCCUGCACCAUACCGUACCAAUCCAGAGGAGACGAAGGAGAUUAUGCGUCAAGUACAAGAACUGCUCGACAAAGGUUAUAUACGCGAAUCCCUUAGUCCUUGUGCUGUUCCUAUCAUUUUAGUGCCGAAGAAGGAUGGUACGUCGCGUAUGUGCGUUGAUUGUAGACGCAUUAUUAAUAUUACUAUUCGUUAUCGUCAUCCUAUUCCUAGGCUAGAUGAUAUGCUUGAUGAAUUGAGUGGCUCUACAAUAUUCUCCAAAGUUGUUUUGCGUAGUGGAUACCAUCAAAUUCGUAUGAAAUUGGGUGAUGAAUGGAAAACAGCAUUUAAAACUAAGUUUGGAUUAUAUGAGUGGUUAGUCAUGCCUUUUGGGUUAACUAAUGCACCUAGUACUUUCAUGAGGUUAAUGAACGAAGUUUUACGUGCUUUCAUUGGACGAUUUGUGGUAGUUUACUUUGAUGACAUAUUGAUUUAUAGCAAAUCUUUGGAGGAACAUUUGGAACAUUUACGUGCUGUUUUUAUUGCUCUACGUGAUGCACGUUUGUUUGGAAACCUUGGAAAGUGCACCUUUUGCACCGACUGAGUAUCUUUUCUUGGCUAUGUUGUUACUCCACAGGGAAUUGAAGUUGAUAAAGCCAAGAUUGAAGCUAUUGAGAGUUGGCCGCAGCCCAAAACGGUCACACAAGUGAGGAGUUUCCUUGGCCUCGCUGGUUUCUAUAGGCGUUUUGUGAGAGAUUUCAGCACCAUUGCUGCACCUCUCAACGAGCUUACAAAGAAGGAUGUGCCUUUUGUUUGGGGUACCGCACAGGAAGAAGCCUUCACGGUAUUGAAAGAUAAGUUGACACAUGCUCCUUUACUCCAACUUCCUAAUUUCAAUAAGACUUUUGAGCUUGAAUGUGAUGCUAGUGGAAUUGGAUUAGGAGGUGUGUUAUUACAAGAUGGAAAACCUAUUGCAUACUUUUCUGAAAAAUUGAGUGGGCCUAGUCUGAACUAUUCUACUUAUGAUAAAGAAUUAUAUGCUCUUGUUCGGACCUUAGAAACAUGGCAACAUUAUUUAUGGCCCAAGGAAUUUGUUAUACAUUCUGAUCAUGAAUCUUUGAAACACAUUAAUAGUCAAGCAAAACUGAACUGUAGACAUGCUAAAUGGGUUGAAUUCAUUGAGACUUUCCCUUAUGUCAUUAAACACAAGAAGGGUAAAGAAAAUGUUAUUGCUGAUGCCUUGUCUCGUCGUUAUACUGUGCUUUCACAACUUGACUUUAAAAUAUUUGGUUUGGAGACCAUCAAAGAUCAAUAUGUUCAUGAUGCUGAAUUUAAAGAUGUAUUGCAGAAUUGUAAGGAAGGGAGAACUUGGAACAAGUUUGUUCUUAACGAUGGAUUUGGGUUUCGUGCUAACAAGCUAUGCAUUCCAGCUAGCUCUGUUCGUCUUUUGUUGUUGCAGGAGGCGCAUGGAGGAGGAUUAAUGGGACACUUUGGCGUCAAGAAGACGGAGAUAUAUUUGCUACACAUUUCUUUUGGCCAAAGAUGAGACGGGAUGUUGAGCGUUUCGUUGCUCGCUGCACUACAUUUCAAGUCACGACUCAAUCCUCAUGGUUUAUAUAUGCCUUUGCCUGUACCUAGUGUUCCUUGGGAGGAUAUAUCUAUGGACUUUGUUUUAGGUUUACCUCGAACAAAGAAGGGGAGGGAUAGCAUAUUUGUUGUCGUGGAUAGGUUCUCGAAAAUGGCACACUUUAUACCAUGUCAUAAAAGCGAUGAUGCUGUUAAUGUUGCUGAUUUGUUCUUUCGUGAAAUUAUUCGCUUACAUGGUGUGCCAAAUACUAUUGUUUCAGAUCGUGAUACUAAAUUUCUUAGCCACUUUUGGAGAUGUUUAUGGGCUAAGUUGGGGACUAAGCUGCUUUUUAGUACUACUUGUCACCCCCAAACUGAUGGACAAACUGAAGUAGUCAAUAGAACAUUGUCUACUAUGCUUAGGGCUGUUUUGAAGAAUAACAAGAAAAUGUGGGAAGAAUGCUUGCCUCAUAUUGAAUUUGCUUAUAAUCGUUCAUUGCAUUCUACUACUAAGAUGUGCCCUUUUGAAAUUGUGUAUGGUUUCCUACCUCGUGCACCUAUUGAUUUGUUGCCUCUUCCAUCUUCAAAGAAGGUUCAUUUUGAUGCUAAAGAACGUUCUGAAUUGAUUGUAAAAAUGCAUGAGUUAACUAAGGAAAACAAUGAGCGUAUGAAUGCUAAAUAUAAACUUGCUGGAGAUAAGGGUAGAAAACAUGUUGUGUUUGCGCCUGGAGAUCUUGUUUGGUUACAUUUGCGUAAAGAUAGAUUUCCUAAUCUGCGCAAAUCAAAGCUAAUGCCACGUGCUGAUGGUCCUUUUAAGGUGUUAGAGAAAAUAAAUGAUAAUGCAUAUAAACUUGAGAUACCUGUAGAUUUUGGGGUUAGUCCCACUUUUAACAUUGCAGAUUUGAAGCCUUAUUUGGGUGAGGAAGAUGCGCUUCCGUCGAGGACGACUUCAUUUCAAGAAGGGGAGGAUGAUGAGGACAUCAAUACCAUUGUUACACCCACAGCCCCUACUGUUACAUAUACUGGACCAAUUACUAGAGCUCGCGCACGCCCAUUAAAUUACCAGGUACUUUCGUUUCUUGGUAAUGAUUCUAAUGUUCAUGAGAUUAUGAUGCUGCCUAAAUUGGAUACAUUUGUUUUGCUUACAAAUGAAGGGCCUAGCUUGGAGAAGGAUGAACAUUGGAGCAAGAACACGCAUGGAGUUGAUGGCAUGCGCAAGGGGAUCAAGAACGGAGUUACAAGUGAUGAUUUCAGGACUUUGAAGCCGCCAUAAGGAGUGCAUGAAGCCUUGGACGGAAUAUACAAGGUGCCACUUCAUAAUAUUCGUCCAUAGGCUAUUCUAGGUGCUGCGUCACCUUAUUAAUGGGCCAGGCCCAUGUAAUUUCGAAAUACUUAAGUAUAGGCUAUUUUUAGAGUCCGUAUGUGUGGGGAAACAAGAGUUAGGGUUGGUUUCGGACCCCACCCUCAAGGGCCACGAAAUUCCCCCCUCUUCCUCCAUAUAUACAGCCCUUAGGGCGUCGUUUAGACUUUGGGUUUUGUUUAGAUUAAAAGUUCGCCAUAGCUGCAACUUCGCGUACUUCGUUUGUGUCCAACGACCAGACCAAGACAUCACAAAACCCCACCUUGAUCAAUAAAGCUUUCAUCUUAUAUUCGCAAUAUCCCAAUUGCAAUCUCAGUUUCUUGCUUGUUCUUCGUUUGCUCGUAGGAAACAGACCCUCGUGGUCAGGUUGAUCGUGCUCCGGCGUGGUCAAUAACCCUCGUAAGUUGGUUUAGCGAUUGCUAAGGCGCGACGUCUCGCACGUUCGUAGUCGGAUCGUCAAGGUCGACUCCCACAGAGAACGAUAGCCACCAUCUCAUCGAAACAUCGGGACACCUUAGCCUCUAUCAGGAUCACUCCAAUGUAGGACAAGGAAAUAGCACAAUUGGUAUGAGUUCUUGUCGGUUUCUCACACCUACACACGUAAAAGCUUUUGGUGGAGCUUGGUUAGGAUGGUGGUAGAAAAUUUUAUGCAAUUGUAAGUGAACUUCAAUAAUGUUGGAAAAGAUUCACAAGAUGCAAUGUAACAAGUAGACCAAGCAUAUAAGGUACAUGGAAACACACAUGCAAAAAGAUAAGUGGGGUUGUGCAACCAAGGGUGAGCCAAAAUGUGGAAUCCACGAAAAUGCUCUUGUUGCACAACACUAGAGAGAUGCUAGCACGAUUGCACAAUAGGCGGAUACAAGAACUUGUGCACAACCUACUUAGCACAAAUGCAACGACUACUAUCCCAAAUAUUUUGUAUGUGAGGUGUUGCUAUGAUAUGAUCCAAGAUGAUCGAGUAUCACAAUAUUAAUGUUGUAUGAUGCUAUGGUUCCUGCUUAAAAGUUCUUUGCUUAUCUUUCCUCUUUGCUUAAAAGCUUGGUUGGCUCUUUGAUGUUUGAGCUCUUUUCUCAUGCAAUGCUUGACGAACCAAGAUAGCAAGUGAGUAUGCGAUGACAACUUUGUGACACAAGAGAUGAUACCAAUAUAGGCAACAAUGGUGUAUGUAUGCUAUGGGAAGUAUGAUCACUAAUGUGCACAAGUCUCGUUGCCGGGAAUACUCAAUGGCUAGUCUCGUUGGGUAAGCAACACAAAGGAGUAAGGCUAUGAUGGCUAUCAAUGUAAUGGCAAGAGUGAUAUGUUCAAUACCAAGAUGAGGUUACCGGUCUUGCUUCCGGUAUGGUCUCAAAAUGAUGGCACGAAUACCAAGCCAUAGUCGAGGUGGUCGUUGUUAUGACGCGUCCAUUGCGAAGAUGAGCAGCGGUGAUGUCGAUGUCGAACCGUACCUAGAUAGCCGAAACACAAAAGCAUACGGUACCGCAACUCAAAUUCUCAAACCUCAAAGUAGCAAUUGUGUCGGAGAGCGAAAUGUUCCAAAAAUAGUUGGGUUAUGCGGAAGUGGUGGAGGUAUGCGGAAGUAUAUAUGGUAUAUGGUGAGCAUCGGAACAAAAUUUGGUGGAAAUUGGGCGGAGUUAUGGAAGUAGUGCGAACUUUCUGUCGAAGCCGGAAGUUCCGGGCAAGACAGAGGGUCCGGGGAAGGCCGGAAGGUCCGGGGGCCGGAAUGUCCGGGCUGGACCGGAAGUUCCGGUGGUCGUGAUUCUACCAAGAACAGAGACUUCGGGAUCGUGGAUUUAGGCGGAAAAACUUGGGGAAAAGCCCAAAUCCGAAGGGGGAAAAGAAGAAAUUGGAGGAAAAGAAAGGUGGGGAGGCUAGAUCUACGAGCCACACACAAAAUUCACGGAUCAAAACCAACAAAAUCUCAACACACCAACAAAUCACAAAAAAAUUUGGGGCUAUUUUUGGUGGGGAUUUUCGGAUUAGGACGAAAAACAACAAAAUUAGGCUAGAAACACAACGGGGAGGCUCCGAAAUCGUGAUCAACCUUGCUCUAGAUACCAAGAUGAUGUAGGGUAGAACCCUAGUGGCCCGAUCUUUCACGAAAGGAGCGGAUCCCGCGAAGAACACGAUGAACACAAAGAGGGAAACGACGGAAAAUGGGGGGAAACUCAAGGGGAAACACAAGAGGAACACUCAAACUAACAAGAACAAGUCACACAUGUGCUAGAUCCUCGGAUACAUAGAACGAUACACGAAUCCACAGACAACUAAGGAUGAUACAAAGGGUAGCUGGUUCUUCUCUGUGAGGAGGUCUUGAUGUUCUUCUCCAAAAGGAGGUCUUGAAUCCAAAAGGAUCUUCUCCGAAGAGGCCGCGGUCUCUCACGAGGAGUAGAUCCGAUGUGGAUGAGCGAAGCUCUAUCUCUAAGUAUGAGCUCACCCAACGCUAACCCUAGAAAGUUGUACGAGAUAGAGUAUAUAUAGUCUAGGUGACGAAAGGGUACACGGGCCUCGGCCCAAGUGGCUGCGCGCAGGCAGGGCCGGAAGCUCCGGGCUAGGCCGGAAGUUCCGGGCGCCGGAGGUUCCGGGGAGGGUCCGGCCUAACCAGAGAGUUGGCGCGGCGAAGAUGUGUUGGCAUCCGGGGGCCGGAAGGUCCGGGCAGGCCGGAGGUUCCGGGCGCCGGAAGGUCCGGGAUGGGGUCCGGGCUAACCCGAGAGUUGACACGCCUGGGCUGGUCGAAGUCAUCGGCGGCCGGAAGCUCCAGGUCGGCCGGAAGGUCCGGGGGCCGGAAGUUCCGGGCUCUGGCCAGAGGCUCCGGGCUGUCCAGAGUGUUGACGCCUGUCUCUUCUUCUACAGUCCUCGGCUCCGAGUCUUGAGCGUUGUACCUGAUGACACAUAGUAUCUCAGACUUAGGCAGUAGCCAUGUCUCACUUGAAGAGGGGGAAAACUCAAGUAGGAGUGAUGUCACCUCGGAUUGAAUAGCACGUGCCCUAGCCCUUGUCAUUGGUCCACUUGGAGCUUGGAUAGUUGAGGUGGCGUCCAUGGGGAUGGUCGUGGGAUGCCCCGCAUCAAAUCAGAGGAUGCACGUGGUGUCCAUGAUGAAGAUCGACCUGCAGAAAAGUUAGUUCGCGCCAAUGCCUGUCGAUCCUGCACUUCACAUUCAGCUUUACAAGCAAGAUGGAAUAAACAAGUGAUAUUAGUAUACUCCUUAUACUCUAGAAUGGUCUGAAUCUCUCUAUUUAAUCCACCCAUAAAACGUGCAAGCAUAGCUUCAUUCUCCUCAACAAUACCACAUCUAAUCAUGCCAGUUUGUAAUUCCUGAUAAUAUUCUUCUACAGAAUUUUUCCUUGUCUUAAACGCUGCAAUUUUUGAAGUAAUUCACGUUGAUAAUAUGGUGGAACCCAAUGAGUACGCGUAGCAGUUUUCAAAGCAGCCCAAGUAGCUGGAAUAGGAUAUAAUCUACAAUGUUCAGACCACCAAACACAUGCAAAGCUAGUGAAAGCAAAAACAGCAGCAGGAACACGUCUCUCCUCAGGAUAUUGUAAACAUGUAAAUCGUUAUUCAGUUUCUAACUCCCAAGUAAGAUAUAUAUCAGGAACAUAUCUACCCUCAAAUGGUGAAAUAUUCAAUUUUAGUUUAGGAAGAUGGUCAUGUACCUCAGGUGGUGGUGCAGCCCUACCGUUGCAAUGAUAUGCAUGAGGACGACCUGGUGGUGGUGGUGCUGGUGGUUGCACGUAGUUCUGAUUUUGGUCAACCUCAUCCUCGUAAUGGUCCUCCACCUCUGCAGUAGCAGCAGGAGCGGCAGAAGCAUCAACAGCGGCACCAGAAUUUUGCCCAGGGUCAAUGGGAACGCACUGUGCUCGUCCCACUUGAUUUGGAAAGUGACGUUGUUGUUGUUGUAGUUGUUGGAGAGGUGCGUUAGGCCGAAAUGGGGGCUUGAUAUUGAAAGUCUUGAGCCAUAGGCCCAAAUGGGGGCGGAUGUGGAGGAAAGCCUCGCACACGACGAUAAACGCCGAGAUGUUGAGGACAAAGUUCGAGGCCAGAUCAUGGAAAUCUAGGCCAUAGUAGAACAUGAGCCCCCGAACAAAUGGGUGAAGAGGGAAGCCCAGUCCGCGGAGGAAAUGGGGGAGGAACACCACCCUCUCAUGGGGCCUAGGGGUGGGGAUGAGCUACCCCUUUUCAGGAAGCCGGUACGCAAUGUCGUUAGACAAGUAUCCGGCCUUCCUCAGUUUUUUGAUGUGUCCCUCCGUGACGGAGGAGACCAUCCACUUGCCUCUCGCUCCGGACAUGGCUGGAGAAGGUUGAGGUGGGGAGUGCGGACUUGGGCGCUGGAGCUCGAGUGCGCGAGAAUGGAUAAGCAAGGGAGGAAGAAGGCGUAGGUGAAAAGGUGGAUCCUUAUCCCCUUAUAUGGAUGGACGCAACUACGUGUCCCACCAGCCUGGUAAAACUCGCUUAUCUCCAAGCGCCGUAAUCAAUGGCACGGUUGGGUUACCCACGCCCGUAUUGAUGAGAAUCCCGGAAUAAUGGGACACGAUCUCUACUUUAACAAGACGUGCCAAGGAAACCGCCUCACAUGACGCGCUGAGGUGGGAUAAUGAAACGACUCGGAUAAAGGCUUGGCCGUGGUGUGUCACACUACGGAAUACGUCAGCAGAUUAGAUUUGUGUAAAUAUUAUUCUCUCUAUGGCAAUAUGUGGAAACUUAUUUUGCAGAGUCGGACACUAUCUUUGUGUUCAAAAUCUUCUAUGAAGUACUUGGAGGAGGAACCCGCCUUGCAAUGCUGAAGACAAUCUGCGCGCCGGACUCGUCGUCAUUGAAGCCUGGUUCAGGGGAUACUGAGGGAGUCCUGGAUUAGGGGGUGUCCGGAUGGCUGGACUAUACCUUCAACCGGACUCCUGGACUAUGAAGAUACAAGAUUGAAGACUCCGUCCCGUGUCCGAAAGGGACUUUCCUUGGAGUGGAAGGCAAGCUUGGCGAUACGGAUAUGCAGAUCUCCUACCAUUGUAACCGACUUUGUGUAACCCUAACCCUCUCCAGUGUCUAUAUAAACCGGAGGGUUUUAGUCCGUAGGACAACAUACACAACAACAAUCAUACCAUAGGCUAGCUUCUAGGGUUUAGCCUCUCCGAUCUCGUGGUAGAUCUACUCUUGUACUACCCAUAUCAUCAAUAUUAAUCAAGCAGGACGUAGGGUUUUACCUCCAUCGAGAGGGCCCGAACCUGGGUAAAACUUCGUGUCCCUUGCCUCCUGUUACCAUCCGGCCUAGACGCACAGUUCGGGACCCCCUACCUGAGAUCCGCCGGUUUUGACACCGACACUCACCGAGCAACCUGGAAAUCUAAUACCACUUGAUAGAGGCUAAGGUGUCCCGAUGUUUCGAUGAGAUGGUGGCUAUCAUUUUCUGUGGGAGUCGACCUUGAUGAUCCAACUAUGAACGUGCGAGACGUCGCGCCUUAGCAAUCGAUAAACCAACUUCCGAGGGUUAUUGACCACGCCGGAGCACGAUCAACCUGACCACGAGGUUCUGUUUCCUGCGAGCAAAUGAAGAACAAGCAAGAAACUAAGAUUGCAAUCUGGAUAUUGCGAAUAUAAGAUGAAAGCUUUAUUGAUCAAGGUGGGGUUCUGUGAUGCCUUUGUCUGGUCGUUGAACACAAACGAAGUACGCGAAGUUGCAGCUAUGGCGAACUUUAAUCUAAACAAAACCCAAAGUCUAAACGACACCCUAAGGGCUGUAUAUAUGGAGGAAGAGGGGGGGAUUUCGUGGCCCUUGGAGGAGGGGUCCGAAACCAACCCUAACUCUUGUUUCCCUACACAUACGGACUCUAAAAACAGCCUAUACUUAAGUAUUUCAAAAAUACAUGGGCCUAGCCCAAUAAUAAGGUGAUGCAACACCUAAAAUAGCCUCUGGACGAAAUUUAUGAAGUGGCAUAUAGUAUAUUUUGUCCAAGGCUUCAUGCACUCCUUAUGGUGGCUUCAAAGUCCUGAAAUCAUCACUUGUAACUCCGUUCUUGACACCCUUGCGCAUGCCAUCAUCUCCAUGCUUGAACUUGAUCCAAGGUUCAUCUUUCUUGUCCAAGCUAGGCCCUUCAUUUGUAAGCAAAACAAAUGUAUCCAAUUUAGGCAGCAUCGUAUUCUCAUGAACAUUAGAAUCGUUACCAAGAAACGAAAGUACCUGAUAAUUCAAUUGGCGUGCGCGAGCUCUAGUAAUUGGUACAGUAUGUAUAGCAGCAGGGGCUGUGGGUGUAACAAUGGUAUUGAUGUCCUCAUCACACGUGAUAUCCCAUUGUCACCACAAAUACGCACGGUAAGACAUACAUCAAGUGUUCUCAAAUCCUUAAAGACUCAAUCCGAUAAGAUAACUGCAAAGGGAAAACUCAAUCCAUUACAAGAGAGUAGAGGGGGGAAUAAACAUCAUAGGAUCCAAAUAUAAUAGCAAAGCUCGUGAUACAUCAAGAUCGUAACACCUCAAGAACACGAGAGAGAGAGAUCAAACACAUAGCUACUGGUACAUACCCUCAGCCCCGAGGGAGAACUACUCCCUCCUCGUCAUGGAGUGCACCGGGAUGAUGAAGAUGGCCACCGGCGAAGGAUUCCCCCUUCGGCAGGGUGCCAGAACGGGUCUAGGUUGGCUUUUGGUGGCUACGGAGGCUUCUGGCAGCGGAACUCCCGAUCUAUUGUGCUCCCCGAUCGUUUUAGGGUAUAUGGAGAUAUAUAGGCGGAAGAAGUAUAUCAGGGGAGCCAUGAGGGGCCCGCGAGGGUGGAGGGCGCGCCCAGGGGAUUGGGCGCAACCCCCCUACCUCGUGGCUUCCUUGAAGCUACCUUGACGUGGACUCCAAGUCUCCUGGGUUGCUUUCCUUCCAAAAAUAAGUUCCGUGAAGUUUCAGGUCAAUUGGACUCCGUCUGAUUUUCCUUUUCUGUGAUACUCUAAAAUAAGGAAAAAACAGAAACUGGCAUAUAGGUGGAAGAAGUAUGUCAGGGGAGCCACGAGGGGCCCACAAGGGUGGAGGGCGUGCCCAGGGGGGGUGGGUGCGCCCCCUACCUCGUGGCUUCCUCGAAACUUCCUUGACGUGGACUCCAAGUCUCCCGGGUUGCUUUCCUUCCAAAAAUAAGUUCCGUGAAGUUUCAGGUCAAUUGGACUCCGUCUGAUUUUCCUUUUCUGCAAUACUCUAAAACAAGGAAAAAACAGAAACUGGCACUGGGCUCUAGGUAUUAGGUUAGUCCCAAAAAUAAUAUAAAAGUGUAUAAUAAAGCCCAUAAACAUCCAAAAUAGAUAAUAUAAUAGCAUGGAACAAUCAAAAAUUAUAGAUACGUUGGAGACGUAUCAACAUCCCCAAGCUUAAUUCCUGCUCGUCCUCGAGUAGGUAAAUGAUAAAAACAGAAGUUUUGAUGUGGAAUGCUACCUAACAUAUUCAUCAUGUAUUUCUCUCUAUUGUAGCAAGAAUAUUCAGAUCCAUAAGAUUCAAGACAAAAGUUUAAUAUUGACAUAAAAAUAAUAAUACUUCAAGCAUACUAACUAAGCAAUCAUGUCUUCUCAAAAUAACAUGGCCAAAGAAAGUUCAUCCCUACAAAAUCAUAUAGUUUGGUCAUGCUCCAUUUUCAUCACACAAGAAUGCUCUCAUCAUGCACAACCCCGAUGACAAGCCAAGCAAUUGUUUCAUACUUUAGUAAUCUCGAACCUAUAAACUUUCACACAAUAUAUGAGCGCGAGCCAUGGAUAUAACACUAUCAGCAGAAUAGAAUAUGAUGAUGGGGGUUAUGUGCAGACGACAAAAAAGGAGAAAGUCUCACAUCAACGAGGCUUAUCAAUGGGCUAUGGAGAUGCCCAUCAAUUGAUGUUAAUGCAAGGAGUAGGGAUUGCCAUGCAAUAGAUGCACUAGAGCUAUAAAUGUAUGAAAGCUCAACAAAAGAAACUAAGUGGGUGUGCAUCCAACUUGCUUGCUCACGAAGACCUAGGGUACUUGAGGAGGCCCAUUGUUGGAAUAUACAAGCCUAGUUCUAUAAUGAAAAAUUCCCACUAGUAUAUGAAAGUGACAAAACAAGAGACUCUCUAUCAUAAAGAUCAUGGUGCUACUUUAAAGCACAAGUGUGGAAAAAGGAUAGUAGCAUUGUCCCUUUUAUUUUUAUUUUUAUUUUUUAUUUGGCCUUUCUUUUUUUGGGACAAUGCUCUAUGAAUGAUGAUCAUCACACUUCUAUUUAUUUACAACUCAAUGAUUACAACUCGAUGCUAGAACAAAAGAUGACUCUAUAUGAAUGCCUCCGGUGGUGUGCCGGGAUAUGCAAUGAACCAAGAGUGACAUGUAUGAAAGAAUUAUGAACGGUCGCUUUGCCACAAAUACUAUGUCAACUACAUGAUCAUGCUAAGCAAUAUGACAAUGAUGAAUGUGUCAUAAUAAACGGAACGGUGGAAAGUUGCAUGGCAAUAUAUCUCGGAAUGGCUAUGGAAAUACCAUAAUAGGUAGGUAUGGUGGCUGUUUUAAGGAAGAUAUAAGGAGGUUUAUGUGUGAAAGAGCGUAUCAUAUCACGGGGUUUGGAUGCACCGGCGAAGUUUGCACCAACUCUCAAUGUGAUAAAGGGCAAUGCACGGUACCAAAGAGGCUAGCAAUGAUGGAAGGGUGAGAGUGCGUAUAAACCAUGGACUCAACAUUAGUCAUAAAGAACUCACAUACUUAUUGCAAAAAUCUACAAGUCAUCAAAAACCAAGCAUUACGCGCAUGCUCCUAGGGGGAUAGAUUGGUAGGAAAAGACCAUGGCUCGUCCCCGACCGCCACUCAUAAGGAAGACAAUCAAAUAACACCUCAUGUUUAAAAUUUGUUACACAACGUUUACCAUACAUGCAUGCUUCGGGACUUGCAAACUUCAACACAAGUAUUCCUCAAAUUCACAACUACUCAACUAGCACAUCUUUGAUAUCACUGUCUCCAUAUCUCGAAACAAUCAUCAAGUAUCAAACUUCUCUUAGUAUUCAAUGCAUUCUAUAUGAAAGUUUUUAUUAUACCCAUCUUGGAUGCCUAUCAUAUAAGGACUAGAUUCAUAACCAAAGCAAACUACCAUGCUAUUCUAAAGACUCUCAAAAUAAUAUAAGUGAAGCAUGAGAGUUCAUCUAUUUUUCAAAAUAAAACUACCACCAUGCUCUAAAAGAUAUAAGUGAAGCACUAGAGCAAACAACAAACUACUCCGAAAGAUAUAAGUGAAGAUCAAUGAGUAAUUGAAUAAUUAUGCGACUAUGUGAAGACUCUCUAACAUUUAAGAAUUUCAUAUCUUGGUAUUUUAUUCAAACAGAAAGCAAAACAAAAUGAAAUAAAAUGACGCUCCAAGCAAAACACAUAUCAUGUGUUGAAUAAAAAUAUAGCUCCAAGUAAAGUUACCGAUGAACGAAGAUGAAAGAGGGGAUGCCUUCCGGGGCAUCCCCAAGCUUAGGAUUUUGGUUGUCCUUGAAUAUUACGUUGGGGUGCCUUGGGCAUCCCCAAGCUUGGGCUAUUGCCACUCCUUAUUCCAUAGUCCAUCGAAUUUUUACCCAAAACUUGAAAACUUCACAACACAAAACUUAAUAGAAAACUCGUAAGCUUCGUUAGUAUAAGAAAAUAAAUCACCACUUAGGUACUGUUGUGAACUCAUUCUAAAUUCAUAUUGGUGUAAUAUCUACUGUAUUCCAACUUAUCUAUGAUUCAUACCCUCCGAUACUACUCAUAGAUUCAUCAAAAUAAGCAAACAACACAUCAAAAACAGAAUCUGUCAAAAACAGAACAGUCUGUAGUAAUCUGGAUCAAACGCAUACUUCUGGAACUCAUAAAAUUAUAAAAUAAAUUGCUGGACGUGAGGAAUUUAUCUAUUAAUCAUCUUCAAAAAGAAUUAACUAAAUAGCACUCUCCAAUAAAAAAUGGCAGCAAUUCUCGUGAGCACUAAAGUUUUUCUUUUUUACAGCAUGAUCGCAAAGACUUCACCCAAGUCUUCCCAAAGGUUCUACUUGGCACAAAUACUAAUUAAAACAUAAAAACUCAAUCAUAACAGAGUCUAGAUAAAUUAUUUAUUACUAACUAGGAACAAAAAGCAAGGAACAAAAAUAAAGUUGGGUUGCCUCCCAACAAGCGCUAUCGUUUAACGCCCCUAGCUUGGCAUGAUGAUUUCAAUGAUGCUCACAUAAGACAUAAGAAUUGAAACAUAAAGAGAGUAUCAUGAAGCAUAUGACAAGCACAUUUAAGUCUAACCCUCUUCCUAUUCAUAGGGAUUUUGGGAGCAAGCAACUUAUGGGAACAAUAAUCAACUAGCAUAGGAGGGCAAAACAAGCAUAACUUCAAAGUUUUAAGCACAUAGAGAGGAAACUUGAUAUUAUUGCAAUUCCUACAAGCAUAUAUUCCUCCCUCAUAAUAAUUUUCAGUAGCAUCAUGAAUGAAUUCAACAAUAUAACCAGAACCUAAAGCAUUCUUUUCAUGAUCUACAAGCAUAGAAUUUUUAUUACUCUCCACAUAAGCAAAAUUCUUCCCAAUCGGAAUAGUGAGAGUAUCAUAAGAGACUCGAAUACUAUAAAUUGUUUCCACAUUAAAAGAGUAAUGUUCAGAAAAGGGAUAAUCAUAAUCAUGACAAGUUUUAUAAAUAUAAUCACUACUUUUUAUAUCAUAAGUAUCAUCACAUUAAUCAUCAUAAGUAGAAGGCAUGCUAUCAUCAUUAUAAAUUUGCAUAUCAAAACUUGGGAGACUAAAAAUAUCAUUUUCGUUAAACGUAGCAUCCCCAAGCUUGGGACAAACAUUAAUUGCAGAAAAUAUAUUCUCAAAAACAUCAUAUUCAUCAAACAUAGCAUCCCCAAGCUUGGGCCUUUUCAUAUCAUAAGCAUAAUCACUCUCAUCAUUAAUAGCAUGGACAACACCAAUAGUAUAGCAAUUAUCAUAUUCUUCCAAGCAAGUGCCAAAAAGAUUUUUAAGAUCAUAAGAAGUAUCAUUAUCUUCCCAAUCAUAAUCAUCACAACAAGCAAUAGGUAUAAUGAGAUCAUCAUCAAGUGCAUCAUCUUCCACAAUUAUUUUUGAUUUAUUUUCAUGAGGCACAACAAUAAUGGGAGCAACAUUAUUUGGGAGAGAUAUCUUUUUACCUCUUUUCCUUUUUCUUUUCUUCUUCUUAACCUCAUGUGUGGGUUCAAUCCUCUUUUUAGAGCUCCUUAUUAAUGAGAUUGGUUGAAUAGAAGGCUCCUCCUCGUUACCUGAUUCAUCAUAAGAAAUAAUAGGAGAAUAUUGGGAAGUCUCUUCCCGUUCGUUAGUAUUCUCUUCAUCCUCUAUUUGUUUUCUUUUCUUUAUGUAAUUGGCAAUAUAAGGAUUUUCAAUGCAAUUCACUGCACAAUACAUAUAAAUUUCCUCUAUAUCAAAAUGAAGAACUCUAUCAAGGGCAAAUUUUGGAAUAUCCUUAGUUAUACGUUUCAUUUCUUCAUAACCCAAGAGCAAACUAAGUUCAUUAUGAUGUGCAAGGGAAAUCAAGUCAUCACAAUUUUUGGACAUGAUACGAUCUUGAAACAAUUUGCAUUGGGUACUAAAAUGAUCAUGUUCAUUGCAAAGUUCACAAGUACGGCUAAGAAAAUUUAAAUUUUCAACACAAACAUCUAGCCUUUCUUGCAACCAUUUAGUUUCUAAAUGCUUAUGCCUCUUGCAAUAUCUAUCUUCCCUAUUUCGUGUGUACUUGCAAACCCAAUGUACUCCACAAAAAUUGACAUGUUUAUAGGAGACAUUUUCAUCAUAACUAGUGCAAUCAUCAUUAGUACUAUGGAUAUUCAAGGAGUUCAUACUAACAACAUUGCGAUCAUGCUCACCAUUCAAAGAUUUAGUGCCAAACAUUUUAAUGCAUUCUUCUUCUAGCACUUGAGCACAAUUUUCCUUUCCAUCGUACUCACGAAAGAUACUAAAAAGAUGAAGCGUAUGAGACAAACUUAAUUCCAUUUUUUAAUUUUCUUUUAUAAACUAAACUAGUGCUAAAACAAGAAACAAAAAGAUUUGAUUGCAAGAUCUAAAGAUAUACCUUCAAGCACUCACCUCCCGGGCAACGGCGCCAGAAAAGAGCUUGAUGUCUACUACACAACCUUCUUCUUGUAGACAUUGUUGGGCCUCCAAGCGCAGAGGUUUGUAGGGCAGUAGCAAAUUUCCCUCAAGUGGAUGACCUAUGGUUUAUCAAUCCGUAGGAGGCGUAGGAUGAAGAUGGUCUCUCUCAAGCAACCUUGCAACCAAAUAACAAAGAGUCUCUUGUGUCCCCAACACACCCAAUACAAUGGUAAAUUGUAUAGGUGCACUAGUUCGAUGAAGAGAUGGUGAUAUAGGUGGUAUAUGGAUGGUAGAUAAAGGUUUUUGUAAUCUGAAAAUAUAAAAACAGCAAGGUAACUAAUGAUAAAAGUGAGCACAAACGGUAUUGCAAUGCGUUGAAACAAGGCCUAGGGUUCAUACUUUCACUAGUGCAAGUUCUCUCAACAAUAAUAACAUAAUUGGAUCACAUAACUAUCCCUCAACAUGCAACAAAGAGUCACUCCAAAGUCACUAAGAGCGCAGAACAAACGAAAAGAUUAUAGUAGGGUACGAAACCACCUCAAAGUUAUUCUUUCCAAUCAAUCCGUUGGGCUAUUCCUAUAAGUGUCACAAACAGCCCUAGAGUUCGUACUAGAAUAACACCUUAAGACACAAAUCAACCAAAACCCUAAUGUCACCUAUAUACUCCAAUGUGAUGAGCACAUCAAUACAAUUGUUACAUCCACAGCCCCUGCUGCUAUACAUACUGGACCAAUUACUAGAGCUCGUGCACACCAACUAAAUUACCAGGUACUUUCGUUUCUUGGUAAUGAUUCUAAUGUUCAUGAGAAUAUGAUGCUGCCUAAAUUGGAUACAUUUGUUUUGCUUACAAAUGAAGGGCCUAGCUUGGAGAAGGAUGAACAUUGGAGCAAGAACAAGCAUGGAGACGAUGGCAUGCGCAAGGGGAACAAGAACGGAGUUACAAGUGAUGAUUUCAGGACUUUGAAGCCACCAUAAUGGGUGCAUGAAGCCUUGGACGAAAUAUACAAGAUGCCACUUCAUAAAUUUCGUCCCGAGGCUAUUUUAGGUGCUGCGUCACCUUAUUAUUGGGCCAGGCCCAUGUAAUUUCGAAAUACAUAAGUAUAGGCUAUUUUUAGAGUCCGUAUGUGUGGGGAAACAAGAGAUAGGGUUGAUUUCGGACCCCUCCACCAAGGGCCACGAAAUUCCCCCCUCUUCCUCCAUAUAUAUAGCCCUUAGGGCAUCGUUUAGACUUUGGGUUUUGUUUAGAUUAAAAGUUCGCCAUAGCUGCAACUUCGCGUACUUCGUUUGUGUUCAACGACCAGACAAAGGCGUCACAGAACCCCACCUUGAUCAAUAAAGCUUUCAUCUUAUAUUCGCAAUAUCCAGAUUGCAAUCUCAGUUUCUUGCUUGUUCUUCGUUUGCUCGCAGGAAACAGACCCUCGUGGUCAGGUUGAUCGUGCUCUGGCGUGGUCAAUAACCUCUCGGAGUUGGUUUAGCGAUUGCUAAGGCGCGACGUCCUCGCACGUUCGUAGUCGGAUCGUCAAAGUCGACUGCCACCAAAGCGAUAUCCAUCAUCUCAUCGAAAGACGGGACACCUUUGCCUAUAUCAAGUGGUAUCAGAUUUCCAGGUUGCUCGGUGAGAUUUUACAGUUUUUCGUAGUUUAGAUCGAGUCUAUUCUUCAUACUUAUAGUCCAUGAAAAAGCCACACAAAAAAUUAGGGUUAGUUCAUCAUAUCCGAACCAAUCUGAGCCUUUGCAUAAUCUUUUUAGGGUUUUGCAUUGUUGAAUUUGCGGUUGCAUCGUCAUGUCUAGUUGCUGGUCUUAGAGUCUAGUCUUUUAGAGUUUCGAGUUCUGGUCAUAAGUUGUCACGCCGCCGCCGCACCAUCAUCAUCACCCCUGCCAUCUACCACCACCGCUUAUCCGCCACCGCUUCGAAUCCGUAUCCAUAUACCACCACAGCUGUCAUAUACCACCACCGCUGCCAUCUACCACCAUAUAUCCACCACCAAUCCGAGUUCUUGUCAUAUUAGGUUUGUUUUCGAGAUCCAUCUAGAUUCCGAUUCGUGUUUCCUUGCCGGAGUCCGGAAACCACGCUCCGUUUAGGCCCAAAAUUUUUCGAAAACGCAUUUUUCGAAAAAAAUUCUGGCUAUCCUAUUUUUAGGUGUUUCUGAGUGUUUUGAGAGAGGUGCCAUUAUAGGAAGUUUUUUUGACCCGUUUCCAGAUUUUGGGUCCGGGCAGUCGAAAAAAAAAUUGGUCAAAAAAAAUUUCGUGCCCAUCCUGUCAGUUUGAGCUAGGAAGAGUUUUGAGACACUCGCCAUUAUAGUGAUUUUUCGCAAAAAAAAAGCAGCGCAAAAAAAAUUGUCUAGCCUAGUUUACGUGUCGCGCCGUGAUUUUGUUGGUGUUCUAGGCUCGCGUCUCUAGCACAGUCUAGCCUAGGACCAGCACAGUACCAUCGUUGAGCGUUUAUUCAACUUUGCAUCUCUAAAUUGAUUAUUGCUGACCCUUUUUGCUAUGAUAUUAUAAGCCUUCCCAGCUCCACAUACAUCUACGUUGUGCGUUUGACUCUCCCUGGUAAUCGCUCUAUCCAAGCUUUGAGAGUUUUUGACUACAACGGUUGCCGAUCACCGCCUGCUGCUGGGUAAGAACUGGUAAGAAUUUGAGAUUUGCUUGACGGAUUUGUGACACUCACCACCACCUCUUGUUAGUAGUCUGUAGGAUCAUAUUAUUGUGUGUUUCUAUUGCUGCUAACCAUGCCAGGAUCACAAGCCAACGAGAAUGACUGGGAGAACAUGACGAAUAAGGAUUUGCAUGAUAAAUUUCAGCAAAUGAUGAGUGGACAGGUGCAAGACGUGCUAAACAGAUUUGAAGAGGCCAUGGAGAAGAUAGAUGGCAUGGAGAAGACGUUCGAAACAAAGCUCGAUAACAAGUUUAAUGAAUUGCUCCCGCGUCUUCCACCACCACCACCCGCUGGACCUAACGCACCUCUCCAACAACAACAACAACGACUACCUCCACGUCACGAAAUAGACCUCCGCCGAGCGAGCCGUGUUCCUCUUGCGUUUGGACAAACUGUUGGUGCUGCUGUUGAUACUUCUGUGGCUCCUGCUGCUGAUGCGGAGGAGGAUGAUUAUGUGGGAGAUUACGAGGAUGAGGUUGCUCAAAAUCAGAACUAUGUGCAACCACCAGCACCACCACCAGCAGGUCGACCUCAGGUAUAUAUUCGUAAUAGUAGGCCUACACCACCACCUCAGGUACGAGAUGAUGUCCAUAUUCCUAAACUGAAAUUGAAUAUUCCACCAUUUGAGGGUAGAUAUGUUCCUGAUAUAUAUGUUACUUGGGAGUUAGAAACUGAACAACGUUUUACAUGUUUACAAUAUCCCAAGGAGAGACGGGUUGCUGCUGCUGUUUGUGUUUUCACUAGUUUUGCAUGUGUCUGGUGGUCUGAACAUUGUAGAUUAUAUCCUAUUCCAACUACUUGGGCUGCUUUGAAAACUGCUAUGCGUACUCGUUGGGUUCCACCAUAUUAUCAACGUGAAUUGCUUCAAAAAUUGCAGCGUUUAAGACAAGGAAAAAAUUCUGUAGAAGAAUAUUAUCAGGAAUUACAAACUGGCAUGAUUCGAUGUGGUAUUGUUGAGGAGAAUGAAGCUAUGCUUGCACGUUUUCUGGGUGGAUUAAACAGAGAGAUUCAGACCAUUCUAGACUAUAAGGAGUAUACUAAUAUCACUCGUUUAUUCCAUCUUGCUUGUAAAGCUGAACAUGAAGUGCAGGAUCGACAAGCAUUGGCGCGAACUAACUUUUCUGCAGGCCGACCUUCAUCAUGGACACCGCAUGCAUCUUCUACUUCAACUGCACCAGCACCUCAAUCAGGUGCCUCCUACAGCCGUGAUACACGAAAAUAGGAACAACCACCAUUAUCUGCCAAGAGCGCACCUGCCGGGCCUGCACAGAGUUCUUCUUCUUCCAGGGCAUCAACAGGGCACACAAGUGAUAUUAUUUGUCGUUGUUGUAAGGGAGGAGGUCAUUAUGCGAGAGAAUGCAAAUCUCCGCGUGUGAUGAUUGCUACCAAGGGUGGUGGAUAUGAGUCCGCUAGUGACAAUGAUGAGGAGACAUUGGCUCUUAUUACACAUGAAGAACAUGGUGGAGAUGAUUCUGAUCAUGAGACGCAAUACAUGGCUCCUGAAGACGCUGACAGGUAUGAAUGUUUAGUUGCUCAACGUGUUUUGAGUGUGCAGGUCACACAAGCUGAGCAAAAUCAGAGGCACAAUUUGUUCCAUACCAAGGGAGUUGUGAAGGAAUGUUCUGUGCGUGUCAUAAUAGACGGAGGGAGCUGCAACAACUUGGCUAGCAUGGAGAUGGUGGAGAAGCUUUCUCUCACCACAAGACCACAUCCACAUCCUUACUACAUCCAAUGGUUCAACAACAGCGGCAAGGUUAAGGUAACACGUACUGUUCGUGUGCAUUUUAGUAUCUCUACAUAUGCUGAUUAUGUUGAUUGUGAUGUGGUACCUAUGCAAGUAUGUUCCUUAUUACUUGGUAGACCAUGGCAAUUUGAUAAAAAUUCUGUACACCAUGGUAGAAACAAUCACUAUACUCUUGUUCAUAAGGAUAAAAAUAUUACUUUGCUUCCUAUGACUCCUGAUUCCAUUUUGAAAGAUGAUAUUAAUAGAGCUAAUAAAGCAAAACAGGAGAAGAAUAAGAGUGAAAAUCAGAUUGUGGCAAAAGAAUUUGAGCAACAAAUGAAGCCUAAUAAUAAACCAUCUAGUGUUGCUUCUGAAAUUAAAUUGAAAAGUGCAUGUUUAUUUGCCACCAAAUCUGAUAUUGAUGAGCUAGAUUUCAGCAAAUCUAUUUGCUAUGCUUUUGUGUGCAAAGAGGCAUUAUUUUCAUUCGAGGACGUGCCUUCCUCUUUGCCUCCUGCUGUCACUAACAUUUUGUAGGAGUUCGCUAACGUUUUUCCACAAGAUGUGCCACCGGGAUUACCGCCUAUUUGAGGGAUUGAGCAUCAGAUUGACUUAAUUCCCGGUGCUUCACUGCCAAACCGUGCACCAUACCGUACCAAUCCAGAGGAGACGAAGGAGAUUAUGCGUCAAGUACAAGAGCUUCUCGACAAAGGUUAUAUACGCGAAUCCCUUAGUCCUUGUGUUGUUCCUAUUAUUCUAGUGCCAAAAAAGGAUGGUACAUCACGUAUGUGUGUUGAUUGUAGAGGCAUUAAUAAUAUUACUAUUCGUUAUCGUCAUCCUAUUCCUAGGCUAGAUGAUAUGCUUGAUGAAUUGAGUGGCUCUACAAUAUUCUCCAAAGUUGAUUUGCGUAGUGGCUACCAUCAAAUUCGUAUGAAAUUGGGAGAUGAAUGGAAAACAACAUUUAAAACUAAGUUUGGAUUAUAUGAGUGGUUAGUCAUGCCUUUUGGGUUAACUAAUGCACCUAGUACUUUCAUGAGAUUAAUGAACGAAGUUUUACGUGCUUUCAUUGGACGAUUUGUGGUAGUUUACUUUGAUGACAUAUUGAUUUAUAGCAGAUCUUUGGAAGAACAUUUGGAACAUUUACGUGUUGUUUUUAUUGCUCUACGUGAUGCACGUUUGUUUGGUAACCUUGGGAAGUGCACCUUUUGCACCGACCGAGUAUCUUUUCUUGGCUAUGUUGUUACUCCACAGGGAAUUGAAGUUGAUAAAGCCAAGAUUGAAGCAAUUGAGAGUUGGCCGCAGCCCAAAACGGUCACACAAGUGAGGAGUUUUCUUGGCCUCGCUGGAUUCUAUAGGCGUUUUGUGAGAGAUUUUAGCACCAUUGCUGCACCUCUCAAUGAGCUUACAAAGAAAGAUGUGCCUUUUCUUUGGGGUACCGCACAGGAAGAAGCCUUCACUGUAUUGAAAGAUAAGUUGACACAUGCUCCUUUACUCCAACUUCCUGAUUUUAAUAAGACUUUUGAGCUUGAAUGUGAUGCUAGUGGAAUUGGAUUAGGAGGUGUGUUAUUACAAGAUGGCAAACCUGUUGCAUACUUUUCUGAUAAAUUGAGUGGGCCUAGUCUGAAUUAUUCUACUUAUGAUAAAGAAUUAUAUGCUCUUGUUCGGACUUUAGAAACAUGGCAACAUUAUUUAUGACCCAAAGAAUUUGUUAUACAUUCUGAUCAUGAAUCUUUGAAACAUAUUAAAAGUCAAGCUAAACUGAAUCGUAGACAUGCUAAAUGGGUUGAAUUCAUUGAGACUUUCCCUUAUGUCAUUAAACACAAGAAGGGAAAAGAAAAUGUUAUUGCUGAUGCAUUGUCUCGUCGCUAUACUAUGCUUUCACAACUUGACUUCAAAAUAUUUGGUUUGGAGACCAUCAAAGAUCAAUAUGUGCAUGAUGCUGAUUUUAAAGAUGUAAUGCAGAAUUGUAAAGAAGGAAGAAUGUGGAACAAGUUUGUUGUUAACGAUGGAUUUGUGUUUCGUGCUAACAAGCUAUGCAUUCCAGCUAGCUCCGUUCGUCUUUUGUUGUUGCAGGAGGCGCAUGGAGGAGGAUUAAUGGGACACUUUGGCGUGAAGAAGACGGAGGACGUACUUGCUACACAUUUCUUUUGGCCAAAGAUGAGACAGGAUGUUGAGCGUUUUAUUGCUCGCUGCACUACAUGUCAAAAAGCUAAGUCACGACUCAAUCCUCAUGGUUUAUAUAUGCCUUUGCCGGUACCUAGUGUUCCUUGGGAGGAUAUAUCUAUGGACUUUGUUUUAGGUUUACCUCGAACAAAGAAGGGGAGGGAUAGCAUAUUUGUUGUCGUCGAUAGAUUCUCGAAAAUGGCACACUUUAUACCAUGUCAUAAAAGCGAUGAUGCUGUUAAUGUUGCUGAUUUGUUCUUUCGUGAAAUUAUCCGCUUGCAUGGUGUGCCAAAUACUAUUGUUUCAGAUCGUGAUACUAAAUUUCUUAGCCACUUUUGGAGAUGUUUAUGGGCUAAGUUGGGGACUAAAUUGCUUUUUAGUACUACUUGUCACCCCCAAACUGAUGGACAAACUGAAGUAGUCAAUAGAACGUUGUCUACUAUGCUUAGGGCUGUUUUGAAGAAUAAUAAGAAAAUGUGGGAGGAAUGCUUGCCUCAUAUUGAAUUUGCUUAUAAUCGUUCAUUGCAUUCUACUACUACGAUGUGCCCUUUUGAAGUUGUGUAUGGUUUCCUACCUCGUGCACCUAUUGAUUUGUUGCCUCUUCCAUCUUCGGAGAAGGUUAAUUUUGAUGCUAAACAACGUGCUGAAUUGAUUUUAAAAAUGCAUGAGUUAACUAAGGAAAACAUUGAGCGUAUGAAUGCUAAAUAUAAACUUGCUGGAGAUAAGGGUAGAAAACAUGUUGUGUUUGCACCUGGAGAUCUUGUUUGGUUACAUUUGCGUAAGGAUAGAUUUCCUGAUUUGCGCAAAUCAAAGUUAAUGCCACGUGCUGAUGGUCCCUUUAAGGUGUUAGAGAAAAUAAAUGAUAAUGCAUAUAAACUUGAGCUGCCUGCAGAUUUUGGGGUUAGUCCCACUUUUAACAUUGCAGAUUUGAAGCCUUAUUUGGGUGAGGAAGAUGAACUUCCGUCGAGGACGACUUCAUUUCAAGAAGGGGAGGAUGAUGAGGACAUCAAUACAAUUGUUACAUCCACGGCCCCUGCUGCUAUACAUACUGGACCAAUUACUAGAGCUCGUGCACGCCAACUAAAUUACCAGGAACUUUCAUUUCUUGGUAAUGAUUCUAAUGUUCAUGAGAAUAUGAUGCUGCCUAAAUUGGAUACAUUUGUUUUGCUUACAAAUGAAGGGCCUAGCUUAGAGAAGGAUGAACAUUGGAGCAAGAACAAGCAUGGAGAUGAUGGCAUGCGCAAGGGGAACAAGAAUGGAGUUACAAGUGAUGAUUUCAGGACUUUGAAGCCACCAUAAUGGGUGCAUGAAGCCUUGGACGAAAUAUACAAGAUGCCACUUCAUAAAUUUCGUCCCGAGGCUAUUUUAGGUGCUGCGUCACCUUAUUAUUGGGCCAGGCCCAUGUAAUUUUGAAAUACAUAAGUAUAGGCUAUUUUUAGAGUCCGUAUGUGUGGGGAAACAAGAGAUAGGGUUGAUUUCGGACCCCUCCACCAAGGGCCACGAAAUUCCCCCCUCUUCCUCCAUAUAUACAGCCCUUAGGGCAUCGUUUAGACUUUGGGUUUUGUUUAGAUUAAAAGUUCGCCAUAGCUGCAACUUCGCGUACUUCGUUUGUGUUCAACGACCAGACAAAGGUGUCAUAGAACCCCACCUUGAUCAAUAAAGCUUUCAUCUUAUAUUCGCAAUAUCCAGAUUGCAAUCUCAGUUUCUUGCUUGUUCUUCGUUUGCUCGCAGGAAACAGACCCUCGUGGUUAGGUUGAUCGUGCUCUGGCGUGGUCAAUAACCUCUCAGAGUUGGUUUAGCGAUUGCUAAGGCGCGACGUCCUCGCACGUUCGUAGUCAGAUCGUCAAAGUCGACUGCCACCAAAGCGAUAUCCAUCAUCUCAUCGAAAGGCGGGACACCUUUGCCUAUUUCACAAUGUCACCACAAGUAUCCGUGGGUAUGAUUAUACAAUAUGCAUCACACAAUCUCAGAUUCAUCUAUUCAACCAACACAUAGAACCUCAAAGAGUGCCCCAAAGUUUCUACCGGAGAGUCAAGACGAAAACGUGCCAACCCCUAUGCAUAGGUUCAUGAGCGGAACCCGCAAGUUGAUCACCAAAACAUACAUCAAGUGAAUCACGUGAUAUCCCAUUGUCACCACAGAUACACACGGCAAGACAUACAUCAAGUGUUGUCAAAUCCUUAAAGACUCAAUCCGAUAAGAUAACUUCAAAGGGAAAACUCAAUCCAUUACAAGAGAGUAGAGGGGGGAAGAAACAUCAUAGGAUCCAAAUAUAAUAGACGCGAUACAUCAAGAUCGUAACACCUCAAGAACACGAGAGAGAGAGAGAGAUCAAACACAUAGCUACUGGUACAUACCCUCAAGAGGGAGAACUACUCCCUCCUCGUCAUGGAGAGCACUGGGAUGAUCAAGAUGGCCACCAGAGAAGGAUUCCCCCUCCGGCAGGGUGCCGGAACGGGUCUAGAUUGGCUUUCGGUGGCUACGGAGGCUUCUGGCAGCGUAACUCCCGAUCUAUUGUGCUCCCCGAUCGUUUUAGGGUAUAUGGAGAUAUAUAGGCGGAAGAAGUAUGUCAGGGGAGCCAUGAGGGGCCCACGAGGGUGGAGGGCGCGCCCAGGGGGGUGGGUGCGCCCCCUACCUCGUGGCUUCCUCGAAGCUUCCUUGACAUGGACUCCAAGUCUCCCGGGUUGCUUUCCUUCCAAAAAUAAGUUCCGUGAAGUUUCAGGUCAAUUGGACUCCGUUUGAUUUUCGUUUUCUGCGAUACUCUAAAACAAGGAAAAAACAGAAACUGGCACUGGGCUCUAGGUUAAGAGGUUAGUCCCAAAAAUAAUAUAAAAGUGUAUAAUAAAGCCCAUAAACAUCCAAAACAGAUAAUAUAAUAGCAUGGAACAAUCAAAAAUUAUAGAUACGUUGGAGACGUAUCAGCGCCCUUCUGAUGUUUGUUCGCCCAUCAUCAGCAACGUCCAAGUCACCGAGACCAUCAUCGACGGUGGUGCAGGGCUCAAUGUCCUAUCCGUCGAGACAUUCGACCGCCUCCAAGUGCCAUAUGAUCAGCUGCAGCCUACCAAGCCCUUUUCAGGAGUGACCGAUGGCUCUACCACCCCGAUUGGGCAGGUCCGCCUCCCUGUCACCUAUGGCACCCACAACAGCUGCCGCACUGAGCUUAUCGACUUUGAGUUGCCCACAUCCGCCUGCCAUACAAUGCCAUCAUUGGGUAUCCAGCCCUAGCCAAAUUCAUGGCUAUAACUCAUCAUGGCUACAACGUCCUCAAGAUGCCAGGGAGCGGCGGCGUCAUCUCGGUCGCUUGCAAAGAGAAGGACGCGGUGUGCUCCCUCGAGCGCGCUUACCAGGCUGCGUAGGCCGAAGACCAAGACAACGAAGGCACCCUGUACCCUCCCGAGGUGGUCCCCAAGAAGAAGAAGCAACUGCUCCACCAAGGAUUUCAGGAGAGCGGCGUCUCCAGCGGCACCGCCUCAGGACCUGUGCACGCAGAUGGGGCGCCUCCCUCCCACGCGUAGGAAGGCGCGCCCGACGCCCUCCUCAGUAUGGGCUCGGGGGCUCUCUUUUGGAGGGCCUUGGACCUAACCAACAUCACAAGGGAGGAGCUCGGGCACCACGUGGAGGCGUGCUUUGCCGCACGCUUCCGACAAGAGGGCACAACGCGUGGAAUGCCUAGUGCUCAGGAGUUCAUCACCAAGGCAACUGAGGAGCUUCAGGAAGCAAGGAUCAUGCGUGGCGACUGCCGCCCACCACCUGGCGCGGCCCCACGUCCUAGCAAGGACAGCGAGCUGCGCGUCUGCGUCAAUGUUCCAGGGCUCAAUAGGGCCGCAUCUUAGGGGUGCUUCUAGCCAUGGAGUGUUGGUCAAUGCGAGCGUCCACCUCACAGCUACGUUUGCAUGCCCUUCAGCUUGCCGAACAUUGCUGUUACCUUCCAUCGGCUCAUGCAGGGUGCCCUGGCGGCUCGCGAGGCAAGGCGCCGGGCCAUCCUAGGGGAGGGAGCCGGAACGGUACCAGGUGAGGCUCAUGAGGAGCAACUUCUUCAGCACGCAUCUUCAGCUACUCCAACACCUCUUCAGCAACGGUACCAGGUGACUCUUUCCGAUUCAUUCAGUUGGGGGUGCCCCUUGGGCUGCAUCAUCCCCAGGUCGCACGGGCCUGUCACUGCGACGUGUAUCCUUUUGCAUAUUUAGCUUACUCAGUUGGGGGCGGCCCUCGGGCUGCAUCAUCCCCAGGCCGUUCAGUUCCGUCCCGGUGGCAUGUAUCGUUCGUGCAUUUGUCUGAACUAGCUUGCCUCCUUCCAUGAUUUACCUUAUGACUAUCACCUGCCUGUCUGGUACUUCAAUACCAUGAACGUCGUGCACCCUUGUGAGCCCACCCAUGAAUGCCUCAUGAUUAAGGACUGGCACGACGUCUGUGCUCGGGUCCAUCCCAGCAGCGUCGCCAAAUCCAAGAGGCUGAGCUUUGGCUCGCGGGCCAGCUCCCGUGAACGUCACCUCCCAUGGCCCUUGGUGCCUUGUUCUCGCAUGAGCUAAUCGCGAACGGUCAAGCCAAGGCGCGUGACCCGGUGCCUCGCCACCACGAGAGUCGCGCGCCGGUUGUGUUUCUUUAGGAUUUUUCGCAUGAGAAGACUAGGCACGACUUCUAUGCUCGGGUCCGUCCCUGCAGCGUCGAUAAACCCAACGACUGAGCUCUGUCUAGCGGACCAGCCCCGUUCACGUCACCUCCUGGGGUCGAUGGUGUUUGGCCUUCUCAUGUUAUCACCUCAGGAGAUUCUUCCAGCGCAGGUUGCCUAACCAUCUCGCAGGGCCUCCGCAACCAUCAAGAAUCAAGACCAGGCGCAACCCGCCUUGAGGUAGGGCCUCGUGAGUCCCGCGCUGGCUCACGAGUGCCCAGACACACCUCGUCUAGCCCUGCCGUGCAAGCCACGUGUCAGGGCGGGGCUGUACAUGUUCCGGGGGCUCCACACAGAUGGAGCCCUCGCCCACGCACUAGUGGAAGCACCAUGCUCAGUGCUGGCAGUCGACAUUGUCGAGGAGUGGCUAUGCUCGUGCAAGUGCGGAAGCGCUAUGCUUCGUGCUGGUGAUAAACAACUGAUGGCGGCCCCAUGGCCGCAUCAACCUCAGGGAGCCACCCGACUCAGUGUCUAGCCUCGUCGCAACACUUCCCCCUCGGGAGAGUCGCAUGAGGGGCUGGGCACGGGGGCUGCACUCAAGUCACACCUAGUGCACGCCACCCUGCCAGGUCCCUUAGAUCUGGUCGUCACGCGUCCCUCCCGAGCGGGACCUCGGCGAGGAAAGGUAUGGAGUUCUAUUUGCACGUCAAGAGGGACUCCUGAGCAUCGUGACUCAGGAGCCUAACUAGCCACGUAGCCCCUCACCCCUUGGUCCCGUCAUGGUGAUCCGGAGGGCCCAAUGGCGGCUGAGGUAAGCACGGGGUUGGGCCCUGUCGACGUAGAACGCUAAGGCCUACUUUCGCAUCUCCUUCCCGCAGGUCGUUUGCGCGUCAAGGGGGACUCCUGAGCAUCACGACUCAGGAGCUUAACUGGCCAUGUAGCCCCUCACCCCUUGGUCCCGUCCUGGUGAUCCGGACGGCCCAACGGCGGCUGAGGUAUGCGCGGGGUCGGGCCCUCCCGACUUAGAACAUCAAGCAAACAGGAAGGAAAUCACGGAAUCUUAAGAAAAUAUUACAAAACAUAUUUUUCCUUAAACACCAAACAGAAGUUUUGACGCCUCCAUGAGGCAUGUUGCAAGUCGCAGGAAAGUAAAAACAGGAAGGAGCACCACCAUCCACCAGUAAGCCUCCUCUUCAGCCUUGGGCGCUAUCGUUAGGAAGCGCCUCCCCUUCGGCAGCAUCACCGUCGCCCGUGUCGUCGCCCGUGGUCGCGGGAUCGGCGGCACCACCAGCCGGAGGCGCAGGGUUGAUGGCAAGGAAAUUCUUGAACAAGGCCUCCACCUGACCCUUCACGGCUACGAUGACAGCUGCACAACACUCUUCAUCCAUGGGCUUGACUAGGACACCAAGGUCGACAUCAGGGUCGCGGAGAUGAAGGUGGCCGAAGACCCGCGUCAGGGCUGAUAAGGAGAGUGUGCGGGCUUCCCCCUCCACCAUAGGGCUGAUCCCAUUGACGAUGUCCUCGAGCGCCAUGACAAGAUGAGGGAGCAUCUGGACGGGGCCCUCGUCAUCAGUCGCCAACGGCUUCUCCCAGACAUUCUCGUAGAACUCCCGCAGCGCUUCACGGGACCUCUCCUCAAGAGAUUUGAAGGCCGCACGAUCCUCGGCAAGAACCUUUGCCUUGGCCUCUAGCAGGACCUUCUCUGCCUCCACCUUCAUCUCCAGCUUCUCUAGGCGGUCGUGUUCCACAGCCUGCGCCAGCCGCUCCAACUCAGCAUCAUGGCCGGUGACCGCUUCUUCUCGGGCCUUCAGCUUCUCCUCCCAUGCCUCGUGCUGGCGGGCCGCGGCAGUGCAUGCCUUGUGCAGGUUCUCCAGCUCGACCUCCACCACCUGGCAUCGCUCCUUGGCAGCCUCGGCAUCCUUCAACGCCACGUCGUGGGCGGCCACAGCCAGGUCGGCGGCCCGCUUACCCUCCUUGGAAGCUGCCACGGCCUGGCCCCAGGCCGCCCUCAUGGACGCGUUGGAUCGCAGCCACCCCGUGACCAACUCCAGGCGCCCUGACGCCACACGACGGUCGGUGCCCUGAUGGUCGUUCCGAAGCUGGGUCAGCGCGGAAAGAGCCUCCUCCAGAGCGUCAAGCAAAGCAGAAGGAUCACGGCCCUGCGGUGCGAUGGGAUGAGGAGGAGACAGCAUCGUCCCUAGGGCUUGCGAGUUGGUGGCAACAGAAGGAGCUGGGGGCUCCUGGGCCCUUGGGACUUCGGCAGCCGAGACGGAAACUGGCUCCCCCGGAGCCGACUUGGCUGUGGAGGUCGCCUUCUCCCAAGAUCGGUCCUUCGGGCCUCGCGAGGAUGACCGGGCCAGAGAGGCGCGAGCGCCAUUGCCGCUCUUCCGUGCCAGGGGAGGUGCGGUCAUGGCAGGCUGUUGAGUCCCAGAGGGCGCGGACACUCCCUCUCUCUUCUUCUUCGUCGCCAGCGUUGGCCUAGUGGUGCAAAGGAAAACCGUCAAGAUGCAACGGCAGAAGCAGGAACAAAAUCAGGACAAAGCACUUACUGGUCCAUGGUGGUGUAAUCUCUCGGCCUCUUCUGAAGCACGAAGCCCGAAGGCUGCGCAUCCUGAGGCGCUGGCGUGUGGGUCCCGGGAGCGGAUGAGGGAGCAGCAGCUGGGCGUGCGGCUCCAGUCGACGUCAAAGUAGGGGCACCGCCUCGGGAGAUCAACUCCGACCUACCCCACAUUGGGACCCCAAUCGGUGGCUUCUUUGGGGGAGUGACCUUGGACCUCGUAGUGUCCCUAGCGCCGGGUAGGGACUCCCUCACCGGAUGGUCAUUGGCAUUGUCGUCGUCGGGGAAGGUGCGGAGGAGAUCGGUCAUGCGCGGAGGGGAAGUCUCCCCUGCCCCCUCCCGGGUCGCCUCCGAGUUGGGCCUCUUCUCCUUGCUGGACUCGCCUGAGGACACCAUCAUUAGGGCCGUCACCACCGGGGCCUCGGAAGGCGCUAGCGGCACGAGCCCGCGCCAUCGAAGACACGCAUGGCGGCGGCCACCUCCACCCCAUCUAGGCGGCGGUAUAGGAGAAUAUGGGUGUCCGUCGGAUACCCCUGGUCGUCCCCGAGCAGGAGGUGGAGGGCCUUGCCCAGGUCCUCGUCCAACAAUACAUCUGGGCGCGGACGGAGGUCGUCCCCCACGUCCCCGAGGUUCCACAAGGAGCGCGAGCGCGCCUGGAGUGGGGCUAUGUGCUGCCUCAAAAAUUCCUUGACGAUCAUGGCCCCCAUGAGCUUCCCUGCCUUCAAGUCAUUGGGCUUCAGGUCGGCAGUCAUCUUCUCCAGCACCUGCUUCUCCCAGGGGUCGGUGAGCUUCGCACGGAGCCACCUGUCAUGAGGCGAGGGCAUCUUCGUCGGUAGCACGAACCGAGGAUGGGAGCAUUUGGCGUCCAUGAGGACCCACUUGCUCCUGAAGCUCUCGACUUCUUACCGGCCUUCGAGAUUGCAUGGGUCCCAUUGGCCGCGACAAAGUUGGCACACCCUGAGCAAUGCCCCUCCUUGUUCUAGAGGUAGAAGAAGUGGUGAAGCAGCGCCAUGGACGGCAUCACCCCCACAAAUGCCUCGCAAUAAAAGGCGAAGAUCUAUAGGAGGAGGACGGAGUUGGGAUGAAGAUGAAGGGCAUGCAGUUUAUAGUGGCUGAGGAUGGUGUAGAAGAAGUCGGAGAAGGGGGGACCAGCCCUGCGACGAUGCUAUUCACGAAUAAGGGAUAGAAGGUAUUGCCUGAGGCCUCCAGCUCGGCGGAGCCAGCCCAGAGCGUGGUCUUUCCCCCUCAUUGCCGCCGUCCGCCAUCAUUAGGAGCAUGGUGGCGAGAUUCUUCUUCGAAACAUUAGGCGCACUCAAGGCCGGCUCAUACCAGGAGGGCAAGUGCGCGGCCUUAGCCUCGUCGGACGCCAUUGGCUGCAGGCUCAGAGAGGAGUGUGCGUGGAUCUAGAGUCUCCCGGGCAUGAAGGAGAAAGGGGAUCUGGAGAAAGACGAAGGAAAGUAAUGAAGGCUCUGCGGCGCGCGCCAACCUUUUUUCAGAUGAGGACAUUUGCCGAGGCAGCAUGGGGAAGAGAAGGUGCCCACGUCCCGUCAAUCGCCAUGCGACAACCAAGGCCGCAGGCGGUUGGGGCCCAUGGCGCUCCGCACUUCCCCUUUGGCUUCACCUCGAAGCCAAGUUCGAGCGCGCCUUGGGUCCGGGGGCUACUGUCGGCGUCCUUAGAACGGGGGUACCCAGACUUGCCUGCCUACGCCCAUGGCGUGGAUCCGCCAGCGGCCUGGUACGACCCGUCAUCUGUAGCAACAACUCAAGACCCUCACAAGGGGCCAAGCCUCACGAGGCGGACGACGCCAAGACCUCCCUGGGGGCAUGUAACACCCCGGAUAUGACUUACCCAAUAUGUAUUCCAACUCUUGCCGUUUCUGGCGUUAAGUUAUUUUAUUUUCUUGGGUUCGGGUUUUUGUCUCCGUGUGUUGUUAUCAUUGUCAUGCAUCUCAUAUCAUGUCAUCAUGUGCAUCACAUUUGCAUAUGUGUUCAUCUCUUGCAUUCGAGCAUUUUCCCCGUUGUCCGUUUUGCAUUCCGGCGCUUCGCUCUCCUCCGGUGGUCAUUUCUACCUUUCUUUUGAGUGUGAGGAUUAAACAUUUCCGGAUUGGACCGAGACUUGCCAAGCGGCCUUGGUUUACUACCGGUAGACCGCCUGUCAAGUUUCGUAUCAUUUGGACUUCGUUUGAUACUCCAACGGUUAACCGAGGGACCGAAAAGGCCUCGUGUGUGUUGCAGCCCAACACCCCUCGAAGUUGGCCCAAAACCCACCAAAACCUUCUCCAUCAUCUAGAGCGUUCGAUCACGAUCGCGUGGCCGAAAACCGCACCUCAUUUGAACACUCAUAGCUCCCUCUAUGCCUAUAUAUACACCACCCUCCCGAAAUUCGCGAAUCCCCUUUGUCCAAACCCUAGAUCCACCCUCUCCUAGCGUGUCGUACAAAAAUACAGCCGCCGGACACGUCCGCUUUCUCCGCCGCCGCCAACCGGGAGCCGAGACGUGGCAACCGGCGCCCGCCGCCGCCGCGGCCCGCGGAAGCCCGCNNNNNNNNNNNNNNNNNNNNNNNNNNNNNNNNNNNNNNNNNNNNNNNNNNNNNNNNNNNNNNNNNNNNNNNNNNNNNNNNNNNNNNNNNNNNNNNNNNNNNNNNNNNNNNNNNNNNNNNNNNNNNNNNNNNNNNNNNNNNNNNNNNNNNNNNNNNNNNNNNNNNNNNNNNNNNNNNNNNNNNNNNNNNNNNNNNNNNNNNNNNNNNNNNNNNNNNNNNNNNNNNNNNNNNNNNNNNNNNNNNNNNNNNNNNNNNNNNNNNNNNNNNNNNNNNNNNNNNNNNNNNNNNNNNNNNNNNNNNNNNNNCCUCCGCCCGCGCGCCGCCCUUCUUCCCCCACGCAGGCGCCGAACUCCACCGCCACCGGCUGCUCCGCCGCGCGCCGCCCGAGUGCCGUCGCACCUUCCUCGCCGGAGCAGCGCGCCGCCCGCGCCCGGCCACCUCCACCGCGCUCCCCUCGUCGCCCCCCGCCGCCCGGCCAGAUCCGGCGUCCCCUCGGCAAGUCUGGCGCCGUCCUCGCAACUCCGGAGAACAUCGGCAACUCCGGCAAACAGGGCUCCCGGUGAACCUCGAACCACGUGCAAACCCGAUCCAGAUCUGAGAUUCGGUUGACUUUUUGCCCGAAACCCUAGCUCAUAUGCUCCUGUUCAUCGCAUCGUAACUUUGCAUCCGUAACUCCGUUUUGGGCAUAUAGCAUAUCGAAAUGUUCAUCUCAGAGAGUACAUCAUUUAAUUCCUUUGCAUCAUUUUAAUUUGAGUUCAUCUUGAUGCCCGAAAUGCUGUUAGAAGAGGGCUACUUGAGAUAAUUGUCAGAUCUGCUGCUCCAUUUAGCUUUUUGUCAUUUUUGCCAUGAUUAUUGUGUGCAUGAUAUGCCCAUGAGUACUACAUAUGUUUUGAUAAGGGUUUUGUCUUCUUUCCAGAGGUGCAACCCAUGUAUUUUUGUGAUGUGUGUGGUGACUAGCACAAGCUUGCAAAGUGGUGCACUUGGUAAUUCUGAUUUCAGGGACUUAGCAUUUCCACCAAGUCCUUGAGCUGUUUAUCUCAUAUGGCCAUAUGUUCAUGUUGUUUCCUAGCGAUCCGUGCCUCUUUUGAGGAUGAUCAGUAAUGAUGUUUUGUUAAUCUUGUAUUGCUCUAUCCAUCCAUGUCCUUGUUUGCAAUUUUGGAGCACCCUAGAUUGAGUCAAUCGAGCUCUACUUUUGCUACUUUGUGAAUCUGGGCAGAUUGUCAACUUGUUUGCAAUUUUGCCGAUGAUGUUGUAGUUGAUCCGUGCAUGCUAUGCUAUUGUUCUUGCCAUGUCUAGCUUGCAUUUUGUGUAUUCUUAAUAGGUGUAUGCUUAUCUUGUCAUGACUUGCUCUGUAGUGAGUGCAUCAAGCUCGUAAACAUGCCUACUUGAGUUAUGUUUCAGCAUGUGCCAGUUUUCACCAAGUCUGAAAACUGAUUAUGUUUUUGCUAUGUUCACAUGCUUGCAAUUGUAUUUUCUGAUCCCUUUUGGCUCAAGGUCACUAAGGGACUUUUGUUAAGCUCUUUGAAUAGCUCCAUGCCAUGGUUUACUUUGCCAUGUUCAGGUCCUGUAGCAUGUAGUUUUGUUGCUCCGAAGAGUGCUAUCUGAUCUGAAAUUCCAGACAAGUGUUGAUUUCACUAAGUCUGAAAUCUGUUUGCCAUAUGCAUUUUGCCAUGCUUGUUUGAACCUGUUAAUGGAUGAAUUGGCCGUAGCUCUGUGCUAGAAUUUUGUUAAGCAUCAUGAAUACAUCCCUGCCAUGUAUUUUGUUGUCAUGUUUGGGUGCUGUAGCAUGUUCAUCCCGUUGCAUUUAGAUGGCUACUUGCUAUAAAUCGCAGACCGGUGUCAUAUUUGAAUCGCUUGCCAUUUCCUAACCGUAACUCCGAUUCCGGCGUUCUUUAUAUCGUUUUCAAGCAAUCUCAUCUCAUCUUUCCAGUGGUACACUUGGAUUCCCAAGUUGAGGCCAGGUUCAUGCAUCCCUUGUCAAAUCUUGCAUAUGCAUCCCGCAUCGCAUCCCGCAUCGCAUCCCGCAUAGCAUAUCAUCUUUGCAUCAUCUUGUUUGGUCCUUGCACGUGGUUGAUUGUGUCCUUGUUGCUUGUUUGUCUUGUUUGGGUAGAGCCGGGAGACGAGUUCGCUAACGAUGAGCCUGUUGAGUUUGCUUUCGAGGAUCCAGUCAACUCUGACAACUGUGCAGGCAAGAUGAUCAUACCCUCGAAAUCACUACUAUCUUUGCUAUGCUAGUUUGUUCGCUCUUUUGAUAUGCAAAUGCUACGAUGCCUAACACUUGCUUUCAAGCCUCCCAAAUUGCCAUGUCAAACCUCUAACCCACCAUGUCCUAGCAAACCGUUGAUUGGCUAUGUUACCGCUUUGCUCAGCCCCUCUUAUACUGUUGCUAGUUGUAGGUGAAGAUUGGAGGUCGUUCCUUGUUGGAACAUUUAUUCACUUGCUGGGAUAUCAUUAUAUUAUCUUGUUAUCUUAAUGCAUCUAUAUACUUGGUGAACGGUGGAAGGCUCGGCCUCUCGUCUAGUGUUUUGUUCCACUCUUGCCGCCCUAGUUUCCGUCAUAUCGGUGUUAUGUUCCCGGAUUUUGCGUUCCUUACGCGGUUGGGUUAUAAUGGGAACCCAUUGAUAGUUCGUCUUGAGUAAAGCUUUUCCAGCAAUGCCCAACCUUGGUUUUACCAUUUACCACCUAGCCUCUUUUUCCCCUGGGUUUCCGGAGCCCGAGGGUCAUCUUAUUUUAGCCCCCCCCUCGGGCCAGUGCUCCUCUGAGUGUUGGUCCCACCGAGCGAUGUCCGGGGCUACCAGGGGCAACUCUGGGCUGGCCUACCCGACGUCUGGCUCAUCUGAGUGUGCCCUGAGAAAGAGAUAUGUGCAUCUCCUAUUGGGAUUUGUCAGCACAUUCGGGUGGUGUUGCUGGUCUUGCUUUAACCUGUCGAAGUGUCUUGAAGAACCGAGGUACCGAGUCUGAUCGGAACGUCUUGGGAGGAGGUCUAUUGCUUCGUUGACCGUGAGAGCUUGUCAUGGGCUAAGUUGGGACUCCCCUGCAGGGAUUUGAACUUUCGAAAGCCGUGCCCGCGGUUAUGGGCAGAUGGGAAUUUGUUAACGUCCGGUUGUAGAUAACUUGAACCUUAACUUAACUAAAAUGAAUCAACUGAGUGUGUUACCGUGAUGGCCUCUUCUCGGCGGAGUCCGGGAAGUGGACACGGUGUUGGAGUAAUGUUUGCGCAGAUUGUUCUCUAGUUUCUCACUCGCGCUUUGCCUCCUCUUCUCGCUCUCUUUUGCGAAUAAGUUAGCCACCAUAUUUUUGCUAGUCGCUUGCUGCAGCUCCACAUAUUUUACCUUGCCUUACCUAUAAGCUUAAAUAGUCUUGAUCACGAGGAUGCGAGAUUGCCGAGUCCCUGUGGCUCACAGAUUACUAUUACACCAGAUGCAGGGCCUGAUGAUUCCACUCCAGGUGACGCGCUCGAGCUCAAGUGGGAGUUCGACGAAGACUCUCAACGUUACUAUGUUUCCUUUCCUGAUGAUCAGUAGUGGUGCCCAGUUGGGGGUGAUCGGGACCGUGUCGCUUGUUGGGUUAUCUUUUAUUUUGGCGCCGUAGUCGGGCCAUGAGUGUUUGGAUGAUGUAAUGUUAUUUAUGUACUUGAUUGACGUGGUGAGUGUAAGCCAACUAUGUUAUCUCCCCUUUUAUUACAUAUAUAUUACAUGGGAUGUUGUGAAGAUUACCUAACUUGCGACAUAUGCCUUCAAUGCGAUUAUGCCUCUAAGUCGUGCCUCGACACGUGGGAGAUAUAGUCGCAUCGAGGGUGUUACAGGGCAGCCUCACUAGGCUGGCUCCCGAGGAGCAGAAAUAUCAAUGCAAGGGCCACCUCGUGAGUUUGACGUGACAUGAGCCAUGACGACCAAGUCCAGGCGGGCGCCAGUGUACCAGUUUCCUCUUUGGUGCUAAAGAGGCAGGCAUGGGCGAGGAGUCCUGAGGCUUCAGGCAAAGGUUUCCAUAUCGGUGCAACAAGACCAAGGCCAGCAGGACAGCAGGACGGAGGUCACCGCGGAGCCCACAUCAGCGAGCCUUUGGCAGGCGAAGACCACCUUUUAUGAGGAUAGCUUAUAGUAGUUGUCCCCCUUCAAACUUGGCCGUUGUAGGAUCCCUUCCCGCCUAACAUUUGGGAAGAGGACCAGGGCCUCUAUAAAUAGGGCUAGCCACCACCAUAGCAAGGGACGGAUCAUUCGAAUCAUCCUCACACACAUCAGCUCAUCGAGCUCAAGAACACCUAUCCUUAGGAGGCAGUACAUCCAUUGUACUAGUUCAUUCCUAUCCCUCUAGGCAAUCCACCACCACCACACUAGAGUAGGGUAUUACACCACAACAGUGGCCCGAACCAGUAUAAACCUCUGUGUCUCGUGUUCCUUGGGUCCAUCGAGCUAGGCCGUGGGAUCGUCAAGUGAGCGAACUAGCGACGAAGAGUACUUCCUGCGCACCCUAGUAUUUGAACCUUAAGGGUUAGCCGGAACCCAGAUUCUGACAAUGAUCUUUUCACACUGGGAGGGGGAAAAGGGAAGAACAACAAGAGAAAUCACCCAAAUCACACACCCACUAAAAUAGCAUACAUGAGAUCCACAAGAAUAACAUGAACAAUCAAGGGAAAAUAGCACAAGGUAAAGGUUCUUCUCAAAUCCAAAGGAGAUGAGGUCUUGAUGAUAGUCUUCUCCAAGAGGAGGUCUGAAAUCCACUUGGGGGAUCUUCUCCUAAGAGGUCUUCAUCUCGAAGAGGGGUGGUAGAUGAGCAAAGCACUAUCUAGAUCAUAUCAUAGACUUUGCUAACCUUAAAAACUAAGAGGUGCACGAAAUAUGCAAUCUAGGGGAGAAAGGGUAUGGGCCUCAGUGGUUAUGUGGGCUUUUUACCCAAUCCAUAGCGAAACUGGGAGGACCGGACAGUCCGGUGUGCCGACCAGAUAGUCCGAUGAGGUCAGGAAUAGCUGGGCACUCAUGUAGGUGCGACCAAAUAGACUGGUGGUAUGGACCGGACAGUCCAGUGAGUCAAAAUGCAUUUUGGCGCUUGUGUGUGUGCGACCGUACUGUCUCAAGUAGGGACCGGACUCUCCCGUAGUGCAAUUUCUCCACGCUUCCUUUUCUUCAUCUGGACACUUCUGGUCAGCUCUUGAGUCUUGGGCCUCCUUCCAUGAUUUCUCUAGGUCCACACCUUCAUACCUAACCAUGCAUAGGAUUCCGGAUUGACGUAGAACCCAUUUCUCAUUGGAUGGAACGAUAAGCUUGAGUAGGAGUGAAAGCACCUCAUUUGCAAUGGAACGUGCUCGCACUCUUGUCAUCGGUCUGCUAAGCGCUUGUGGAGGUGGAGUAGAAUCCCUAGGGAUGACUGAAAUAUUCUCCGCGUCACAUAUUUAAUAAAUGAAUUAGGUUAUGAAUAACCUGGGCUUGGAUUGGGCUGGAGGAAACAUCUCAAUAAUGGCAUGAACUUUGUAGUGUUAAUUUAAUUAAUUUGUGAGAGGACAAAAUUAGCUUUAUACACACAAAUAUUAAACCUAGAGCCUCCAACAGCCAUAUUGCAUAUAGAGAUAGCAUCAUCGUUUUUAUUCGUUGGUGUGAAAUCGCCAGCAUAUUCCAUGUGCUGACCUACACGGAUGCAAUUCCUCAUGUUGGUGUGUUUUCUGACGAGGAGUAAGGUGCGAUAGGUCAUUUUCCGCACUCAACAUUUGCCGUGGAUUUGAUAGACUCAUUUACCUUCGAUGCUUCCACGAUUAUUUUAUUUAGAUGGAUUUCAGUAUAUCAUUAUAUUAAAUACUCUUUUAAGUACCUUGAUGUCUACUACACAACUUAUUCUUGUACACUCUUGUUGUGCCUCCAAGCACAGAGUUUUGUAGGACAGAGGCAAAUUUCCCUCAAGUGGAUGACCUAAGGUUUAUCAACAGUGGGAGGCAUAGGAGAAAUAUAGUCUCUCUCAAACAACCCAACAAUCAAAUACAAGAAAUCGCUUGUGUCCUCAACACACUCAAUACAAUGGAAAAUUGGAUAGGUGCACUAGUUCGUCGAACAGAUGGUGAUACAACUAUAGUAUGGAUAGUAGAUAUAGGUUUUUGUAAUAUGAAAAUGUAAAACAUCAAGGUAGCAAGUGAUAAAAUGGAGCACAAAUGGUAUUGCAAUGCUUGAAAACAAGGCCUAGGGUUCAUACUUUAGUGCAAUCUCUCAACAGUGCUAACAUAAUUGAAUCAUAGAACAAUCCAUCAACGUGCGAUAAAGAGUCACUCCAAAGUUCUUAUCUAGUGGAGAACAAAGAAAAAAACUAUUGUAGGGUUUGAAACCACCUCAAAGUUAUUUUUUCUGAUCAAUCUAUUGAGCCAUCCCUAUAUGUGUUACAAACAACCCUAGAGUUCAUACUAAAAAAACACUACAUGAUACACAUCAACCAACUCUAAUAUCACCUAGGUACUCCAAUGUCACCACAAAGUAUCCGUGAGUUGAUUACAUGAUAUGCAUCAAACAAUUUUAGAUUUAUAAUUUCAGUCCAACACAAAGAACUUCAAAGAGUGCCAAAAGAUUUCUACCGGAGAAAGUAGGAUGAAAACAUGCAUCAACCCCUAUGCAUAGAUUACCCCAAUGUCACCUUGGGAAUCUAUGAGUUGAGUGCCAAAACAUACAUUAAGUGAAUCAGUAUAGUACCCCAUUGUCACCACGAGUAUUCAUAUGCAAGACAUACAUCAAGUGUUCUCAAAUCCAUAAAAUUAUUCAAUCCAAUAAUAGUGAAACUUCAAGGGUAAAACUCAAUUCAUCACAACAUGAUAGAGAGGGAGAAACACCAUAUGAUCCAACUAUAUUAACAAAGCUUGCAGUACAUCAAGAUUGUGCCAAAUCAAUAACAUGAGAGAGAGAGAGAGAGAGAUCAAACACAUAGCUACUAGCACAUACCUUAACCCCGUGGGUGAACUACUCCAUCCUCGUCAUGGAGACUGUCAGGAUGAUGAAGAUGGCCUCCGGUGAUGAUUUCCCCCCUCUAGCAGGGUGCCGGAGCAGUGCCCCGAUUGAGUUUUUGUGGAUACAGAGGCUUGUGGCGGCGGAACUUCUCAUCUAGGGUUCUUUCUUGGGGGUUUGGGUAUUUAUAGCAAUUUUUCGUGUUGGUUUCACAUCAAGGGGGCCCAUGAGGGAGCAACAAGCCUGCUAGGAGUGUGGGCGGGGGGGCCAGGGCGCGCCCCUCAGGAUUGUCGCUUCCUCGUGAAGCUUCUGGUCCUUCCUAAAAGCUUCACGGGUCUCUUUUGGUGCAUAAAAAUCACUGUAAAUUUUCAGGCCAUUCUAAGAGCUUUUAUUUCUGCACAAAAAACAAGACCAAUGGUAGUUCUGCUGAAAACAGCAUCAAUCCAUGUUAGUUCUAAUCAAAUCAUACCAAAACCAUAUAAAAUUGUUGUAAGCAUGGCAUGAAUACUUCAUAAAUUAUAGAUACAUUGGAGACGUAUCAGACCUCGAUGUAAUAAAGUGUGUGAUUGAACUUUGUUAUAUUUCAUCGAGUACUGUGUGUGCUAGCAAACUAAUCCAGGGAUAGAACUUCAGCACAGAGACACCGAUCCAUUUAGGUCACGUCGCUACAGUUGAGGACGACUUCAAUUAAAAAAGGAGAGGAUGAUGAGUACAUCACUACUACAGUUACACCCAUGACCCCUCCUGCUAUACAUUGGACCAAUUACUAGAGCUCACACACGUCAAUUAAAUAACCAAGUACUUUCGUUUCUUGAUAACGAUUCCGAUGUUCAUGAGGAUGUGAUGUUGCCUAAAUUGGAUACAUUUGUUUUGCUUACAAAUGAAGUGCCCAACAUGGACAAGAAGUGAUGAGGACAUUAAUACCAUAGUUACACUCACAGCCCCUGUUACUACACAUAUUGGACCAAUUAUUAGAGAUCUCGCACGCGAGUUAAAUUAUCAGGUACUUCCGUUUCUUGGGAUGUCAGGACCCCAAUUCCAAAUCACAUCGGUCUAGCCGGUAACACCUCAUAUCACUUUGCGGCCUCAUGCACGGUAUUCCCACGGGUGUCGCCUUACCAUGGACCGAGACCGUUUGCGCCUUUUGGCUCACGUAUAUGAUAGUAUCGCUAGCAUCCAUAUGACAGAGAACCCGGGCCGACAUGACUAGUCGUGAACCCAAAGUGGCACUAACUUAUGGGGACAACCAUACAUGAAUCAACAUCGAGCAUGUCGGUCAGCAGGGUGUGAAUCUGGGUUGUAGCACUGGGCUAACAGGACUCCGGGAACCCAGGCUGUAGCAGGCUAGGAAGGACUCCGGAUGUCACCGCCUGACAUUUCCCCGAAGGGACAGACUGAUAGAGGCAAAGGUGUCCCGUCUUUCGAUGAGAUGAUGGAUAUCACUUGGGUGGAAGUCGACUUUGACGAUCCGACUACGAACGUGCGAGGACGUCGCGCCUUAGCAAUCGCUAAACCAACUCCGAGAGAUUAUUGACCACGCCGGAGCACAAUCAACCUGACCACGAGGGUCUGUUUCCUGCGAGCAAACGAAGAACAAGCAAGAAACUAAGAUUGCAAUCUGGAUAUUGCGAAUAUAAGAUGAAAGCUUUAUUGAUCAAGGUGGGAUUCUGUGACGCCUUUGUCUGGUCGUUGAACACAAAUGAAGUACGCGAAGUUGCAGCUAUGGCGAACUUUGAAUCUAAACAAAACCCAAAGUCUAAAGGGUGCCCUAAGGGCUGUAUAUAUGGAGGAAGAGAGGGGGAAUUUCGUGGCCCUUGGUGGAGGGGUCCGAAAUCAACCCUAUCUCUUGUUUCCACACACAUACGGACUCUAAAAAUAGCCUAUACUUAUGUAUUUCGAAAUUACAUGGGCCUGGCCCAAUAAAAAGGUGACGCAGCACCUAUAAUAGCCUCUGGACGAAAUUUAUGAAGUGACAUCUUGUAUAUUUCGUCCAAGGCUUCAUGCACUCGUUAUGGAGGCUUCAAAGACCUGAAAUCAUCACUUGUAACUCUGUUCUUGUUCCCCUUGCGCAUGCCAUCAUCUCCAUGCUUGUUCUUGCUCCAAUGUUCAUCCUUCUCCAAGCUAGGCCCUUCAUUUGUAAGCAAAACAAAUGUAUCCAAUUUAGGCAGCAUCAUAUUCUCAUGAACAUUAGAAUCAUUACCAAGAAACGAAAGUACCUGGUAAUUUAGUUGGCAUGCGCGAGCUCUAGUAAUUGGUCCAGUAUGUAUAGCAGCAGGGGCUAUGGGUGUAACAAUGGUAUUGAUGUCCUCAUCAUCCUCCCCUUCUUGAAAUGAAGUCGUCCUCGACGGAAGCUCAUCUUCCUCACCCAAAUAAGGCUUCAAAUCUGCAAUGUUAAAAGUGGGACUAACCCCAAAAUCUGCAGGCAGCUCAAGUUUAUAUGCAUUAUCAUUUAUUUUCUCUAACACCUUAAAGGGACCAUCAGCCCGUGGCAUGAGCUUUGAUUUGCGCAAAUUAGGAAAUCUAUCCUUACGCAAAUGUAACCAAACAAGAUCUCCAGGUGCAAACACAACAUAUUUUCUACCCUUAUCUCCAGCAAGUUUAUAUUUGGCAUUCAUACGCUCAAUGUUUUCCUUAGUUAACUCAUGCAUUUUUAAAAUCAAUUCAGCACGUUGUUUAGCAUCAAAAUUAACCUUCUCUGAAGAUGGAAGAGGCAACAAAUCAAUAGGUGCAUGAGGUAGGAAACCAUACACAACUUCAAAAGGGCACAUCUUAGUAGUAGAAUGCAAUGAACGAUUAUAAGCAAAUUCAAUAUGAGGCAAGCAUUCCUCCCACAUUUUCUUAUUACUCUUCAAAACAGCCCUAAGCAUAGUAGACAAUGUUCUAUUGACUACUUCAGUUUGGCCAUCAGUUUGGGGGUGACAAGUAGAACUAAAAAGCAAUUUAGUCCCCAACUUAGCCCAUAAACAUCUCCAAAAGUGGCUAAGAAAUUUAGUAUCACGAUCUGAAACAAUAGUAUUUGGCACACCAUGCAAGCGAAUAAUUUCACGAAAGAACAAAUCAGCAACAUUAACAGCAUCAUCGCUUUUAUGACAUGGUAUAAAGUGUGCCAUUUUCGAGAAUCUAUCCACGACAACAAAUAUGCUAUCCCUCCCCUUCUUUGUUCGAGGUAAACCUAAAACAAAGUCCAUAGAUAUAUCCUCCCAAGGAACACUAGGUACAGGCAAAGGCAUAUAUAAACCAUGAGGAUUGAGUCGUGACUUAGCUUUUUGACAUGUAGUGCAGCGAGCAAUAAAACGCUCAACAUCACGUCUCAUCUUUGGCCAAAAGAAAUGUGUAGCAAGUACGUCCUCCGUCUUCUUCACGCCAAAGUGUCCCAUUAAUCCUCCUCCAUGCGCCUCCUGCAACAACAAAAGACGAACGGAGCUAGCCGGAAUGCAUAGCUUGUUAGCACGAAACACAAAUCCAUCGUUAACGACAAACUUGUUCCACAUUCUUCCUUCUUUACAAUUCUGCAUUACAUCUUUAAAAUCAGCAUCAUGCACAUAUUGAUCUUUGAUGGUCUCCAAACCAAAUAUUUUGAAGUCAAAUUGUGAAAGCAUAGUAUAGCGACGAGACAAUGCAUCAGCAAUAACAUUUUCUUUUCCCUUCUUGUGUUUAAUGACAUAAGGGAAAGUCUCAAUGAAUUUAACCCAUUUAGCAUGUCUACGAUUCAGUUUAGCUUGACUUUUAAUAUGUUUCAAAGAUUCAUGAUCAGAAUGUAUAACAAAUUCUUUGGGCCAUAAAUAAUGUUGCCAUGUUUCUAAAGUCCGAACAAGAGCAUAUAAUUCUUUAUCAUAAGUAGAAUAAUUCAGACUAGGCCCACUCAAUUUUUUAGAAAAGUAUGCAACAGGUUUGCCAUCUUGUAAUAACACACCUCCUAAUCCAAUUCCACUAGCAUCACAUUCAAGCUCAAAAGUCUUAUUAAAAUCAGGAAGUUGGAGUAAAGGAGCAUGUGCCAACUUAUCUUUCAAUACCGAGAAGGCUUCUUCCUGUGCGGUACCCCAAAGAAAAGGCACAUCUUUCUUUGUAAGCUCAUUGAGAGGUGCAGCAAUGGUGCUAAAAUCUCUCACAAAACGCCUAUAGAAUCCAGCGAGGCCAAGAAAACUCCUCACUUGUGUGACCGUUUUGGGCUGCCGCCAACUCUCAAUAGCUUCAAUCUUGGCUUUAUCAACUUCAAUUCCCUGUGGAGUAACAACAUAGCCAAGAAAAGAUACUCGGUCGGUGCAAAAGGUGCACUUCCCAAGGUUACCAAACAAACGUGCAUCACGUAGAGCAAUAAAAACAGCACGUAAAUGUUCCAAAUGUUCUUCCAAAGAUCUGCUAUAAAUCAGUAUAUCAUCAAAAUGGACUACCACAAAUCAUCCAAUGAAAGCACGUAAAACUUCGUUCAUUAGUCUCAUGAAAGUACUACGCGCAUUAGUUAACCCAAAAGGCAUGACUAACCACUCAUAUAAUCCAAACUUAGUUUUAAAUGCUGUUUUCCAUUCAUCCCCCAAUUUCAUACGAAUUUGAUGGUAUCCACUACGCAAAUCAACUUUGGAGAAUAUUGUAGAGCCACUCAAUUCAUCAAGCAUAUCAUCUAGCCUAGGAAUAGCAUGACGAUAACGAAUAGUAAUAUUAUUAAUGCCUCUACAAUCAACACACAUACGCGAUGUACCAUCCUUUUUCGGCACUAGAAUAAUAGGAACAACACAAGGACUAAGGGAUUCGCGUAUAUAACCUUUGUCGAGAAGCUCUUGUACUUCACGCAUAAUCUCCUUCGUCUCCUCUGGAUUGGUACGGUAUGGCGCACGGUUUGGCAGUGAAGCACCGAGAAUUAAGUCGAUCUGAUGCUCAAUCCCUCGAAUAGGUGGUAAUCCCGGUGGCACGUCUUGUGGAAAGACGUCAGCGAACUCCUGCAAAAUGUUAGUGAUAGCAGGAGGCAAAGAGGAAGGCACGUCCUCGAAUGAAAAUAAUGCCUCUUUGCACACAAAAGCAUAGCAAACAGAUUUGCUGAAAUCUAGCUCAUCAAUAUCAGAUUUGGUGGCAAAUAAACAUGCACUUUUCAAUUUAAUUUCAGAAGCAACACUAGAUGGUUUAUUAUUAGGCUUCAUUUGUUGCUCAAUUCUUUUGCCACAGUCUGAUUUUCACUCUUAUUCUUCUCUUGUUUUGCUUUAUUAGCUCUAUUAAUAUCAUCUUUCAAAAUAGAAUCAGGAGUCAUAGGAAGCAAAGUAAUAUUUUUAUCCUUAUGAACAAGAGUAUACUGAUUGUUUCUACCAUGGUGUAUAGAAUUUUUAUCAAAUUGGCAUGGUCUACCAAGUAAUAAGGAACAUGCUUGCAUAGGUACCACAUCACAAUCAACAUAAUCAGCAUAUGUAGAUAUACUAAAAUGCACACGAACAGUACGUGUUACCUUAACCUUGCCGCUGUUGUUGAACCAUUGGAUGUAGUAAGGAUGUGGAUGUGGUCUUGUGGUGAGAGAAAGCUUCUCCACCAUCUCCAUGCUAGCCAAGUUGUUGCAGCUCCCUCCAUCUAUGAUGACGCGCACAGAACGUUCUUUCACAACUCCCUUGGUAUGGAACAAAUUGUGCCUCUGAUUUUGCUCAGCUUGUGUGACCUGCACACUCAAAACACGUUGAGCAACUAAACAUUCAUACCUGUCAGCGUCUUCAGGAGCCAUGUAUUGCGUCUCAUGAUCAGAAUCAUCUCCACCAUGUUCUUCACGUGUAAUAAGAGCCAAAGUCUCCUCAUCAUAGUCAUUAGCGGACUCAUAUCCACCAUCCGCGGUAGCAAUCAUCACACGCGGAGAUUUGCAUUCUCUCGCAUAAUGACCUCCUCCCUUACAACAACGACACAUAAUAUCACUUGUGUGCCCUGUUGAUGCCAUGGAAGAAGAAGAACUCUGUGCAGGCCCAGCAGGUGCGCUCUUGGCAGAAAAUGGUGGUUGUGCCUGUUUUCUUGUAUCACGACUGGAGGAGGCACCUGAUUGAGGUGCUGGUGCAGUUGAAGUAGAAGAUGCACGCGGUGUCCAUGAUGAAGGUCGGCCUGCAGAAAAGUUAGUUCGCGCCAAUGCUUGUCGAUCCUGCACUUCACGUUCAGCUUUACAAGCAAGAUGGAAUAAACGAGUGAUAUUAGUAUACUCCUUAUAGUCUAGAAUGGUCUGAAUCUCUCUAUUUAAUCCACCCAGAAAACGUGCAAGCAUAGCUUCAUUCUCCUCAACAAUACCACAUCUAAUCAUGCCAGUUUGUAAUUCUUGAUAAUAUUCUUCUACAGAAUUUUUUCCUUGUCUUAAGCGCUGUAAUUUUUGAAGCAAUUCACGUUGAUAAUAUGGUGGAACCCAACGAGUACGCAUAGCAGUUUUCAAAGCAGCCCAAGUAGUUGGAAUAGGAUAUAAUCUACAAUGUUCAGACCACCAUACACAUGCAAAACUAGUGAAAGCACAAACAGCAGCAGCAACUCGUCUCUCCUCAGGAUAUUGUAAACAUGUAAAUCGUUGUUCAGUUUCUAACUCCCAAGUAAGAUAUAUAUCAGGAACAUAUCUACCCUCAAAUGGUGGAAUAUUCAAUUUCAGUUUAGGAAUAUGGACAUCAUCUCGUACCUGAGGUGGUGGUGCAGGCCUACCAUUACGAAUAUAUACCUGAGGUCGACCUACUGGUGGUGGUGCAGGUGGCUGUACGUAGUGCUGAUUUUGAUCAACCUCAUCCUCAUAAUCUCCCACAUAAUCAUCCUCCUCCGCAUCAGCAGCAGGAGCCACAGAAGUAUCAACAGCAGCACCAACAGUUUGGCCAAACGCAAGAGGAACACGGCUCGCUCGGCGAAGGUCUGUUUCGCGACGUGGAGGUAGCCGUUGUUGUUGUUGUUGGAGAGGUGCGUUAGGUGCAGCGGGUGGUGGUGGUGGAAGACGCGCGAGCAAUUCAUUAAACUUGUUAUCGAGCUUUGUUUCGAACGUCUUCUCCAUGCCAUCUAUCUUCUCCAUGGCCUCUUCAAAUCUGUUUAGCACAUCUUGCACCUGUCCACUCAUCAUUUGCUGAAAUUUAUCAUGCAAAUCCUUAUUCGUCAUGUUCUCCCAGUCAGUCUCGUCGGCUUGUGAUCCUGGCAUGGUUAGCAGCAAUAGAAACACACAAGAAUAUGAUCCUACAGACUACUAACAAGAGGUGGUGGUGGGUGUCACAAAUCCGUCAAGCAAAUCUCAAAUUCUUACCAGUUCUUACCCAGCAGCAGGCGGUGAUCGGCAACCGUUGUAGUCAAAAACUCUCAAAGCUUGGAUAGAGCGAUUACCAGGGAGAGUCAAAACGCACGACGUAGAUGUAUGUGGAGCUGGGAAGGCUUAUAAUAUGGUAGCAAAAAGGGUCAGCAAUAAUCAAUUCAGAGAUGCAAAGUUGAAUAAACGCUCAACGACGGUACUGUGCUGGUCCUAGGCUAGACUAUGCUAGAGACGCGAGCCUAGAACACCAACAAAAACACGGCGCGGCACGUAAACAAGGGGAAAAGCACACUCUGGUUUUUUUUCUCCUUUUUUUGCGCUGUUUUUUUCGCGCUGCUUUUUUUUCGAAAAAUCACUAUAAUGGCGAGUGUCUCAAAACUCUUCCUAUGUCAAACUGACAGGAUGGGCACGAAAUUUUUUCGACCAAUUUUUUUUUUUCGACUGCCUGGACCCAAAAACUGGAAACGGGUCAAAAAAAACUUCCUAUAAUGGCACCUGUCUCAAAACACUCAGAAACACCUAAAAAUAGGAUAGCCAAUUUUUUUUUCGAAAAAUGCGUUUUCGAAAAAUUUUGGGCCUAAACGGAGGGUGGUUUCCGGACUCUUUUUUUUUCGAAACCUACUCCGGCAAGGAAACACGAAUCGGAAUCUAGAUGGAUCUCGAAAACAAACCUAAUAUGACAAGAACUCGGAUUGGUGGUGGAUAUAUGGUGGUAGAUGGCAGCGGUGGUAGUAUAUGACAGCGGUGGUGGUAUAUGGAUACGGAUUCGAAGCGGUGGCGGAUAAGCGGUGGUGGUAGAUGGCAGGGGCGAUGAUGAUGGUGCGGCGGCGGCAUGACAACUUAUGACCAGAACUCGAAACUCUAAAAGACUAGACUCUAAGACCAGCAACUAGACACGACGAUGCAACCGCAAAUUCAACAAAGCAAAACCCUAAAAAGAUUAUGCAAAGGCUUAGAUUGGUUCGGAUAUGAUGAACUAACCCUAAUUUUUUUGUGGCUUUUUCAUGGACUGUAGGUAUGAAGAACAGACUCGAUCUAAACUACGGAAAACUGUAAAAUCUCACCGAGCAACCUGGAAAUCUGAUACCACUUGAUAGAGGCAAAGGUGUCCCGUCUUUCGAUGAGAUGAUGGAUAUUGCUUUGGUGGAAGUCGACUUUGACGAUCCGACUACGAACGUGCGAGGACGUCGCGCCUUAGCAAUCGCUAAACCAACUCCGAGAGGUUAUUGACCACGCCGGAGCAUGAUCAACCUGACCACGAGGGUCUGUUUCCUGCGAGCAAACGAAGAACAAGCAAGAAACUAAGAUUGCAAUCUGGAUAUUGCGAAUAUAAGAUGAAAGCUUUAUUGAUCAAGGUGGGGUUCUGUGACGCCUUUGUCUGGUCGUUGAACACAAACGAAGUACGCGAAGUUGCAGCUAUGGCGAACUUUUAAUCUAAACAAAACCCAAAGUCUAAACGGUGCCCUAAGGGCUGUAUAUAUGGAGGAAGGGAUGGGGAAUUUCGUGGCCCUUGGUGGAGGGGUCCGAAAUCAACCCUAUCUCUUGUUUCCCCACACAUACGGACUCUAAAAAUAGCCUAUACUUAUGUAUUUCGAAAUUACAUGGGCCUGGCCCAAUAAAAAGGUGAUGGAGCACCUAUAAUAGCCUCUGGACGACAUUUAUGAAGUGACAUCUUGUAUAUUUCGUCCAAGGCUUCAUGCACUCGUUAUGGAGGCUUCAAAGACCUGAAAUCAUCACUUGUAACUCUGUUCUUGUUCCCCUUGCGCAUGCCAUCAUCUCCAUGCUUGUUCUUGCUCCAAUGUUCAUCCUUCUCCAAGCUAGGCCCUUCAUUUGUAAGCAAAACAAAUGUAUCCAAUUUAGGCAGCAUCAUAUUCUCAUGAACAUUAGAAUCAUUACCAAGAAAUGAAAGUACCUGGUAAUUUAGUUGGCGUGCGCGAGCUCUAGUAAUUGGUCCAGUAUGUAUAGCAGCAGGGGUUGUGGGUGUAACAAUGGUAUUGAUGUCCUCAUCACAGACACAGGAAUGAAGUGAAUCACAUGCCGGCCAGUCAAGUGUUCCGGAGCAGUAGUGCUGGGCUAGCAGGACUCCGGUGAACCGGGCUGUAGCAGACUACUAUGGCUCAUGGAAGCACAAGACUACAUUUCCCCAUAAGAGAGGUCACCAAGGAUAAACAACUAGGUUGUCGGAUCCCACACAUACCAAGCAUUUCAAUCAUACACACAAUAUGCUCGAUAUGUGUAAAUACAACAUGGCAUCACAACAAGACUCUAUGACUCAAAGUAUUUAUUCAUUAGGCUCCGAGGAGCGAGAUAUUACAAACAUGGGUCUCAUGACCCAUCAUUCAGAGCAUACAAGUCAAAGCACAUGCGGAAGCUUAACAUGUCUGGGUACAGACAUCUACAAAUGAAAAAGGCUGAGAAGCCUGACUAUCUACCAGAUCCUGCCGAGGGCACAAGAUCAUAGUUGAGGUAUCAAGCUAAACAUCGAAGUCCACACGGAACUACUAGCGAGACUGACGUCUCUCUACAAAACAUAAAAUAGGCAAACGUGAGUACAAAUGUACCCAGCAAGACUUACAUCAGAACUAACUACAUAUGCAUCGGUAUCAACAAAGGGGGUGGUGGAGUUUAACUGCAGCAAGCCAGCUUUGACUCGGUGGCUAUCUUAAACUACGACUUCAUGUAACUCUUUUGAGGUGGCGCACACGAGUCCACAUAUUCACCAUAUCAAUACACCACUAUGGAUCCGCUCCCGUCUCCCUACGAGAAGGCCAUCCAUAGCACUCACGCUUAUCUUGCGAGUUUUAGAGUAUCCACAUUCACUUGUCUAUUAACUAUAUAGGUAACCAAGCAGUCCUUUACCGCGGACACGGCUAUUCGAAUAGAUGAUGUUAACCCUGCAGGGAUGUACUUCUUCACACACGCUCUCACCACUUACCGCCGUUUACACGACAUGUACUCUGCAACCUUCAAGCAGAAGCCCAACGAGGGUGUCGGCCAUGGCCUACCUAAACACUCAAGUCUCUAGUCCAGGUUUAUCGCCUAUCCAGGUACCAUCCGCAGGGAGUCCGGCCGAGGUUUCCACAUACGGCCCCGGACGAUGUGUACAGGGUUCCGAGACACCAAACGGGCGCCCGGCAUGCCCGGCCACGGUGUAUCUACUGCAUCAUAGCCCACCCCUAGGGUCAGCACUAUGCACAGCCGCCAACACAUAGCCUAUAAACACCAGAAACUAGUUGCAACUCCUGGACAGAGAACUAGGGUGGUUAAGAAGCCGAGAGGGUCCAUUGGUUUCGGGCCCAAUGGAUGGUAGUAGCUGGUUCUUAAAUCACAUAUACGGAUCUCGGUGCUUAAGGACGGUUCCAAUGGAACAACCCACCAUGUACUCCUACAUGGCCUCUCAUCGAUACCUUUACCAAAUCGUGUUCAACACACUUAGCUCACACACAGUAGGACAUGUUCACAACUUUCCAAUUCAUCCCCAAUGAAUCAGACCUGAGACAACUCUAAGCAAUAACAAGCAUGACAAAUAAGCAUGAAUGAGUAGGCACAUCUGGGCUGAAACAACUCCUACUCAUGCUAGUGGGUUUCAUCUAUUUACUGUGGCAAUGACAGGUCAUGCAGAGGAAAGGGGUUCAACUACCACAACAUGUAACCGUUGAAUCGUUGUUGUCCUAAUGCAGUAAAAGAGAGCAUGAGGGAGAGAGUGGGAUUGUAUCGGAAUGAACAAGGGGGUUUUGCUUGCCUGGCACUUCUGAAGAUAGUAAUAGCUCUUCAUCGGUGUCAUCGAACUCAUCGUCGGAACCAUGUUUACUGAGAGGGGACAAUAUCGGCAAACAAGGAAGAAACACAGUCAACGCAAUGCAACAAUAUGAUGCAUGCUCAUGACAUGGAAAUAUGCUGUUGGUUGAACUAAUGCAACUAGCAACCAUAUUAAAUGAAGUUGGUUUGAACCCUAGGUUCAAAUUCAAACCCCAUAUGUUAAAAUUCAAAUGACAUUCACUUAGUUUGUCCUAAAAAGUGAUGUUAACUUGCUCAAACAUGCAUGGAUAUGGCAUAAACAGAUUCUUCGUAUUUUUCUGAUCAUUUUUCAUAUAUAAAUUAUUUCAUUCUGAGCUACGGUUGAUUUUAUAUGAUUUUUAGAAGUUUUGGGUAUUUUCUGAAAAUAAUAAAUUAUUUUUGAUUUAUUUCAAAAUUUCAGAAAGUAAUUACUGCGUCAGCCUGAUGACGGGGUGAUGUCAGCAAGUCAAUAGGGCUGGUCCGGGUCAAACCUGACCAGUGGGGUCCACUGGUUAUUGACCCAGUGCAUCCUAGGGUCAAUGACAGGUGGGCCCGGUCAACAGACACGUUAGCACAGUCAACUCUGAUGCGUGGGUCCCGCUGGGUUAUAAACUAAACAAAACGGAAAAUAAGCCCGGUGUUAAUUAGGCGUGGGGCCCAGCUGUCUAUGUCACUGGAGGGUUUAAUUAGUGGGUCAUUAGCCACUAAUGAUGCCCACAUCACCUAAACGGCGAUUAGCUGCCGGUGCUAAGCAGGACGUGGCGGCGCUCCUCGUCCGGGCGACUCUGGUGACAAGAGCGUGUGUGGCUGGUCUCUACGGGUGCAGCGCGACGAGGCGCGUCGAGUGGAGGCAUCGAGGCGGCUGGAGGUGGAGCGAAGCGAUGGCAGCGGCGACAAGCGCGGCGGCCGGAGCUACGGGCGCGUUCGGGCGCGGGGCUGCAGUGCACGGGCGAGCAAACGGAGUGGCUAGGCGGCCCCCUGGAGGCGCUACGAGCACUAUGGUGCCACGAGGGCAAGUAGAGGAAGCUCGGGAGCGCAGGGCUCAACAGCCAUGGGGGCGGCAUGGUUCGGCCAAGGUCGGUAUCGCGGCUAGGGGCCAAACGCGUCGACGGGGAGAGCGACAAGAGGUGCAGGGGCUCACAGUGAUUCCGUAGGGUAGGUCAGUGGGCUCGGGGACGGAUUGGACGGGGCGGAUCGACGCCGGUCAUCUCCGGGAAGAGGCGGCGGGGACGAGCUCGAUGACGACGCUUCCGGGCGUCUGGGCUUGCUUCCUUCAUCGGGGAGACGUAGGAGACGAUGGUGUAGCUCCCGGAGACGGAGAGGGAUCAAGGGGUGUUCGGUGUCCAUAGCUAUGGCGUGCGGCGGCGACGGACCCGUUUGGGUGGGUGAGGGGAAGAGGUCCAGGGGAGAGGAGAGGCCACGGGUGAGGGAGAGAGAGGUCGGGGGGUGCGUGGCGUCGUCAAGACGUGUUGGGGCAGCGGCGGUAAGCAGGAGGUGGGCGGGCGCGUGACGGCGUGCGUCAGCCACGCGUGCUGCCUAUUGGCGUGGGGAGGAAGACGACAGGGAGCCGGGAAGGUGGGCUGGGCCAGCCACUUGGGCUCCAGGUAAGGCCCAGGUACUAUCUCUCUCUCUCUCUCUCUCUCUCUCUGUCUGUCUUACUCUUUUAUAAAUCUUCCUGUUUUCUAUUUUUUUGCAAUAUGUUUUGACUUAGUUUAAAUACCAAAUCACUUUAUAAAAUUCUGCAAACUUUUAUGGGCACUAUCUGAUUUAAACCAUAGGCCCUCACCAAGUUUCAGAAUAUUUGGAGCUACCAAAUAUUUUAUAGGAAUUAGUAGCUCCAAUUCAAAUACAUUAAGAGUUAAUUCAAAAAUCCAGGAAUGACCUAGAAAUAUGUUCAUCAUUUUUGGCAGAGGUUUUCGCCAUUAUCAGAAACCAUGAACAUUUUCAAAGGGAAUUUUGGGUUCAUUGAAAAUAUUUUUAAUUUGAUCCUAGUUGCAUUUCAUUUGGUGCUAGGGUUUGAACAUCCCCAUUUCAAGUUUAACUGAAAUUUAAACAUGAUGCAACACCAGAUGCUAGCACUAAGCAUUACCAGAACUAGGGAUGUGACAUGGGAAUAAUUCUAAUGUUCAUGAGAAUAUGAUGCUGCCUGAUACGUCUCCAAUGUAUCUAUAAUUUGUUAUUGUUCCAUGCUAUUAUAUUAUCUAUUUUGGAUGUUUCAUAUGCAUUAAUAUGCUAUUUUAUAUUAUUUUUGGGACUAACUUAUUAACCUAGUGCCUAGUACCAGUUGUUGCUUUUUCCUUGUUUUUGGCUUUUACAAAAAAUCAAUACCAAACAGAGUCCAAAUGGAAUAGAACUUGAAGAUGAUUUAUCUUAGACUAGAAGAAACCUAGGAAGCUUUGGGAGGAGGCAAGAAGACCUACGAGGAGGCCACAAGCCUAGGCUUGUGGGCCCUCGGAGACCUUCCAACCCUAACUCCACCACAAUAAAUUCCGAAAUAUUCCCCUUAUGUCAGAGGGCACACCAAAAAUACUUUUCCGCCGCCACAAGCUUCUGUUCUCAUGAGAUCACAUCGUGGGGCCUUUUCUGACACUCCGCUAGAGGGGCAUUUAAUCACGGAGGGCCUAUACACAAAUCUUGCUGCCCUUCUGAUAAAGUGUGAGUAGUUUACCAUAGACCUAAGGGUCCAUAGCUAGUAUCUAUAUGGCUUCUUCUCUGUCUUUGAUCUUCAAUACAAUGUUCUUCUCGAUGUUCUUGGAGAUCUAUUCGUUGUAAUCUUCUUUUGCGGUGCGUUUGUUGUGAUCCGAUGAAUUGUGAAUUUAUGAUUAGAUUAUCUAUGAAUAUUAUUUAAGUCUUCUCUGAACUCUUUUAUGCAUGAUUAAGAUAGCUUAUUAUUUCUCUCUGAUCUAUUGAUUUGGUUUGGCCUACAAGAUUUGUUUUUCUUGCAAUGGGAGAGGUCCUUUGUGAUGGGUUCAAUCUUGCGGUGUCCUCACCCAGUGAUAGUAGGGGUAGCGAGACACAUAUUGUAUUGUUGUCAUUAAGGAUAAAAAGAUGGGGUUUACAUCAUAUUCCUUGAGUUUAUUCCUCUAUGUCAUGUCAUCUUUCUAAAAGCGUUACUUUGUUCUUAUGAACUUAAUACUCUAGAUGCACGCAAGAGUCAGUCAAUGUGUGGAGUAAUAGUAGUAGAUGCAGAAUCAUUUUGGUCUACUUGUCACGGACAUGAUGCCUAUAUUCAUGAUCAUUGCCUUAGAUAUCGUCAUAAAUUUGCGCUUUCCUAUGAAUUGCUCAAUAAUAAUUUGUUUACCCACCGUCUGCUUUAUUCAAGAGAGAAGCCUCUAGUGAAGCCUAUUUUGCAUCAUAUACUUUCAGAUCUAUAAAAACAAAAACCCAAAAAUACCUUGCCGCAAUUUAUUUAUAUUUACUUUAUCUUACGUUUUACUUAUCUUUUAUAUCUAUUUCUAUUAGGUCUCACUCUUGCAAGUGACCGUGAAGGGAUUGACAACCCCUUUCUCGCGUUGAGUGCAAGUGUUUGUUAGUUUGUGCAGGUGCAUAUAUUGGGGACUUUCUUGUGCCUCCUACUGUGAUGUAGGGUAGAGACCCUAAUCGCCCGAUCUUUCAUGAAAGGAGCAGAUCCCGGGGAAAUCACGAAGAACACGGGGAAGAACGGAGAGAAAACACAACAAGAAACACGAGAGGAAACACUAAACCGACAUGAAUAAGUCACACAUGGGCUAGAUCCUCGAGUACAUAGGUAGAGAUACACGAAUCCAUGGACAACUAAGGACGAUACACGGUAACCGGUCUUCUCUGUGAGGAGGUCUUGAUGGGACCGCCCAAGAGGGGGUCGUGAUGUUCUUCUCUGCAAGGAGGUCUUGUAUCUGCUUGGGGGAUCUUCUCCGGUGGAGGCUCGAAUCUCCAAGGAGAAGGUAACCAAGUGGAUGAGCAAAGCUCUCUCACAAAUAUGAGCUAAACAUUUGCUAACCCUAGCUAGAAGGAGAGGUCUAUAUAUAGUCUAAGUGCAAAUGCGGGCGAAAGUAGGGGUACAUGGGCCUCGGGCCCGAAUCUGGAUGCAGCCAGGUACCGGACGUCCGCUGGUGGCCGGUCGUCCGAUGUCUCAGGAGCGGCCGGUCGUCCGGUGUCCUCCGGACGUCCGCUGGUUUUGCUCUAUGCUGGGGGUGCCGGAGAUCCAGAAAUGUCGAACUUCCGCUGAUGUUGGUUCGGAUGCAGGUGCGCCGGUUGUCCGGUCCAGACCGGAUGUCCGCUCGUUUGCUUCGGGUGCAAGGGCACCGGUCGUCCGGUCUGGACCGGACGUCCGCUUGCUGGGGCUCGGCCGAUGCUUCAGGCGUCGGACGUCCGGUCCCGGCCGGUCGUCCGGUGGUUGGGACUUUUCCUUCAGCCCUCCUUCUUCUCCGUCUUCUCGUCCAUCUUCCUCUUCUUCUUGUCCUUGCUCCUUAGCUUCUCCAUGGUACCUGAGUAUGCACAAAGUGUCCAUAUGAGGUAGUAGCCAUGCUUCAUGUGCAUCAAAGUGGAAUUGCGAGAGGAGAUAUGUCACCUCGGUUUCAAGAGCUCUUGCACGUGAUCGAGUCAUGGGUCCACUAGGCACUUGAUGAGACGAUGGUAGGUCCAUGGGGAUGACCUUGGGAUGCUCCGCAUCAUCUCCCCUCCCUUGGGGAAGAUCCGACCUCGGAUCGAAAUCCUCAUCACCAUGGUACGGGGAGAGAUCUUUGACGUUGAAGAUGUUGCUCACAGAGUACUUGUCAUGUGGGAUGUCGAUCGUGUAUGCAUUGUUGUGGUAGCGUGCAAGCACCUUGAAUGUUCCAUCGGCUCGUGGUAGUAGCUUGGACUUGUGUUCGUUGGGGAAGCGUUCCUUGCGAAGGUGUAGCCACACAAGAUCACCAAUGUUGAAUAUCAUGUGAUUCUUGUUGACGUUGAGCUUGGUCGCGAGUCGUUGUACUUGGAGCUCAAUGGUGUGCCUUGUAUCUUCAUGCAUCUUAUUGAGGUGGUUGGCUUGGUCACUCGCAUCCAUGUUUGUGCGCUCGUGGAGUGGUAGAGGUAGGAUGUCCAAUGGGGACAACGGGUUGAAACCGUAGACAACCUCGAAGGGGGAUUUGCCGGUAGUCGAAUGUCUUGCGCGGUUGUAGGCGUACUAGGCGAUGGGUAAGCACUCCUCCCACUCCUUGAUGUUCUUCUUGAUUAGCACGCGAAGAAUGGUGGAGAGCGUGCGGUUUGUCACCUCCGUUUGGCCGUCGGUUUGUGGAUGAUAGGACGUGGAGAAUAGAGGCAUGAUUCCGAGCUUGGCGCAUAAGGUCUUCCAAAAGUAACUCAAGAACUUCACGUCGCGGUCCGAGACGAUAGUCUUUGGCACACCAUGUAGACACAAUAUUUCCCUACAAAAGAUAUUAGCCACAUGUGAAGCAUCGUCUAUCUUGUUACAAGGAAUAAAAUGUGCCAUUUUUGAGAAACGGUUCACAACGACGAAUAUAGAAUCUUUCCCAUUGCGUGUCCUCGGCAAACCAAGUACAAAGUCCAUGCUAAUGUCUUCCCAUGGUUGGUAUGGAAUUGGUAGAGGCAUAUAGAGGCCAUGAGAUUGAGCUUUGGACUUAGCUUUGCGGCAUGCCGAACAUCGGUUGGUGAAACGAUUGACGUCCCGAAACAUCUUUGGCCAAAAGUAGCUCUUCGAGAGCGUGGCGAACGUCUUGUCACGUCCGAAAUGUCCCAUUAAGCCUCCUCCAUGUGAUUCCUGCAAAAGCAACAAACGAAGGGACGACUUGGGGAUGCAAAGUUUGUUAGCUCUCAUAAGAUAGCCGUCUUUGAUGUAAUAGUGUUCCCAAGAUGUAUUCGACAAACACUUGGCAUAAGGAGUGGCAAAAGUUUCAUCAUGCUCAUACAAUUCUUUGAUAUGCUCGAAGCCAAUGACAUCUAACUCAAGUUGCGUGACUAGCAUGCAUAUGCGGGAAAGAGCAUCCGCUAUGAUGUUUUCUUUACCCUUGAUGUACUUGAUGACAUAGGGACAAGACUCAAUGAAUUCACUCCAUUUAGCAUGACGCUUGUUCAACUAAGUUUGACCCUUAAGAUACUUGAGAGUCUCAUGAUCGGUAUGAAUGAUAAACUCAUGGGGACGAAGGUAAUGUUCCCAUUCAUGUAAAACACGGACUAAAGCAUAUAGCUCUUUGUCAUAGAUGGGAUAGUUGAGUUGCACUCCGGAAAGUUUCUCACUAAAGUAAGCUAUGGGGCGCUUCUCUUGCGUUAACACACCUCCUAUGCCAUUACCGCUAGCAUCACAAUGAAUCUCAAAAGGCUUGUCGAAGUUGGGUAAAGCAAGCAGGGGAGCAUGAGUACCCAAAUUCUUAAGCUCAUUGAAUGCGGUAUCGUGGGAUGGUCCCCAAAUAAAUGGUGCAUUCUUCUUGCUCAAAGCAUGCAAAGGCAAAGCAAUGGUGCUAAAAUCCUUCACAAAGCGACGAUAGAAACCCGCAAGACCAAGGAAACUACGCACUUGAUGCAAGUUGGUUGGUUGCGGCCAAGUCUUAAUAGAAUUGAUCUUGGACUCAUCUACAUGUACACCCAUAGAAGAGACAACAAAACCAAAGAAAAUGAGCUUAUCAACACCACAAAGGCAUUUCUCCAUAUUGGCAUAGAGACGCUCUUUCCUAAGAGUUUGCAAAAUGGUGCAUACAUGGGUGACAUGCUCUUUGAUAGAUUUGCUAAACACAAGAAUGUCAUCGAAGUAAACCACAACAAAUAUACCAAUGUAAGGGCGAAAGACAUGAUUCAUAAGGCGCAUUGGCAUGACUAACCACUCAUACAAACCAAACUUGGUGGUUCCGAGAGACCCAUUGGCAUGACUAACCACUCAUACAAACCAAACUUGGUUUUGAAGGCGGUUUUCCAUUCAUCGCCCUCUUGUGUGCGGAUUUGAUAGUAACCACUCUUAAGAUCAAUUUUGGAAAAUAUAGUGGCACCACUAAGCUCAUCUUGCAUAUCAUCUAGGCAUGGAAUGGGAUACCUAUAACGAACGGUGAUAGCAUUGAUAGGUCUACAAUCGGAGCACAUGCGAAAACUACCGUCACGUUUUGGCACAAGAAUGAGGGGCACGGCACAAGGGCUCAAACUUUCACGCACAUGUCCAUGGUCUAUGAGAUGCUUUACUUGCCUUUGAAUUUCUUUGGUUUCUUCGGGGUUGACGCGGUAGGGAGCUUUGUUCGGAAGUGGUGCUCCGGGGAUGAGGUCGAUGCAGUGCUCAAUGCCUCGUAGUGGAGGUAGUCCCGGAGGUAGCUCAUCAGGGAAAACAUCUUGAAAUUCCUGCAAAAGAGAAGACAACACUAGAGGUAGAGUGUGAGAAGUGUUAGUUUGUGUUGCAUUGUCCUUGCACACGAGGACGUAGUGUAGGACACUAGAUGGGUUCUCACACACUUCUCUCAUCUCACGUUUGGUGGCAAAUAGAACUAGGUUCUUGUUUUCGCUCAUCGUGGAGGCACUCAAUUUGGGCUUGUGGUGCUCACUCUCUUUUUGGUGGCUCACUCUCUCACCAUUCUCUCCAUGAUUGGUGGCUUGCUUAUCGGCGAUCACUUGGCUUGGAGACAUAGGUCGCAACACAAACUCCUUUCCUUGCAUCUUGAAUCUAUAGUGGUUUGUAUGCCCAUUGUGGACGACUCCCCUAUCGAAUUGUCAUGGCUGUCCAAGGAGAAGAUGACACACGGUCAUUGGGAGGACGUCGCACUCCAAGGUGUCUUCGUAGGCACCGAUCUUGAAGGAGACUUGCACUCGGUGCUCGACUUGGAUGGUACCGGAGUCACUAAGACAUUGCACUUUGUAUGGAUGUGGAUGCUUCGACUUGGGCAAUUGGAGCUUGGAGCAAAGUUCUUCACUUGCGAGAUUAUGACAAUUCCCUCCAUCGAUGAUGACCUUGACGGAUCGUCCAUUGAUGCCGGCCUUGGUGUGGAAUAUGUGGCAUCGUUGGUCUUCUUCUUGGUGAUGUUGGAGAGUCAAGACUUUGGAGACAACAAGUGCGGGACUUGAGUCUUCAUCACAAAAGACUUGUUAUUCUUCAUUGUUCACUUGGCGGUGCAUGGCGACUUGCUCGAGGGCUUCCAUUUCUCCUUCACUCAUGGAAUCAUAAGUGCCAUCGUCGUUGAAGAUCAUGGUGCGCUUGUUGGUGCACUCGUAGGACUUGUGGCCUCGGCCGCCACAAGUGAAACACUUGAAGGAACUCGUCUUGACGGUCUCAUCGGUAGGGGUUGAUGAUGAUGAAGCUCUCACCUUGAAGUUGCUCGUAUUAGGAUUGCUUGUAGUUGGCGAAGCUUUCUUGGAAGUUGACUUGUUGAUGUUUGAAGUAGAGGGUCUUGUAGUCGGUGUUGGAGUUGUUGAAGCUUGGUUAUUGGAGAAACCAUAGGACUUGGAUGAGAACUUGGCAUACUUGAAAUCAUCUUGCACUUGGUGUUCCGCUUUGGUAGCUUGGUGCACGAGCUCGAUGAGAUUUGAGUAUGGUUGGAAGUCGGCGAUCUUCUUGAUAGGAUGAUUGAGUCCAUUCAAGAAGCGUGCCAUUGUUUGCUCAUCAUCUUCCGUCACAUUGGCUCUUAUCAUAGCAAUCUCCAUCUCCUUGUAAUAUUCUUCAACGCUCUUGGUUCCUUGCUUGAGUUGUUGGAGUUUCUUGAAGAGGUCGCGGUUGUAGUAGUUAGGCACGAAGCGUGCUCUCAUGACAUCCUUCAUUUGUGCCCAAGUAGUGAUGGGUGGUUCACCUCUUGCCUUGCGGCGCUCUAUGAUUUGUUCCCACCAAAUGAGGACAUAGUCUUGGAACUCAAGGGAUGCCAUCGCGAUCUUGUUCUCUUCUUCAGAAUUGUGCAAACGGAAUAUCUUGUCAACUUUCAAUGCCCAUGAAAGGUAUUCUUCGGGAUCGUUGCUUCCGUUGAACUUGGGCAUGGUGAACUUGAGCUUGCCGUAGCGUUGCUCUUCAUUGUGUUGGGGUCAGGGAUGAUGACGCCCAUGUUGUAGAUGAUUGUUCAACUCGUGGUGCUCUUGAUGCGGAGGGUUGUCAACCUCGUGUUGCACUUACCGCAGAGGAUUCCCAUUGUCUUCAUGCUUGAUAGAGGCGAGAGUCCCGAUCUUUUGAUGAGAUGAUAAAUAUCGAUUUGGUGGAGACGACUUUGACGAUCCGACUACAAACAUGCACGACGUUGCGCCUUAGCAAUCGCUAAACCAAUCUCCUGAGGUUACUGACGAUGCUGGAAGCAUGAUCAGCCUGACCACGAAGGUCUAUUCUUGCAAGAAAUCGAAAACGAGCAAGAAUAUGAUAAAGCAAUCUAAAUAUUGCGAAUAUACAUGAAGUAUUGAUAAUGGUGGGGAUCCGUAAGCGGUCUUGGUCUGGUCGUUGGACACAAAUGAAGUACACGAAGUUGCAAUGGCUAACUUUUAACUAAACAAAUCCCUAGGAAAAAGCUACUAGAUGGACCUACUUAUAUAGGAGCAAGGGGUGGCGGCCAAGGAGGUGGGAGGACGUCCCAAGGCAGCCUAAAACUAACCCUAGGUCGUACAAGGCUCAUGGGCCUAAGUGGAGGUGAUGCAACACCUUUGGGCUUGUAGUUUGACUCGGAUUCUGCUGCAACGUCAGAUUGUUUCGUCCGUAACUCAACGCUCUGGACGAAUUUGAAGGUGAAUCCAAUUGGGAUGGAAAGAGCACGAAAUCUAGUUUCCAACAAAAAAAGAAUCACCCAAUUCGGAGUCCGUAUGAAAAAGUUGUUGGCGUUUUGAGUCAGGUAUGUCUGUGCAGUCCGAAUCUGAAUCCAGAACGUGAGAGACUUGGACUCUAUCUUCUCUUGGCCCACAAGUGACGUGAGAGGAAUUUUUGAACACAACCUAAACAUCUCCUUUUCCCUUAUCUUCAUAUAUGGAUUGUGCAAAUGUCCCAUACACUUGCAAUUAGACAAAACACAAAAUUGUGUGAAGUAUUUUUGUUCUGGAUAACAUAAAUAGACUAUUGAAUAGUUUGCAUUAGAAAUCACCUAACAAAUAUGCAUGUAUGCAAUAUUUUUGGUCGUAUCCAAGGUAGUCAUGUCCUCAUCAUCCUCCCCUUUUUGAAAACAAAGCCGUCCUCGGCAUUGCUUAAUCUGAAAUGUGGCUAACAAAAGAGACAAGGUGUACAUGUUUUAUAUGUAUAUGUCAUCCAUUUUAACUUCCCUUGAUUUUUGCACAUAUGUCACAUGUAUACAUGACUAACUUUCAUUGUUCAUAAAAUCUAAAGCCAAAAAAUUGUCACAAGAAGUAGAAGGCAUGAAAAUAUUGCAACUCAGUUUGCACAUAUAAGUGAAGCUCUUAUUCACUUCAAAAGAUUGGCAAUGUUCAUCAUUAAACCAUCCUAACUUCGAUGAAUAAACUUUACUUGCAUCAAAUUUACAUGCUACAACAUGCUUAAAUAAGCAAACAUGCAAUAAGUCAUUGGACACAGAAUCAUCAUCAAGAUUAGAGGUCACAUCAAAAUGAUUAAACAUUGGUUCUUUUGCAUCAACAGUUAAUUCAAUGGGUGCACUCAAAAUUGUUGAUAUUUCAGUUGUUUGAUCACAUGACGCAUUCAUGACAGUAACAAGAGUCUCUAAAAUAGGUGGUGUGCUCAAAUCAACAGGUAACUCAACACAUGAUGCAUUCAAGUUAACUAGGCAUGCUUCAUUCUCAUGUGAAGUUAUAUCAUCAAGACCUUUACUGUUACCUCGCAGAGAUGUAGCUGAUGUAGGUACGGACGUUGACAAUGUACCAUACUCUUGAGAUGAUAUCGCGCUCACAAUCCGAGGUGGGGCUGCUCUAGUAGGUGCAAUAGUGGAGUAACCAACCGGCGGUGGUGAGCAUGAACUGGAAUAGUAGUUGUUGUAGUCACCCAAUGCAUCCUCCUGUAUUUGUCUCUCAAAGGUACAAGCACGGACAUACAUACCAGUAAUGCAACGAGGAAUAUACUGAAAUCUUGCCUGAAUAUCAUGGUUCAAACCACCAAAAUAUCUAUUCAUUGUAUCAUCCUCAGAUUCUUCUAUGUCACAAUGAUGCAUAUAAGAUUUGAACUCUUGGUAGUAAGCAUGAACAGUGUUAUUGCCUUGUUUUAAUUGCUCCAAUUUGUGACGCAAUUCACGACGAUAGUAAGGAGGAAAAAAUUGUUGUCUCAUUACAGCUUUCAAAACUUUCCAAGUUGUGGGUUGGUUAUCAAUGUUUUUCUUACAAUGUACACUCCACCAAACAGAAGCAAAACCAGUAAAUGCUCUAAUGGUAGCUCGUACUCUCUCAAGUUCAGAAAAAUCAUGGUGACUAAAAACUUGUUCUACUUCAAGCUCCCAAGCUAGAUAAAUAGCAGGAUUAAAUCUACCCUCAAAUGAUGGUAAAGAGAUAACCUGACCAUAUGCUUGUGUGUGUUGUCCCAACUCUCGUGAUGGUGAAGAUGUGUCCGGCAUCCAAGAACUUCUAUCUCUGGAACCUGUCAUGAUUAGUAGAAACAAGAACCAAAAUUCGAGAAUAAUGUUCCUAUGAACUACUAGGAUGUGGUUGUAAAGUGCUCAUAGUAAAGCAAAUAUCAAUAUCUUACAAGUUCUUACCAUGCGGCAGGUGGUGACAGGCAACCAGCGGUGUCAAAUAACUCCGAAGAUUGUGUAAAACGAUUGCCAGGGGAACGUACGUAUACACGGUGUAGAAAUAUGUGGAGCUGGGUUGGCUAUAUAUGGUAGCAAAAGAUUAGCAACAAUCAAUUCAGAUAUGCAAUGUUGAAUAAAUGCUCAACGACGGUACUGUGCUGGUCCUAGGCUAGACCAAACUAGAGACACGAGCCUAGAACACUAAUGAGGUCACGUCGUAGCACAACUAGCAUCAAUAUAGGAUAUGAAGUAGCUCUGGACAGCAAGAUAUAAGUGAAGAUCACAAUAGCAGUGACCUAUUUAGAAGCUAAUGUUGAGGUGCCAAAUACUGAACUAGCUUCUGCAACUAUUUAGAUGCGGCUCGUCGCUAGCUUUCAUUUGAGUACUCGCGGAGCCAAAACAGACUUCAUAUGAGGAAGUUAUGCCUGUUUUACUGAACAGUGCACAAAACAGAUUCCAAUCUGAAUUCAACUACGAGAUUGAGUCUAGAUAGAUCCGAAUUUUGUUUUUUUUCUCCUCUUUUUUUUCUCACACUUUUUUUUCUUUUCCUUUCUUUUUUUUCUCUGACUUUUUUUUACUUUUUUUUCUCUCGUUUUUUUCUCUAUCUUUUUUUUUCUCUCUCCCUCUUUCCAAACAAACUAGAUAAGAUGUAGAUUGGAUCAAGCGAAGAUGGGAACGAUCUCAACUAUGAUUAUGACAAUGAAUGGUGGGUAGCACGAGGAGGAAAUUGAUGGAUGGGUGGUGGACAGUGGAAGGGAUAACGAUGCAGCGGCGACGUGACUAAUGUGAACAGAACUCGAAACUCUAAACGACCUAGACACUAAGACCAGCAACUCGACACGACGAUGCAACCGAUAAUUCAACUAUGCAAGCAAUGAAAAGAAAAUUGCAAAGGCCCAGACUGGCUUGGACAAAGGAUGAAUAGAUCUAACUCUUUUGUGGAUUUUUCUUGGACAAUAGGUAAGAAAAUAAAUCUAAUCUAGGAAAACUGGAAAUUCUCACCGAGCAACCUGAAAACUGAUACCACUUGAUAGAGGCGAGGGUCCCGAUCUUUCGAUGAGAUGAUAACUAUCGAUUUGGUGGAGACGACUUUGACGAUCCGACUACAAACGUGCACGACGUUGUGCCUUAGCAAUCGCUAAACCAAUCUCCUAAGGUUACUGACGAUGCUGGAAGCAUGAUCAGCCUGACCACGAAGGUCUAUUCCUGCAAGCAAUCGAAGAACGAGCAAGAAUAUGAUAAAGCAAUCUAAAUAUUGCGAAUAUAUAUGAAGUAUUGAUAAUGGUGGGGAUCCGUAAGCGGUCUUGGUCUGGUCGUUGGACACAAACGAAGUACACGAAGUUGCAAUGGCUAACUUUUAACUAAACAAAUCCCCAGGAAAAAGCUACUAGAUGGAUCUACUUAUAUAGGAGCAAGGGGUGGCGGCCAAGGAGGUGGAAGGACGUCCCAAGGCAGCCUAAAACUAACCCUAGGUCGUACAAGGCUCAUGGGCCUAAGUGGAGGUGAUGCAACACCUUUGGGCUUGUAGUUUGACUUGGAUUCUGCUGCAAUGUCAGAUUGUUUCGUCCGUAACUCAACACUCCGGACGAAUUUGAAGGUGAAUCCAAUUGGGAUGGAAAGAGCACGAAAUCUAGUUUCCAACAAAAAAAGAAUCACCCAAUUCGGAGUCUGUAUGAAAAAGUUUUUGGCGUUUUGAGUCAGGUAUGUUUGUGCAGUCCGAAUCUGAAUCCAGAACGUGAGAGACUUGGACUCUAUCUUCUCUUGGCCCACAAGUGACGUGAGAGGACUUUUUGAACACAACCUAAACAUCUCCUUUUCCCUUAUCUUCAUAUAUGGAUUGUACAAAUGUCCCAUACACCUGCAAUUAGACAAAACACAAAAGUGUGUGAAGUAUUUUUGUUCUGGAUAACAUAAAUAGACUAUUGAAUAGUUUGCAUUAGAAAUCACCUGACAAAUAUGCAUGUAUGCAAUAUUUUUGGUCGUAUCCAAGGUAGUCAUGUCCUCAUCAAUGCUCUUGAUGAACUUGAUGGUCUUGGCGAGCUUGUGGGGGAGCUUUGCGAGCUCGAGGCGGAAAUUGACGAUGCACACGAGCUUGAAAUCGUCGUUCUUGAAUUUCUUCGCGAAGUGCUUCCUCUUGGUUACGGGCUUUUCGGCCUCGGUCGGCAACGGCUCGACUCGAAUCGCGUAGAGCUUGUUGCGCCUCAAGAGCUUGAGCAUCACGGAGUUGUUGUUCUUGACGUUGUGUCUCGGCAUCUUGUGCAAGUUGGUGGAGACGCACACAUUCUUCCUCUUCAUGUUGGCACUAUUGUUGCCGUUCUCGAGCUAGCGCAAAGGCUUCUUCGGUUUGACGUCGUCGAUGUUCUUGCGAGUGGGUGUCUCGAAGUGGAUUGAGGUUUGCUUGACGCUCGUUGCGUGUGGCACGUCUAAGAGUGUUUGAAGACGGUGUACUUGAGCCGGAGAGGGUAAAGUCGGAAUGGCGACUUGAACGGCUCCUUAUUGAAGUGGAAGAAGAGCGGUUGAGCAACAAAGCGCGAAUCUCAUCCAUACUUGCGUCAUUCUCUUGCUUGUGAUCGUCAAGCUUGUGGUCGAAGUAGUCCCUUGUACGUUCCUCGGAAAGUCGCAAGUCGGCGGCAAGGUUGUCGAUGCGUUCACUCAUAGCUUGUUGCUCUUGAUGCAAAGCACGUUGUGCACCAAAGAGGUGACUCUUGGUGACGAAGGAGUUCAUGUCAUCGUCUUGCUCCAUGAAGAGUGGGUUGGUAGAAGUACUUGGCUUAUCCAUCAUUCCAAGACAAAUGUGAGUGGUUGAAAGAGAAGAACGAAUACCAAAUGUACCUUGACCGAAGUUGAAAGUGAAUCGAUGAUCACUCCAAUGUAGGACAAGGAAAUAGCCCAAUUGGUACGAAUUCUCGUCGGUUUCUCACACCUACACAAGUAAAAGCUUAUGGUGGAGCUUGUUUAGGAUGGUGGCACAAUUUCUAAUGUGAAUGUAAGAAAGAUUCAAUAAUGUUGGAAAAGAUUCGGAAGAUGCAAUGUAACAAGUAGACCAAGCAUAUACGGUACACAGAAACACACGCGCAAAAAGAUAAGUGGGGUUGUGCAACCAAGGGUGAGCCAAAAUGUGGAACCCACAAAAAAUGCUCGUGUUGCACAACACUAGUGAGACGCUAGCACGAUUGCACGACAGGCGGAUACAAGAACUUGUGCACGACGUACUUAGCAAAAAUGCAACGACUUCUAUCCCAAAUAAGUUCUAUGCAAGGUGUUGUUAUGAUAUGAUCCAAGAUGAUCGAUUAUGACAAUCUUAAUGUUGUAUGAUGCUAUGGUUCUUGCUUGAAAGCUCUUUGCUUAUCUUUCCUCUUUGCUUAAAAGCUUGUUUGGGUCUUUGAUGUUUGAGCUCUUUUCUCAUGCAAUGCUUGACGAACCAAGAUAGCAAGUGAGUAUGCGGUGACAACUUUUUGACACAAGAGAUGAUACCAAUAUAGGAAACAAUGAUGUAUGUAUGUAUGCUAUGGGAAGUAUGAUCACUAGUGUGCACAAGUCUCGUUGCCGGCAAUACUCAAUGACUAGUCUCGAUGGGUAAGCAACGCAAAGGAGUAAGGCUAUGAUGGUUAUCAAUGUAAUGGCAAGAGUGAUAUGUCCAAUACCAAGAUGAGGUUACCGGUCUUGCUUCCGGUAUGGUGUCAAAACGGUGGCACGAAUACCAAGUCGUAGUCGAGGUGGUCGUUGUUGAUGACGCGUCCGUGGCGAAAAUGAGCAGCGGUGAUGUCGAUGUCGAACCGUACCUAGAUAGCCGAAACACAAAAAGAUACGGUACCGCAACUCAAAUUCUCAAAACCAAGUGCGACAAAAAGCAUCGGAGUAGGUACCGGGUAAGUGGUGGUGUGGGUUGGGAUAUUGGAAAGGUUUGCGGAAGUCGGUGGUGGUGUAGCGGAUGAUGUGGUGGAAGCCGAAACAAAAUUUGAGCGAGAUCAGUGUUUACAGUAGAGGUCGUCCGGAAAUGAACGGAUGUCCGGUCGCCGGACGUCCGGUCGGGUCGGAAAACCGCUAAUUUUAGCUCGGGUUAGAGGUUCCGGUCGUCCGGAAAGGUCGGACGUCCGGUGGUUCCUGCGGCUCCGGACGUCCGGUAAGUUGCGGUCGUCCGGUGGGUCGGGGUCAAAAUUGAUAGGAUUUCAUGGAUUUUGGAUGGAUUUCGAGGUGGAGAUGGUGGGGGAAGGCUAGAUCCACUUGCAACACAACAAAUUCACGGAUCAAAACCAACAAAACAUCAUCAAAACUCACAAAUCACAAGAAUUUUUUUUGUGGGGCUAUUCUUGUGGGGAUUUUAUGUCCAUUUCAUGUUUGGUAACUCACCUGUGUUGAUGCCAUCGUUUCCCCUCUGUUGCCCUGCCCUGCAUCGAUGUGGUUUAGUUGCUUUCGAGCUCGCCCGUGACGUGUCCGGCUCUUGAUCUCCAUUGGCAUGGAGCUAGAGCUCCCUCGAGCUCUCCCGAAGCCGUCCCGCGGCUAUAUAAGGGUGCCCCGAGUUCUUCCGCACAUCACCCACUCCUCCCUCGCCUCAUUUGCUCGCCGGAAGUGCCCAAUCUCAUCGUUUCCUUGCUGUUCGUCCUCGGUGGUCGCCGGAGUUCGAGCUACCAUGGCCACCACAGGCCCCAUAUCCUCCUCCCGGGCCCUCCUGCGAGUCCCCUCCUCUCUGUGAGCCGCCCAACCCCCUCACCCCUCCCUGAACUGGCCCGUAGCACCGAGCACCACCACCGUCCGACCGCCUCUGUACUCCUCCGUCGUCGUGACCUCCCCUCCUCCCCACUCCUCCUUGGUGGCAGCUCUCCCUUUGAAUGGGUGUGGCUGGCCCUCCUGCACCUGUCAGUGCCCUCGGUCGGGCCAGAGAUGGCCGGAACCGGCCAGCCCCCUCGCCGCUUCCCUCCCCUCUCCUCCAGUGCCUCACAUGAGAAACUUCGCAGGGAGUAAGAAGAUGCCCGAUCAGCCCCUCCACCUACCAGUGGACCCCCUCUAUAAGUGGCACACCCCUGCUAGCUCAGUUAACUGGAAACAUACUUUGCUGAGUGCGUUUGCUUUUAUCUAAAAAUGUGUUCUUGUAAUGUUAUAGGCGGGAAUGCACUUUCCCUUCUCUGAAAUUGUAUUACUCUCUACUGCGGCCAAGAAUGUGCUUUCUCUGUUCCGAAAGCAUAUUCUCUAAUAUGCGCCUCUGCCUUAUCCACUUAGGACCCGGUUGUAACUAAAAUAUUCAAAGAUUGGUCCCUCUCCUUCAUCACCUUAUAACUCUACGACCGUAACUCCGAUUGAGGUGAAACCAAUGCUCACUUCUUCGUCUCGUGUAGAUCUUUCUGUUGGUAACAUUUUCAUUAGGUGGUCCCAUAAUGAAAAUGACCAUUUUUCCCUUGCUUCUAAUCAGCCCCCUCCGAGAGAGAACCGCCCGCGUUUCGUUCCACGGCUUCACCGCACUUCUUCUCGGAGUCUUCGUCUCCUCCAGGCAAGCCACAACAGCCACUUGCAUGAUUGCCAUGCAGUAGCCAUCAUUUCUACUUGAAUAUUUAAUAAAAGUUUGCCCUUUAUCUAUUUGCUUGUUUGCUACUACUAUGGUUGUUUCGGUUAUGCUCGUGGAUUCAUUUUCACCUUCAUGCUAUGUUCCAAUGCAUCUUGUUAUCUUGUACUACUUCCUAGUAUUAUUUUUUUAUGUUAUGUUUGGUAGUAGCAGUACAUGAUGGUGGAAGUGGUGUUCAUUCUGAUGUUUGCUUACCGCUUGUUAGCCUGUAACAUUGUUAUGCAUGUUCCUUGCAUCUAGUUGGUUACAUGCUUACGUGGUAGUAUUAUUGUUAUAUUCUUGAAUGGUAUUUAUUUCUGAUGCUAGUUGUCAUGCUAUGCUCCUGUGUAGUGUUAUACUUAUGCUCGUUAGUAUGCCAUGCUCAUUUGGAUAUAUGCUUCAUUGUUGUUACACUCGGUGAUUAUGUUGCACCUCCAUGCUUAUGUUGAUAUCAUGCUCAUGCAUUGUAGUUGCAUCAUGUUAUUUUAAUAUGACUCAGCUCAUUGCAUUCAAGUUUAACCGGAUAAUAAUGAACUUGAACAAAUGUUGGGUGAGUCAUGGUGCCACCAAAUCGAGCUAACCAGUGCAACCACAUUUGCAUUUUAUGGGAAGGCCCUAAUGCGGUCUAUUGUCAUGCCUCUAGCCGGUGCCUCCAACGAGGGAAGGUUAGGGGUGCGUGCUACCCUGAUCAGGUAGGCGGACAUAAACCUUGUGUGCCCGUUGUUGUUGUAAGCAUCCUUGUCCCCGUUUGGAACCGUCUAUGUUUUGCCACGACGGUGGCCGUUGGGUGUCACGAGUUGACAUGGGGCCACCCAGGACUUAGCCCAAAGGGCGGUUUGUCGGAGUGGCCGGGAGAGUGUCAUGGCAAUAGAUUGGUUUUUUCAGAAUGUCGUCGGUCCACCCAAAUGGGAGCACGAGGCCAUGGGUUCCAUGGUGUGGGUACAGUGUACUAACCUCUGCAGCAUGUGUGUGAUUAAAUCUAUACAUAGUCGUGCCCGCAGAUAUGAGCCCAAUUCGUAGUCGAUCACACUAUGAGCCAACUAUAAUAAUAACUUGAUUAAUAAUAACCACGGUUUGAUGAUGAGAAAGAGGUUGGUUGUGAUCGAGAGAUGAUCAUGGAGGUAUCAUGGAUACCGAAGUUGGUUGUUCUUUAUGUGAUCGCGAGAUGAUCACGGAGGUACCAUGGAUACCGAUGUUGGUCAGUUGAUGCAUGAGAUGAUUACAAGGUAACCGCCGAAUAAGAGUAAGUUGGUGCAUGACAAUAUUAACCUGUUGCAUCUAGUAUCAUCAAGUUCAUAUGCUCAUGCCAUGUUGAUGUUAUUCUAGCUGUAUCCUGUUCAGUUUGCGCAUGCCAUGUAUCAUGUUCAUGAUAGCUUUAACCUGCUAAUGCCAUGUUGUUGUUUGUCUUGACUGCUUUUGGUUUAUUGUGAGCUUGCAAGUACAUUCAAUGUACUGACCUGGCGUGUCAUGCUAGUUUGUAGGUCGUGCCUGGUUCGCUUGCUUGUUUGGUGUGGUUCAUGUGAUCGCGAGCUAGGAUAAAUGUUCCAGCCAGAGUCCCUGCUGAUUGGAGUCCAUCCUCGUCGUUCGUUGUUCCGUUGCUAGUAGAGGUUCCGCUACCUCGAGUUGUUAUGCUGCUUGCAUAGAGCAACUGUGGUUGGCGUAACGUCAUCGUGCUGGUGUUAUCCAUUGUAACAUCGAAGACCUUGUAUUCAUAUUGGUGUUGUAAAAGAGAGUUGGUUUGUUCUAUGCUAAGCAGUGCCGUAUUCCAGAAGACUUCACCUCGAUCUCUGGGCUGUAAUACGGGGCAUUCCGGUUUCUCUGAACCGGGGUGCCACAGGGCUUGGUAUCGGAGCAGGUCUGGCUGUAGAGCGUCCUACUCCGCUGGAACGUUUGAAAAUGGCAGUAUAGGGUUCGGUUGUUGCCCUUGCUUGCCACAUUUGGUUGUUGCAUUUGUUUGCUGCAUAUAGUCUUAUUCAGUUACCCCUAACCCCUGUUUCAUGUGUAGAUGGCAGUCAGCUUCCAUGAUUUCGCUGCCCUCCCGAGAGCUCCCGGUGUUGUUCCUAUUGUGUUUAGCUCCACUCCUGCACCUCUCAACUUUUCCACCCUCCUUGGCGACAUGUGGCGUAGCAUUUAUCCCCGCGGAGAUCCACCCCAUUAUCAAGUAUUGUCGUUUUCCACUGGAGGAAGAAUUCUGGAAUAUGUUGCUCAUGUCCAUCUGCGAGCCUCGAUUCAUGUUGGUAAGCACACCUACAGUUUCCAUGGUGGUUACGGCGCUACUCCCGAGCGUGCCAUUCAGCUUGUCACAAUGGCAGGAAUCACCGGUCUUCGUCAUCGAGAGAGAAUGGUGCAAGAGAACUAUGCUUAUCAGUACUAUCCCACCAUCGUCGUGAAUCUUAAGCGGAUCAAGUUCCCAUCUAUCAACCCUCAAGAUGACCCGACUAUCUUUGCCAUGUCCCGUUACAUGACGGCCGAGUGUCUUCUUGUUUCCGAAUUAGUCCGAGACGCCAUUCAGGCCAGGAGAUUGCUUGGUGCUUCCCUACCUCAGUGUCCUCCAUCUGCUCCAACCCCUCUGCCUCAUCCAUCCGGAGUUUCGGAGUCAGCAGUUCCACUCGCUACUCCCUUAGCUUCUUCGUUAGUUCCCAUGUGUUUUCUCAAGCGUAGGGUGUAGUCCUUCGUGUAGUGCAGGUGAAUUCGAUGUAGUAUCAUGCUUGUGUGUGCCUAUGUGGAGUAGUUUUGUAGCUUGUUUGAUGUGUGCUUUGUUGCAAUAAAUCGUUUUGUCGCGCUUCUUUGUUUUAUAUCUUCGGUGUUACCCCAUUAUGGAAAAUUGCUCAUCAACCGACACCGGAUCAGAAGAAUCCAUGAGAAUAAAGAUAUACACCAAGGAACUUAGUUAUAAGAAAUGAUAUUUUCAGCUGAGAGCAUUGUAUUGCAGACAUCUGGUCUGGAUACAAAUUAUAUUCUACUUGGACUUUCAGUAACAAUUACCUGUCCGAGAUAUAUCUUUACUACAACAGUGAUUAAACCACCAGGAGAAUAAAAUUGGAUCCAAGUCCAACAUGCAUUUCAAGUCAAAGCAAGAAGGAUGGUUAGACUUUUCUUGUCAUACAAGUAAUCAGCAACCGGAAUGUCAAGAGUAUGUAUAUAUAUAUAUAUGUCAUCCCAUCCGCAAAGAAAAGAAGGACAAUAUUUCUAAGUGAAGCGUACAAGGCAAGAUUCCUCAGUCGGCAUCAGUAAGGUAUACAUGGUUUCCCGUGCAAGAUAUUCAGUAUUCUUCGAUAAGUUACUGCGAAAGCUUCUGGCAUAAGGUACCGAGUUUUCACUAGAAAGUCUUUAAGGGGGGAAGGUUAUGAGGUACGGUACCCAGUCUUCCUCAGCAAGCUAUCCAUCGAAGGCUUUGAGCAUAAGCUAUCCAUCGAAGGAUUCGAGCAUAAGCCAUCCAGUCUUCCUCAACAUGAAAUCAUGAUGGCUUCCAAGGCAAGCUGCCCAAUCUUCUUUAGUAUGACACUGGUACAAGAUAUUAAACCAUGAUGUUGUCAGCAUAUGGCAGUGUUUUCCAAGUGUCAGAUCUGCAACCAUUGGGAUCAGAAACAAGAAUCUGUUAGAACAAAUGUAUGCCUCGAGAAUCAAACAUUUUCUCCCUACGAUGAGUAUACUGUCAAGUUCAUGCAAGUCCCUUGCACCAGGAAGAAUUCAUGGUACGUAUCCGACAACCACGCCGGUUAUGCAAGAGAAAGAAAGUCGGUGAGUGAUGCAAGAAUUGACAAGUCUUGAAGAAAGACAACAUUGAGACACCAUCUCGACAGUAAAUAUCAAGAUCAGCCCCGCACAUCCGACCAGGUGAUGUUAUUAAUCCUGUCACUAUUUGACAUAGUCGACAACAGUAAUGAGAUCCGUACAAUCACAUGUGAACCUGAUAAAUGUCUCGAGACUCGAGACCAAAGUAUGAAUUGCAAGAUAUUGCACAUGACAGUACCCAGGGCUGUGAAAAUAGUCAAGGAUAUAUAAGGCCCCACUCUUUUAGUUAAAGAUCCAAAUGAAGAAAAUAAUAAUGAAGGAGCAAGACCAACAAUACCGGUAUGCCAGAGUAUUGUGUGAAUAGUGUGGUAUGAAUGCACAAGAUAGUCUUAUUUCAUAUCAAACACCAUAAAGAUAUGCCUAAGAGGUCUACUCCAUUGUGGUAAGGACCUCAUAGAAAGGAAACUAGCUCAGUCCACAGUAUGCUCAGAAUUGUCAACAUUGUAUACCCAAUCUCUCAAGUUAGACCGCAGGACAGCUCAACAUAUUGACCUCAGUAACCGUGCUAAGGCAUCACACGAUCUACUAUCCACAUGAGAAUACCGGCAAAAUGAAGAAUCAGGGUAUUAAAUCACAAAGCAUGUGCUCUCACAUACGGGAAUAGAUUAAAGAAUAGUCUGCCAUAUACGGGAUUCUUUGCCAAGAUCACCUCCAGUCAAGUCUGCAAAUGUUAUCAUCAGGAGAUGGUGCAUUUUUCUAGUCACGUAAAGCAACAAUCAAACCUUUGGUAUAGAUUGGAUACUCAAGACUCUGAAGCUAGUCAAGAUAAGUCAGAACCUCCUGCAAGAUGUCCGAAUCCAUUGGAAGAACAUGUUUCAUUCACAUCACUGUUUUGAACCUAGAAGGCAUGCAUAUAUAUUCGAGCAGCACGAUGCCUGAAUAGAAGAGAUUCUUUGUUCCACGGGAAGAUGUGUUCCCCACUUCGUGGAAUAUUCUCGGUACUCGAUAUGAGAAUAACAUCUCCAGCACGGGUCAAUAUCGAGAUGGACAUGUAUGCCAGUAAAGAUAAUCUUUCGGAUCUCAGCUAAGCCAGCAGAUAUGAAGAAAAUAUUUUAGACGGUUUGAACAGGAACAUAUGAGGUAAGUCAUGCCAGAAUGUCAGGUACGGUGAAGCAAACCACCCCAGAGCAGGCAGUCAGUCAGUUAGAUGCAAUUCAGUGGGAACCUAAUAUAAGGAAAUAGCAGAAACCCGAGUGGAAACAGUUUCUUCAAGUCAGAAUAUUUACUUGUUUCGUAAGCAACCAAAUCUCGAGGACAAGAUUUCUAUAAGGGGGGAGGUUUGUAACACCCUGGAUUUUCCCUUUUAUUUUUCUGAUGAUUUCCUUGGAUUUCUUGAUUUGAAUUGUUUUUCUGUGGUUAUGUGGUUCUGAAACUUGGGAAGAUCAUAUCUUUCUAGGUUUUAUAGUGGCUUGUCAUCCUCAUCAUCAUCCCAAGAUCAUGUCAUUUUCAUCCUUGACCUAAUCCAAUAUUCUUUUUCUAGGGAAUAUUCCUUUUCUGUUAAAGAAAUAACCCUUUAAAACCCUAGGUUGUGAAGCAACCUAUAUUUCUGUCACUCCCAAAAUUCCCAAAUAAUUCUCAUAAAUUUUUUGGGUCAUAUAUUCCUUAAAUAUGUCAAAAUCCUUCCUUGGCAUCAUCAAAGAUAAUUCACAAAUAUUCCUUUUCUGAUUGUGCCCUAAGUGGUUUCUUGAGAAGGAAGUGUCAUUUAUCUUUGCUUGAUUGACCCCAAACUUUUCGGACACCUCUUCCUGUCCAUAUAAUUUCUCCAUGCCAGAACUCAACUCAAUUUGCCUAGUAAAUAUUCCUGAGCAAUUUUUCAAAGUUCCUGCCUGAGGGAAUUCUUUGUGAAGGAAGUACUAGCUAGGAGUAUCCAAAUGAGUUGAAAUUUUGCAAGGUCCUUCAUAUGAUCAAAUUGUCACUCUCCACCAAAUCUAAGCCCAUGUAACCUUUGUAUGUGGGCCUAGCUCCAAAUCUUGGUUUCUGGUCAGAUUUUUAGUUUGGGAAGAAACCAUAUUUUAUAUUGCUUCAUUUAAGCUGAAACUUUAACAAGACAUUCUCCUAUCCAUAUCAACUCUCUCCGCCAUGUUUUGUCUCAAUUCAUUAAUCCAUUUUCCAUGUGCAAUUUUUCCAAGUUUCUGCCCAGAGAGAUGCUAUAUGAAGCAAGUGCUUGUUUGGCUAAUUCAAAUGGCAUGAAACUUUUUCAACAUCUUCAUAUCUUCAAAUCAAUGGGACAUGCCCAUUUUCAGCUCAUUUCAUGCACCUAUGUGAGUGCCCCUUCAUGAUCUUGAUUCUGAACCAGAUUAUGUAGUUGUUAAGCAACCAUGUUAAAUCUUGGUCCAAAUCCUCUCCAAAUGCACAGGACUGUAGUCCUUACUAUCCUGAACUUCCUAGACAACUCGUUUGUGAUAGAGGCUAACGUGUCCUGAUGUUUCGAUGAGAUGGUGGCUAUCGUUUUCUGUGGGAGUCGACCUUGACGAUCCGACUACGAAGGUGUGAGACGUCGCGCCUUAGCAAUCGCUAAACCAACUUCCGAGGGUUAUUGACCACGCCGGAGCACGAUCAACCUGACCACGAGGAUCUGUUUCCUGCGAGCAAACGAAGAACAAGCAAGAAACUGAGAUUGCAAUCGGGAUAUUGCGAAUAUAAGAUGAAAGCUUUAUUGAUCAAGGUGGAGUUCUGUGACGUCUUGGUCUGGUCGUUGGACACAAACGAAGUACGCGAAGUUGCAGCUAUGGCGAACUUUUAAUCUAAACAAAACCCAAAGUCUAAACGACGCCCUAAGGGCUGUAUAUAUGGAGGAAGAGGGGGUAAUUUCGUGGCCCUUGAGGGUGGGGUCCGAAACCAACCCUAACUCUUGUUUCCCCACACAUACGGACUCUAAAAAUAGCCUAUACUUAAGUAUUUCGAAACUACAUGGGCCUGGCCCAUUAAUAAGGUGACGCAGCACCUAGAAUAGCCUAUGGACGAAUAUUAUGAAGUGGCAUCUUGUAUAUUUCGUCCAAGGCUUCAUGCACUCCUUAUGGUGGCUUCAAAGUCCUGAAAUCAUCACUUGUAACUCCGUUCUUGAUCCCCUUGCGCAUGCCAUCAACUCCAUACGUGUUCUUGCUCCAAUGUUCAUCCUUCUCCAAGCUAGGCCCUUCAUUUGUAAGCAAAACAAAUGUAUCCAAUUUAGGCAGCAUCAUAAUCUCAUGAACAUUAGAAUCAUUACCAAGAAAUGAAAGUACCUGGUAAUUUAAUUGGCGUGCGCGAGCUCUAGUAAUUGGUCCAGUAUAUGUAACAGUAGGGGCUGUGGGUGUAACAAUGGUAUUGAUGUCCUCAUCAUCCUCCCCUUCUUGAAAUGAAGUCGUCCUCGACGGAAGCGAAUCUUCCUCACCCAAAUAAGGCUUCAAAUCUGCAAUGUUAAAAGUGGGACUAACCCCAAAAUCUACAGGUAGCUCAAGUUUAUAUGCAUUAUCAUUUAUUUUCUCUAACACCUUAAAAGGACCAUCAGCAUGUGGCAUUAGCUUUGAUUUGCGCAGAUUAGGAAAUCUAUCUUUACGCAAAUGUAACCAAACAAGAUCUCCAGGCGCAAACACAACAUGUUUUCUACCCUUAUCUCCAGCAAGUUUAUAUUUAGCAUUCAUACGCUCAAUGUUUUCCUUAGUUAACUCAUGCAUUUUUAAAAUCAAUUCAGAACGUUCUUUAGCAUCAAAAUUAACCUUCUCUGAAGAUGGAAGAGGCAACAAAUCAAUAGGUGCACGAGGUAGGAAACCAUACACAAUUUCAAAAGGGCACAUCUUAGUAGUAGAAUGCAAUGAACGAUUAUAAGCAAAUUCAAUAUGAGGCAAGCAUUCUUCCCACAUUUUCUUGUUAUUCUUCAAAACAGCCCUAAGCAUAGUAGACAAUGUUCUAUUGACUACUUCAGUUUGUCCAUCAGUUUGGGGGUGACAAGUAGUACUAAAAAGCAGCUUAGUCCCCAACUUAGCCCAUAAACAUCUCCAAAAGUGGCUAAGAAAUUUAGUAUCACGAUCUGAAACAAUAGUAUUUGGCACACCAUGUAAGCGAAUAAUUUCACGAAAGAACAAAUCAGUAACAUUAACAGCAUCAUCGCUUUUAUGACAUGGUAUAAAGUGUGCCAUUUUCGUGAACCUAUCCACGACAACAAAUAUGCUAUCCCUCCCCUUCUUUGUUCGAGGUAAACCUAAAACAAAGUCCAUAGAUUUAUCCUCCCAAGGAACACUAGGUAUAGGCAAAGGCAUAUAUAAACCAUGAGGAUUGAGUCGUGACUUAGCUCUUUGACAUGUAGUGCAGCGAGCAACAAAACGCUCAACAUCCCGUCUCAUCUUUGGCCAGAAGAAAUGUGUAGCAAGUAUAUCCUCCGUCUUCUUGACGCCAAAGUGUCCCAUUAAUCCUCCUCCAUGCGCCCCCUGCAACAACAAAAGACGAACGGAGCUAGCUGGAAUGCAUAGCUUGUUAGCACGAAACACAAAUCCAUCGUUAAGAACGAACUUGUUCCAAGUUCUCCCUUCCUUACAAUUCUGCAAUACAUCUUUAAAUUCAGCAUCAUGAACAUAUUGAUCUUUGAUGGUCUCCAAACCAAAUAUUUUAAAGUCAAGUUGUGAAAGCAUAGUAUAACGACGAGACAAUGCAUCAGCAAUAACAUUUUCUUUACCCGUCUUGUGUUUAAUGACAUAAGGGAAAGUCUCAAUGAAUUCAACCCAUUUAGCAUGUCUACGGUUCAGUUUUGCUUGAAUUUUAAUGUGUUUCAAAGAUUCAUGAUCAGAAUGUAUAACAAAUUCCUUGGGCCAUAAAUAAUGUUGCCAUGUUUCUAAGGUCCGAACAAGAGCAUAUAAUUCUUUAUCAUAAGUAGAAUAGUUCAGACUAGGCCCACUCAAUUUUUCAGAAAAGUAUGCAACAAGGUUUCCAUCUUGUAAUAACACACCUCCUAAUCCAAUUCCACUAGCAUCACAUUCAAGCUCAAAAGUCUUAUUGAAAUUAGGAAGUUGGAGUAAAGGAGCAUGUGUCAACUUAUCUUUCAAUACCGUGAAGGCUUCUUCCUGUGCGGUACCCCAAACAAAAGGCACAUCCUUCUUUGUAAGCUCGUUGAGAGGUGCAGCAAUGGUGCUGAAAUCUCUCACAAAACGCCUAUAGAAACCAGCGAGGCCAAGGAAACUCCUCACUUGUGUGACCGUUUUGGGCUGCGGCCAACUCUCCAUAGCUUCAAUCUUGGCUUUAUGAACUUCAAUUCCCUGUGGAGUAACAACAUAGCCAAGAAAAGAUACUCGGUCGGUGCAAAAGGUGCACUUUCCAAGGUUUCCAAACAAACGUGCAUCACGUAGAGCAAUAAAAACAACACGUAAAUGUUCCAAAUGUUCCUCCAAAGAUUUGCUAUAAAUCAAUAUGUCAUCAAAGUAAACUACCACAAAUCGUCCAAUGAAAGCACGUAAAACUUCGUUCAUUAACCUCAUGAAAGUACUAGGUGCAUUAGUUAACCCAAAAGGCAUGACUAACCACUCAUAUAAUCCAAACUUAGUUUUAAAUGCUGUUUUCCAUUCAUCAUCCAAUUUCAUACGAAUUUGAUGGUAUCCACUAUGCAAAUCAACUUUGGAGAAUAUUGUAGAGCCACUCAAUUCAUCAAGCAUAUCAUCUAGCCUAGGAAUAGGAUGAUGAUAACGAAUAGUAAUAUUAUUAAUGCCUCUACAAUCAACGCACAUACGCGACGUACCAUCCUUUUUCGGCACUAAAAUGAUAGGAACAGCACAAGGACUAAGGGAUUCGCGUAUAUAACCUUUGUCGAGCAGUUCUUGUACUUGAUGCAUAAUCUCCUUCGUCUCCUAUGGAUUGGUACGGUAUGGUGCACGGUUGAGUAGCGAAGCACCGGGAAUUAAGUCAAUUUGAUGCUCAAUCCCUCGAAUAGGUGGUAAUCCCGAUGGCACGUCUUGUGGAAAAACGUCAGCGAACUCCUGCAAAAUGUUAGUGAUAGCAGGGGGCAAAGAGGAAGGCACGUCCUCGAAUGAAAAUAAUGCCUCUUUGCACACAAAAGCAUAGCAAACAGAUUUGCUAAAAUCUAGCUCAUCAAUAUCAGAUUUGGUGGCAAGUAAACAUGCACUUUCCAAUUUAAUUUCAGAAACAACAGUAGAUGGUUUAUUAUUAGGCUUCAUUUGGUGCUCAAAUUCUUUUGCCACAAUCUGAUUUUCACUCUUAUUUGUCUCCUGUUUUGCUUUAUUAGCUCUAUUAAUAUCAUCUUUCAAAAUGGAAUCAGGAGUCAUAGGAAGCAAAGUAAUAUUUUUAUCAUUAUGAACAAGAGUAUACUGAUUGUUUCUACCAUGGUGUACAGAAUUUUUAUCAAAUUGCCAUGGUCUACCAAGUAAUAAGGAACAUGCUUGCAUAGGUACCACAUCACAAUCAACAUAAUCAGCAUAUGUAGAGAUACUAAAAUGCACACGAACAGUACGUGUUACCUUAACCUUGCCGCUGUUGUUGAACCAUUGGAUGUAGUAAGGAUGUGGAUGUGGUCUUGUGGUCAGAGAUAGCUUCUCCACCAUCUCCAUGCUAGCCAAGUUAUUGCAGCUCCCUCCAUCUAUGAUCACACGAACAGAAUGUUCCUUCACAACUCCCUUUGUAUGGAACAAAUUAUGCCUCUGAUUUUGCUCAGCUUGUGUAACCUGCACACUCAAAACACGUUGAGCAACUAAACAUUCAUACCUGUCAGCAUCUUCAGGAGCCAUGUAUUGCGUCUCAUGAUCAGAAUCGUCUCCACCGUGUUCUUCAUGUGUAAUAAGAGCCAAAGUCUCCUCAUCAUAGUCACUAGCGGACUCAUACCCACCAUCCUCAGUAACAAUCAUCACACGCUUAGAUGGGCAUUCUCUCGCAUAAUGACCUCCACCCUUGCAACGUCGACAAAUAAUAUCAUGUGUUUGCCCUGUUGAUGCCAUGGAUGAAGAAGAGCUCUUUGCAGGCCCAGAAGGUGUGCUCUUGGCAGAUAGUGGUGAUUGUGCCUGCUUUAUUGUAUCACGGUUGGAGGUGGCAGCCGAUGGAGGCGCCGGUGUAGCAGAACAUGUGGAAGUAGAUGAUGCACGUGGUGUCCAUGAUGAAGGUCGACCUGCAGAAAAGUUAGUCCGCGGCAAUGCCUGUCGAUCCUGCACUUCACGUUCAGCUUUACAAGCAAGAUGGAAUAAACGAGUGAUAUUAGUAUACUCCUUAUACUAUAGAAUCGUCUGAAUCUCUCUAUUUAAUCCACCCAUAAAACGUGCAAGCAUAGCUUCAUUCUCCUCAACAAUACCACAUCUAAUCAUGCCAGUUUGUAAUUCCCGAUAAUAUUCUUCUACAGAAUUUUUUCCCUGUCUUAAGCGCUGCAAUUUUUGAAGUAAUUCACGUUGAUAAUAUGGUGGAACCCAACGAGUACGCAUAGCAGUUUUCAAUGCAGCCCAAGUAGCCGGAAUGGGAUAUAAUCUACAAUGCUCAGACCACCAAACACAUGCAAAACUAGUGAACGCACAAACAGCAGCAGGAACACGUCUCUCCUCGGGAUAUUGUAAACAUGUAAAUCGUUGUUCAGUUUCUAACUCCCAAGUAAGAUAUAUAUCAGGAACAUAUCUACCCUCAAAUGGUGGAAUAUUCAAUUUUAGUUUAGGGAGAUGGUCAUGAUCUCGUACCUGAGGGUGAGCCCUACCAUUGCCAUUAUUUGCAUGUGGACGACUUGGUGGUUGCUGUGCUAGUGGUGGCACGUAGUUCUGAUUUUGAUCAACCUCAUCCUCAUAAUCUCCCACAUAAUCAUCCUCCUCCACAUCAGCAGUAGGAGCCACAGAAGUAUCAAUAGCAGCACUAGCAAUUUGGCCCGACUGAAGAGGGACACGGCUCGCUCGGCGAAGGGCUGUUUCCCCACGUGGAGGUAGUCGAUGUUGUUGCUGUUGUUGCAGAGGUGCGGCAAGAGCAGCCGGUGGUGGUGGUGGAAAACGCAAAAGCAAUUCAGCAAACUUGUUAUCGAGCUUUGUUUCAAACGUCUUCUCCAUGCCAUCUAUCUUCUCCAUGGCCUCUUCAAAUCUGUUUAUCACAUCUUGCACCUGUCCACUCAUCAUUUGCUGAAACGUAUCAUGAAGCUCCUUGUUCGUCAAGUUCUCCCAGUCAGUCUCGUCGGCUUGUGAUCCUGGCAUGGUUAGCAGUAAUAGAAACACACAAGAAUAUGAUCCUACAGACUACUAACAAGUGGUGGUGGUGGCGGGUGUCACAAAUCCGUCAAGCAAAUCUCAAAUUCUUACCAGUUCUUACCCAGCAGCAGGCGGUGAUCGGCAACCGUUGUAGUCAAAACUCUCGAAAGCUUGGAUAGAGCGAUUGCCAGGGAGAUUCAAACGCACAACGUAGAUGUAUGUGGAGCUGGGAAGGCUUAUAGUAUGGUAGCAAAAAGGGUCAGCAAUAAUCAAUUCAGAGAUGCAAAGUUGAAUAAACGCUCAACGACGGUACUGUGCUGGUCCUAGGCUAGACCGUGCUAAAGACGCGAGCCUAGAACACUAACAAAAUCACGGCGCUGCACGUAAAUAAGGGAAAAGCACACUCUGGAACUCUUUUUUUUGCGCUCCUUUUUUUUGCGCUCCUCUUUUUUUUUUGCGAAAAAUCACUAUAAUGGCGAGUGUCUCAAAACUCUUCCCUCGUCAAACUGAUAGUAUGGGCACGAAAUUUAUUUUUUCACUUUUUUUCGGAAAUCAGGGCAGCGACGACGAAAAAGUGCGACAAAAAAUCAAUAUGAUGGCACGUGGCUCAAAAGACUCAGAAAAGCCUAAAAAUAGGAUAGGGAAAAAAUUGCCUGUGAAAAUUUUGGCCUAAAAACUGCCCGGGGGUCUCCAGACUCUUUUUUUUUCCGAGACCUACGCAGGUAAGGAAACAGUAAUCAGAAUUUAGAUUGAUCUCAAGAACAAACCUAAUAUGAGAAGAACUCGGAUUGGUGGUGGAUAUAUGGUUGUGGUAUAUGGCAGCGGUGGUGGUAUAUGGUAGCGGUGGUGGUAUAUGGAUACAGAUUGGUGGUGGUAUAUGGAUAUGGAUUCAGAGCGGUGGCGGAUAAGCAAAAGUGGUAGAUGGGCGAUGAUGAUGGUGCAGCGGCGGCGUGACAACUUAUGACCAGAACUUGAAACUCUAAAAGACUAGACUCUAAGACCAGCAACUUGACACGACGAUGCAACCGCAAAUUCAACAAAGCAAAAACCCUAAAAAGAUUAUGCAAAGGCUCAGAUUGGUUCGGAUAUGAUGAACUAACCCUAUUUUUUUCUGGCUUUUUCUUGGACUGUAGGUAUGAAGAACAGACUCGAUCUAAUCUACGAAAAACUGUAAAAUCUCACCGAGCAACCUGGAAAUCUGAUACCACUUGAUAGAGGCUAAGGUGUCCCGAUGUUUCGAUGAGAUGGUGGCUAUCGUUUUCUGUGGGAGUCGACCUUGACGAUCCGACUAUGAAGGUGUGAGACGUCGCGCCUUAGCAAUCGCUAAACCAACUUUCGAGGGUUAUUGACCACGCUGGAGCACGAUCAAGCUGACCACGAGGGUCUGUUUCCUGCGAGCAAACGAAGAACAAGAAAGAAACUGAGAUUGCAAUCAGGAUAUUGCGAAUAUAAGAUGAAAGCUUUAUUGAUCAAGGUGGAGUUCUGUGACGUCUUGGUCUGGUCGUUGGACACAAACGAAGUACGCGAAGUUGCAGCUAUGGCGAACUUUUAAUCUAAACAAAACCCAAAGUCUAAACGACGCCCUAAGGGCUGUAUAUAUGGAGGAAGAGGGGGGAAUUUCGUGGCCCUUGAGGGUGGGGUCCGAAACCAACCCUAACUCUUGUUUCCCCACACAUACGGACUCUAAAAAUAUCCUAUACUUAAGUAUUUCGAAACUACAUGGGCCUGGCCCAUUAAUAAGGUGACGCAGCACCUAGAAUAGCCUAUGGACGAAUAUUAUGAAGUGGCAUCUUGUAUAUUUCGUCCAAGGCUUCAUGCACUCCUUAUGGCGGCUUCAAAGUCCUGAAAUCAUCACUUGUAACUCCGUUCUUGAUCCCCUUGCGCAUGCCAUCAACUCCAUGCGUGUUCUUGCUCCAAUGUUCACCCUUCUCCAAGCUAGGCCCUUCAUUUGUAAGCAAAACAAAUGUAUCCAAUUUAGGCAGCAUCAUAAUCUGAUGAACAUUAGAAUCAUUACCAAGAAA
RNAcentral lists this long non-coding RNA (101699 nucleotides) under Triticum aestivum (bread wheat). RNAcentral describes it as "long non-coding RNA (TAES_LNC019956)". Lineage: Eukaryota; Viridiplantae; Streptophyta; Magnoliopsida; Poales; Poaceae. The record is from RNAcentral.